UAAUCUCAAAAUAAACUUCAUAUAGAAAUCCAAAGUCUAAGGACAAACACAUUAAAGCCAAUACUAUUGUAGACAUUGCAGCAAGCCGCCGCCGCCGCCAACAACACAACCAUUUGCUUCUGCGAAGCUAUUUUUUUUCAGUCGAUUUGGGAAGAUUUUGAACAGCAAAAUAGGCUAGCAAAUUCUUCUUCAACAGAUUAUCAGCAAAUCUCACUUGAAAACCAAAUUUCUCAGUGUAAUUAAGUGUGGCGCCCCUUUUUUUCAAGGUAUCCCAAUCCAAAUCGCCAACCGAGAAAUCUUUCAUCUCUUUGAUUGCAGCGUUGAAUGGCGAUAUGAAAAACAUCAGUAGUUUUUCCACGAUCUUUUUCGAUUUGGAUUGCAAUAGAUUCGAGGUACUCUGGAAUUUCCCCUCAAGCAGUGUUUUUCAAUGCCUGUUCCAAGCCUGGGAAAUCUUUGCAUUCCACUUUGUCGUUGCCUUUGUCAUAAAGUUGGUUCUCCAAAUCACGGAAUUUAGAUUGUACUCCUUCACGAGUUAGAUCAUCGGUUGCAGGUUGCAGUAACUUUUACCUUCCAUUGGAGGUGGAAAAAAAAAAGUAAUACUCGAUUAGGUUAGUAAUACUUAACUCAAACGGCUCGUGAGCCAUAUCGAGUUUUUUUUUUAUAUUUUCAUAUAAUUAAAUUACAUUAUUUCUUUUAAUAUAUUAUUAACUUUAAGCUUAAUUAUUAAACUGAUCUCGGACUCGAGUAUCAAGUUCCAAAUUUAGAAAUCGAGCUUGAACCUGAUAGUAUUUGAAUUUAACUUGGCUAGAUUACACUACAUAAAACUCAAUUGAGAUUUGAUGUCUGGUUAUGUAUCGGAAAGACAUAAAAGAAGCAUGAAAUCUCAAAUUCAUUACUCAACAAAGAGAAGGGGAGGCUAUUAGUGAUGAUAGUGGUGUGUUUCAUUAAGUCUUAUCACCUUUGCAAAACAAAGUUGCCUUGCUUUUUCUAAGAGAUAUUACCACUAGACAGGGACCAUUUUGGAAAUAAAAACCAGAUUUUGAGGCUCAGACAAACAAAUUUUCCAAAUAAAUAAAUGAAUAUUAAUAGAAGUCGGUUCCUUCAAACUUGCAGAUUUAUUAAAAAUAAAUUGAAUAUGAAUUAGUAAGUUCGAUUAAGAGACUUACAUUAUUUAUCCUCUUUUGGUUGGAUCAAUGUAAAUUUCCACUAUUUCUGGCACGGAUGACUUGAUAAACUCUUCUUCAUUUUUUGUUAAUGAUUCUAGUCGGUACCGGAGCUCCCUCGGUUUCCUUAUUCCUUUUCUUUCUUGUCUCAAUAGGUCAUCGGAAAAAAAGUUCAGAUUUCUUGUCUGGCUUCCAUUCGACAUAGACUGAUGCUCGAAUUCUGCCACGCCAUAACCCAUCUUCUUGUUCGGAUCUGAGAAAUUUAACUCAGAUUUCCCAAUCAGAACAACAGAAAAAUUAUGAAGGAUAUGAUAGCGAAUUAGUAGAUUUAGGAGUACUUACAGGUUUCAUGUAUCUAUAUCGGUAAAGAGAAGACAGAGAAACGGCCGGCGUCGACGAUGAGUAAAGCAGGAAAAACAAAGGAAUUCGUUGGUUAGAGAAAGCUUGCAAGUCGGGUCUAUGUGAUUAACAAAAAGAAGAAAAAAAAGUUCAUCUACGUGAUUCAUUGCUUCCACUCUUCAUUUCAUGCAUGGUUUAAAACAAAUCAAUAUUUUUUUCAUAUCAACUUUAUCUUUAUUUCGAGAUUUUGAAUAGAAUUUAGUGAUCUUAAUUUGCCAAAGACUUAACUUUUCCGUCGUCUUCAUCCUAGUUGGACAACCUGCUUCCAAAGUUGUGAUCUUUGCAGCCAUUAAAGGGAAUUUAACGAGGAGGUGAUUGAAAAAGUUUAACAUGUCGAGCACCCUUUCAGAGGAAGUUAACCUGUUCUUAGUGACCUGAAUUUGAGAGCUCAUUGUGGGAAGGUAAACAUAAUUGUUUGCCCUUGACCAGGGAAAGAGAAGCCUUCUAAAAACAUCGAAAGAUAACUCAUGGAGCAAGUCAUCGGCAUCGUAAGGUGCAUCUUUCAGCUUUCCAAGCCAAGCUGUGAAAUUGCUGGUCGCAGAUCGCUCUUCGGCGUCAGGCAGAGACGAUGAUUCUGAGGUCGUCGGGGUCAUCUUUGACAAGGCGCAGCCUUUCAGAGAGAAUAAGGGAGCUCAAUUUGUCGCCCAAGGUGAACCCAGCUUCUUUCUCGCGCGCGCAUUCGACAUAACUUUCUCGCGAUGGGCGCAAGCAUAUUCAACUUCAACAUAACUUUCUCGCGAUGAGCGCGAGCGAGCAUACUCUAACAAUAUUAAUUUUUUUAUCCAUUACUGUCGAAAUGAACUAAAAAAACUCGUCCUAACAGAAUUGUAAUGACUUACUUAUCUUUUAGCUUUACCAAAAACAAAAAACAAAUCAUUUUAAAAAAUGAAGUACUCCAACAACUUCUCCUUUCUGUCUACUUCAAAAGCUAAACAAACCAUUAUGAUCUCCACUAAAUACCGACGUUGAGAUUUUUUUCAAAAUACAAUCAAAACUCUAUUACCUAGGCAGACUUGCGCACGGCUUUCGUUGAAGAAUAGAGUCAAGUUUGACAGCAAACUUUCCGGUAGUCUUAUCGCGUCAAUUUUACAUAGAGAAAGUUAAAAUCUCGAGCUUUUGGUGAUGGAAGUUGGACUUAUUUAUAAUCCCAUCUUAUUGAAAAAUUGCUUUGUUUCUUCAGUUUUUCUCUUGCACACCCCACCCUGCUCUUUCUUUUUUUCACUGCGGUUUUACUCGUGCCAAAAUGAGCAUAGCUAACAUUUCAUCCCCUCAAGAUAGCUAUGGAAGAUCUGGAAACUUGUUACCACCUGAGAGACCGACACCAGCAAUCAAUCAAAACUUUCAAGAGUGAGAUAUUUCAUUUGGCGACUACACGAACCAGAAUGGAGACAUGAACUUUCAACAGAGAGAGAUCGAGAACUACUUGAUGCCAAGUGCAGGCAUAGGUGAGAACUCCUUGAUGCGGAUGCCCUGCACAUCCCAUGCCUGCACUCGGCAUCAAGGAGUUCUUAGCUAUGCCUGCACUUGGCAUCAAGUAGUUCUCGAUCUCUCUCUGUUGAAAGUUCAUGUCUCCAUUCUGGCUCAUGUCGAGAUCCUUGAUGCCGAGUGCAGGCAUAGGUGAGAACUCCUUGAUGCCGAUGCCAAGUGCAGGCAUAGGUGAAAACUCCUUGAUGCUGAGUGCAUGUAUGAACUCUCAAGAGAAAGAGUUCUCAGGUGAUUUGGUUUUUCAGCCCUCAACAAGCUUUUGGAACCCUGAUCCUCAUAUGGUAUGUUAUGCAUAAUUUUUUUAUUUAAUUUAAUGAUAAUGUAUCCUGUUAUUAUUUACUGAUGAUACAUAAAAUUUAUAUAUCAACAGUACAUCAAAAAUUAUUGCUUCUAAAAAUUACUUGCUUAUCGUGCAUCUUUCCGGUUAAAUUUUUUUCUUGCUGCUAUUAUAUUGUUGUUUUGUUAUGCAAAAUUUGUCCUCCAAUCUAAAAAAAAUUGUUGAAGAAGUGCCAAAUUAAUUGAAUUCUCCACCUACAAUUGAGACCUUGUUACAACAUAUAUUUUUCUUGUAUGUCUUCAAACUCACAAGCAACAUUUGCAACAACAAAUUCUCAGGAAAUGACUCAUGAUUUCACUAUGUUGAGGGUUCAAGCUUUUCGUUUGAAUGAUUUGUUUUAAUCUAAAUUUCUUAUAUCCGUGUCAAGAUGGGAUGUCAUACCUUGAAAAUCUCUAUAAAGAUAUUGGAGACUGUUAUGAGAGUGUGACACCAGCAACCAAUCAGAACUGUCAUAUCUCAUGCUAAGACCUGUUUUUGGACUUAAGAAAGGAGUUGUUAAGCCAUUUUCAGCUAUAGUACUUUUAUUUGGUUGUUAGUUUUGAAUACAAGUUCAUGCCCUAUGCAUGAAUGUUUUUUUUUUUUUGUAGUUUUCUUAAAGUAUUUAGUUUUGAAUACAAAAUUUUAGUCCCAUAUUUUGGGUCAAUCAAGCAUAAAGUAGGCCCAUAUUUUGGGUCAAGCUUAGUCAACCAUAAAAUGUGUUAACCUUUAAAUAUACCUAUAUAUAUUGCAUUGAACAUCAACUCCCUUAAGUAGCUUUUGGGGACUUGGAUUUCAAAACAUGGAUUUGGGUUGUCAAGCUUUAUGACAAAACACGUAAAUGUAACAUCUAUGAUUGUUUCACUAAUAAUAAUCAGAUUAAAUCUCGACUAAUUUAUAUACCUAACCCUACACACAUCAUUUGCAUAGUUUAUUAUUCUAAAUGAAAUACAAAUCCGAAUCUUCAAAAUUCAUGUUUUCAUAAGUAACUUUACUUUGAAAUCGUGACUUGUCUAUAUUUGUUGUUGUAGCUUUUUUCAGCAUGUUCAUGGAUUGAUAUGAAAGAAAUUACUGCAACUAAUGAUCUUGUGACUGUUAAUCAAGAUCAUGUAAGUUUGCCAACUCGUGAAGUGUUAAUGGCUAAUUUUAUUAGUUUGAGAAACCAACUUUAUGAUACAACAAAGUGGAUUAAUAUACAGAUUUCAAAGGCUUAAACCAGGCCUUGAAGAACACUACAUGGGGGUGGGGGGACCAGCUUACUUGAAACAAAUACAGUAUUAGAAUCCAAAAGGCUAUCGGUAAAGCUAUUGAGGAUCCGCAGAUUCUGAGUUCUGGCCCGUAAUGCAAUCAAAUAGAUGGAAGAUUUGUUGAUCUGCGUUGGAAAAAUGGGAGCUUGGUUUUCAAUUGGAAUUUGCUGAUAAACUGUUGCUGAAGAAUUUGCUUGCCUAUUUUGCUUACUCAACAACGGUUGUAAGAUACUUGAAAAUGUUCAGUUUGGAAUUUGUUCAAUUUGAUAAUCCGUUAAUGGUUUUUACAAGCUACGCUACAAGAAAGGUAUGAAAUCUAUGCCCUUCGAAUCACCCAAAAAAAAAUCUAAAGCUCCUAUAUUGUACCUACAUUUAUGGUUGCUCAAAGGGUCUUGUUGUAUUUAUAGCGGAGGUCUUGCGUCCGGUAGUGUCACGCCACUAAUAGUAUGGGUGGUGGAUUGGUUGUGUGGUCAAUUAGGUGGCAAAUUGGUUGUUGUCGAUCGCAAUAAUGUUUUAACAUUUUCUUUGCGAAUUUAGUAUGAGGUUGUUAUGUUUCAAUGAUUCUCUCUUGGAGAUUAGUGUGUUCCUGCUAAAGGCGAGUGUUUCAUUGGAAGAUAAAGCGUAUUAGCUAUACGAUGUGAGGCAGAGGGAAAUCCACUAAAACCUCUCAGAUACCUUCACAUCGUGUCAUGUGUCCAAGCUAGAUAAGAGUAUAACAAUUAUUUAUUAAAUGUUUAUUAAAAUUUUAAUAUAUAUAUUUAUUAAAAUAAUUAUAAUGACUUUAUUGAUUAAAAAUAUAAUUAAAACAUUGUUUUAUUAAAGUAAAUGAUAAAUGAUAUAGAUUGUUUGAUAUUAAAUUAUGAUUAUGAUCUUUCUACUAUGUUUAAAUAUAAGAUUUAAUAUUUAUAUUUAAUUUCACAUAAUUUGGUUUAUUUACUUUUAUAAUAUUAUUAAUUAGUCUAAAUAUUGCGGUCCUUUACUUGCUCUUGUUAAAAUACUAAGACGAAUUUUAUCCUAAAAAACACUCAUUCAAAUUUAUCACCUAAAUAGAUUUUGUGUGUGUGUGUGUGUUUUAGAAAUUAAUUGACAUCAAUAUUUUAACAAGAAUAGUAAAUAUAAUAUUUGGGCUAAUUAAUGUCAUUGUAAAAAUAGAAAAUCAUGUUAUAUGAAAUUAAAAUAUAAGGACUAAAUCUCAAAUUUAACUUAAAAUAUGUGCAAUAAAUUUAUCUAAACUCUUCUGUAUCGAACUAGUUUAUAUUGAACUAUGGUAGUUACUUAUUUUCUAAUUGGGUUAAUAUACCAUUUGAUAGUUGUAUUUAGUUUCAAUAUUUAAUUCGAUAUUUAAUUUCGGUUUCAAUAUUUUAUUUGGUAUCCCGAUCAAACAACGUUAUGUGCUCUCAAUGAAUGUUUGACAAGUGUGUUCUAAUUAAAAAAAAUAUAGAUAUUCAAUUGGAAAAAAACUCAAAAACCAAAGUAAACCUUGAAGUUAAAUUACGGUCCUUAAUUGGGACAAAAAAAAAACUCAAGUACGAAACCGAGAAACCUCAAGUACUAAAGUGAACAUUGAAGUCAAACUCAGUAAAAAAAAAAAUGGGACAAAACAAAAGGCUUAAGUACCAAAUUGAAUAUUAAAACUAAAAUAGACGCCAUUUAGUAUAUUAUCCCUUUCUAAUUUAACUGGUUUUUACUUGGUUCAAUCGCCCCUUACUCCUUGUAGCUGGUUUUGUUUCUUUACCCGAAUCUGAUCCAAGCUGAUAUUUAACCUUUACGCAGACAUGGAGACCAAUGGAAGGACGGACUUAAUUGAUAUGAUACUAAUACUUCAAAGACAAUUAAAACAUUUUAAAGUUUAGGACUAUUUAGAAUCUGACUAAUAGUUCGGGGACUAACUAAUGAAAUUAACCAUCUUAUUAAAACCCUACCUCCAUAAAUAGCUUCAUUUCAUUAGUUCGCUCUUUGGCAGCUGCACCUUCUCUCCUCUCCUCUACCUGUGAGUACUUUUAAUUGGUUCUAUUUCGUAAUCGUUGAGUUUCCUUAGUUUAUAAUUUUUUAUAUCCCUUAAAAAAAUACAUUUAGGUGGUGUUGAUUUGCUUGCUCGUUAUGAUUUUCAUUUGUUUUUUUUUUCCCGAUUCGUCAUCUGAUCUCAGUUAAAUUUCCCAGAUCUGUUCAAAAUGCUAAACGAUGACAGUUUUUUGAAUAACACGGAUUGGCCUUUUAGCAACAAUUGGGGUUUUGAUGUGGGAACUACACGAUUGGAUCUUCAACAGCUUGAGGGAAACAUCUAAAGUAAACGACGAACGAACUUCCAUUGAUAACCGAUGAACUUAGUGUUUGAAGGAAGCAAGAUCAUUUCCCGGUUUCAUUUUUCUUCCGUCGGUCAGGUAGUUCGCCUGGUUUUUACUUUAGAUGUCUCCUUCAUGCUGUCUGUAGGUCUACUAAUCUCCUAGAACAAGUUCAGUGACUUCAUUUUAGCAGCAGUUGAGUCGAAAUGGAUAUUGUUCGAAAAACACUAGAAGUUUGAACAAUUUUAUCUACAAUUAUCAGAGGUAUUCGAUGUUUAAAUCUAAAGCUUGAUUACUAAGUUUGAUUUCAUUAUUUAAGUCUUCAUUUAACUUUCUAUUUGACGUAAUUAUUCAGGAGCUGAAAGAAAAAAGCAAGAGAGCUAUGCAAUCUUGAAUAAUAGUAUGGUAUGCACAUUAUACUCUAAGCCCUUCUUAUUUAUAAAUCACAUUAGUACUUUGAUUUGGUUGUGGUGAGUUUCAAAUGAGAAUUCAUGCCCAACACAUGCAUGUUCAACUUUUUUAGUUCUUUUAGUUUUCUUAAUGUAUUUAGAAGAAUCUUUGAUGGUCAUAUCCGAUACCUAUAGUCAAAUGUGUUGGUAAAUUACUCAUUUCUAAAUAACUUCAUAAUUAUAAUGUCAAAUACGGGUUUGCAUCUAACAUGUAUUUGAAGGAAUCUUGAUGGGUCAUAUUUGAUAUCCAUAUCACAAUAUGCGUCAAACAGGCACUUCAAGCAAACCUCUACCUGAACAACCUAGAGUUUUAAUAUCAGACCAGAUAACCUAAUGUGUAGGACUCUCCCUGCUUCUCCAAUUCUGCAUUUACUUUUGCAUUGAAAACUCUGUAUUUUUGCGGUCUAUAUCCGGCCUCAAUGCCUCGAGUUGUUCUUAGGACCCUUAAGAAGAGAGGUAUGAUAUAGGUGCAUAUGUACAUAGUUGUAUAUUUAUUGGAUUGGAAAAUCAUGAUCAAAACCAAGUUAAUGAAAACGACAAAACAAAGUGAUUUGGAAAAUCAAUUUACUUGAUCAAUUUUGGGUGCAUAUGUAUCUCUGUUGCAUCUCCAUUUUCUGCUGUAUCAAGGGUUCAUAAUUUCUCAAGUGAUCAGUCUGGGGUUGCCUUACUGGACGGCUUUUCAUUUCAAUCCUUUAUUCAUAUUCUCUUACAUUUCAAGGGUUGGGAACUAGACUUUGAAAAAUUGAGGUAUCGAUAUAAUUUCUUUAUUACAAUAUAUUACACUUCGAACUUACGGCACUUGCCUAUUUUUUGUUGUUUCAGCUGUCUGCAGCCUUUACAUGGUUUGUUCAGAAGAACUUGCUACUAAUGAGCCUAUUACCUCUGAUCAAGAUUGAGAAGAUUUGCCUCUUACAAUGCAAAGUGAAAAGGCUAUUUUUGAUUAUUAACUUUGUGGAAGGGACAAUGAAACUCCGGAGUACAUGCAACUUAUCGCCGUCAGAAUCGAGAAUGUAAUACUCCUGAAUUAUUAUGAAAGUAGUAAAAAAUUGAAAGUGUAUAAUUGAUUUUUCGAUAAUGUGAGAAAAUGAUAUAAACAAGAUAAAAGAAAGGUCAAAAUUUGAGAUACAAGUAUAGUUAUUCAGAAUUUGAAGGGUCAAAAUAUAAAUAUGAAAAAUAUUGGUUUAUGUGUAAAUAUUUAAAAUUUUGAGGGGUUAAAGUAUAAAUAUGGGAAAGUUGAAGGGUUAAUAGUGCAUAUAUCUUUAAGGGUUGAAAAUGGAUGAAUAAGGAUUAAAUUGAAUAAAUGGAGAAUUAUGAGUGAUUAAAUUACAUAUUUAUCAAAACAAGUGAUGGCUCAAGUGUACAUGCAAUAAAGCAAUAGAUAUUGAAGUUGUUUGUCGACUACAUAGUUUCAAAGUCUACAUGGCCUUUAUAUGGUGGGGAAUGUUAGAAAACCGAAAGCGGUUGUAACUGUUGUAUUUGGAAUGCAUUAAUGCAGUGGUGAGGUUUGUGAAAUCUAGAACAAUGUGAUUUUUUUUUAUUAGAGAACACAAUAUGAUUUGCUUUUAACCAGAAUAUAGAGUUGAUAGAAUUUCGUAAAAGAAUUAGGCGAAAUAUUUUAGAUCUAUGACAAUGAAAGUUUCAUCUAUUAAGUAUUGAUUUUGUGUUUUAGUCGAUUCCGUGAGAUAUCAAAGGUGCUUGGGGCUUGAAGGCAAUGGUGUAGACACACCUCGAAAGUGGAUCACCGUUUCUUGAGGUAUAUGUGGAAUUUUCAAGACCAGAUGAAAGACUUGUGACUUUAACAUCUCUUCCUGUUUGAGAGGCAAGAACAGUUGAAAAUGUCGAUAGUAUAACUAUUUUGUUAGAAAAUUUCCAUUAUGAUAUCUCGAAAUCAUCAAUAUGAGGACUUUUAUCCGUCUUAGCCUUAGAUUUCAAUGUAUUCCUUAAGGAUUACUACCCGAAUUUCCCAAUUAUCGUAUGGUGCCUAUUUAAACUAUAUGAAUGUGAUAAAAACAUUAGUUAUAUAUAUACACUACUAAAUACAAAAUAUGAAAUCAACUACGUUAUUUGUAUAUAGUUCAAAAUUAAAUAAAUACAUACAUCUGCUUCCGAUCAUUGGUCUAAUAGAAGUCGUAUAUCUUGAGGCUCGAUAGGUAAUCCCACGCAACUCAGGGUAUGGUUCCACCUAUUUAAAUAACUUAUUAGCAUAAUAAUUUGAUUUUAAAUCAAUUUAAUAAUGGUAAUAUAUACUAAAUUUUACCUUAUUACGAGUGAGAAUGUAUAUAGGUAGUUCACUUAAGGACGUAAAAAUGGAAAGUGGUACUGAUGCCAUGAUUGCAGUAAUAAAAGGCAACCAUCAAUUUUGAUUUUUUCUGGUUGUGUCGCCUGACACAUAUCUCGAUACAAAGUCGCCAACACGAUGGACCACCAACUAAGUUCAUCUGCUACUCUAAAAUCGAAGAGUUUCAGUAGCCACCUUAGAUGGAGGAGAUUUCAUAACUUAUUCAGCAUUAGGAUACCCCCGAUGAUUUGAAGGAUGUAUGCCCGAACGUAUUGUUCUCUGUGGACUUCAGUCGAAUCCUCAAACAGCUCCGCGAAAUUAUUUCUUAACUAGGCCAUUUCGAUCCGACCUCCGUAAAUUGUUUACGGAACCACACCCAAAAGAUCAUAAUAUGGGGUUCCCCAGUCAACAGGCCGAACAGACCCAAUGACUACCAACCUUACACAGGUAAUACCAAUUGUAACUAUACGCCUUCUAAAGUGAUAGUACACUCACCGCAUGGAAAAUGAAAUGUGUGUGUCUUGAGUUUCCACCUUUUUACCAAUGCACUUAUGAGUUUUGACUUCAACUUACACCCCCGGCCUACAAGAGCCAUGUGCAAAAAACCAACUUCCCCCAGAUAUGUUUCGAUUAACGGUGAUGGAGGAUUGGGUAAAUUAUGAAUGUGGUAUUACAAAAUUCGAUCAUCCACUUAUUUAUAUAAAAGUUAUAAAAAAAAUUAAGUUCAAUUAUAACUAUGAAAUAAAAAAAUUUUAAAAAUUUAAAAAUUUAUUCUUACCAUUUGCAAUUGGUUACGGAGAUGUGCUUGUUAUCAAGACGGAUUAGAGACCCGACCAUUGCUAAAUAUAUAAUUGAACACAAAUUUUUUUAAAAAAAAAUACUAUUUCUUAAAAUUACUAAUAAAAAAUAAUAAAAAGAAUAAUUUGGAUAAAAAUAUAGAAUUGAGAAAAAUAAUUUAAGAGACUAUUUGAAAGAUUUUUGAGAGAUUUAGGAGAGAAUUGUGUGUGAAAAAUGCGUCUGUAGGGAGAUUUAUAUAUAUAUAUAUAUUUACCGUUGGGGUCCAACGCCUAGUUCAAAUAGUCGUUGGAGUUGACCGUUAGAGCACGGGCAAAAAUACUUCUACGUUGAAGUGCUUUACUAAAUCGUGCUGACGUAGACGCGUUUUACAUAUUAUUAGGGAAAAAAGAGUUGGGCUAAACACAUUUUCUCACGUUUCCCUUAAAAACGACAUCAACUUAACCCAUUUCAGGGGAGCCGACCCCUUCUAGAAAAUUUUAUACAAAACAAUCCAUUUCCAUAAUUUUUUUUUUGUAAAUGGGCCUUUUGUCGUUAUUUUGGGUCGGUAAAAUAGCCUAGUAACUUAAAUCAAGGAAAAAAAGAUAUGGAGGGUACGCGUGGAAAGGCUGGUCAGUGGACCUACCAAUAUACAAAUUUACAUACUCCGUCUCGAGUUCCUUCAAAUUUCUCGAGCUGUCUUCAAUACCACUUGACUUAAUUCCCUAUAAAUCAUUUCAUUUCAUAAAUGAUUUGAUUUCAUUCAUUUCUUUGCGCAGCCAGCUUUUUCCUUCUCUAUCUCUGACUUUGAUUUUGCUGUGAGUGUCCUUUUAAUGGUAGAGUUUUAGGAAAUCUGGUUUCAUAUCCUUUGGUUUUGUUACUUUAUAUCUGUUGUUUGAGUGGAGUUCGUUUGUUUCUUUCUAUCUGAAUCCAGCAAAAUCGUUAGUGUUUUCUGUUCAAUGAUUUCCGCUGAUCUGAUUUUAAUUUCCCCAGAUCUGUGAAAGAUGACCAACCAUGACAGUGAUUUCAACUAUGGCGAACUUUUUGCUGAUUACUCUCCGAGCAACACCAACCUGGGAUCUACGGUAGACCCUCAGACGGAGACAUCUAAAGUAGAAACUAGCGCGGACGGACUGCUGUUGUCCAGCCUGGAACCUACAGGAAACCUUCGACAGCCUGGGAGGGCGACGCCUGUAGUACCGUAUGGCGUGGACGGACUGCCGUUGUCCAGCCUCGAAUCUACAGGAAACCUUCUACAGUUUGGUAGGGCGACACCUCAAGUACAAGAUGGCGGCAGCGGACUGUUGUUUUCGGUCGAUUGUAAUCAGGCUAACUUGGGCAUGAAAAGAGAACAUGAAUUAGUCUCUUGUAACUUUUCAGCAGCUAAAGGACGAGUCACAAAGAAGCAGCGCCGGGGAACCCUUUCUAUCGGUGAAUCACCAACUCUUCAAGAACAACCAGAGCCGAAACCGAGAAGGAAAGAACUUAUUGAGGAAAAACCUAUACAGGGAGGUGCGAAAAUUUUAGUGGAUCGACUUGACAGAAAAAUAAGUAAAGUAAGUCUCAUAUUCAACUCAAAUUAUUGUUGUGCAUUAUACAUUUAUGAUGAAGAUAAUAAAUCCCACACCGCCUGGAUUGGUCGCCCAUCAACUAGUCAAUGAUUCAGGCUAUUAGUCCGAAAAUCCUUGCAUUGUCAAUGUCUAUAUGUUUCUAACACUUGUUUUGUGCGUAUAUUUGGUGGCAUGAAGACUUCUUUGAAUAUGUAUAAGAUGAUUGCGGAGAGAGCCUGUGAUCUCUUACCAAAAAUUUUCGGCUCCCUUGAGCAAAUCGAAGCAAAAUGGCCACUGCUAUCUGAUCUCAAGAAAGUUAAGCAAAAUAUCAAGGAAAUCCAGCGGAAUCACAAGGGACAGCGUUUACCAGAAGCUGAGGCAAAGCAGAAAUUGCUCCAAGUAGGAAAUGAGCUCCUACAAUCUAAUCAACAACUAAAGGUACACCAAUGUUUACAAAUAUAAUUACCGAGUUCAAUAUCCUCUUGAUCUAACGAUUUAACUUGGCUUUUCAGGAGUUGAACAAAGGAAAGAACCCUGUGGCAAUGUUCCUUAAUAACGAGGUCUGCACAUUUCUUAUCAUUGAUAUUAACUAAUAUAGUAUUAUAAUUAUAAUUAUAAUUAUAAUUAUAAUUAUAAUGCAUGUCCUUAUGCACUACACUUGUUUUUAGACGUAGCAAGAAGUCUCUUUUUCAGCUAUUUGUUUGGAUUCAGGUUUACGCAUUGGAUACGUAUUUGUGUAUUUGAAGAUAUACCUAUAUUCAAAUAUGUGUCGGUACAUUCCUCAUUUAUAAAUCUCAUCACAAUGUAAAGUGUUUCCUCAUCCAUUACACUUCUUUUCUAGAUCUAGUAAGAAGUCAUUUUCAAUUAUGAGUGUUUUUGUAUGGAUUCACGUCUAACCUUGACAUAUUUAAAUUUUUUUUAAAUUCAUAUAUUUAGAAAAACCUCAAAAGUUAUAUUCUAAACCAAUGUUCAUUCAUGUGUCAAACGAGUAUAAAGUGACACAGCUUUGAAAAUACUAUAUAUGUUAAACCUAUAAACUUGGAAAGAAAAAGAAAUGCAUAUCUUUCUUGAUUAAUUUGUUGUCUACCCAUAGCUUCUUUUUUCAGGUCUCAAUAUCUGAAGUUAUUUUUAGACUUGCCCUUAUUAGCAUCUUUAAUCAUUUGUUUAUAUUUCUCCUAAAUUUCAGGACUUCGACCUGGAGACUCUUCAAAAAGAGGUAUGGUGUAUAUAUAUAUAUAUAUAUAUAUAUAUAUAAAUUUGGUAGAUGAUGAGUGGUAGAUUUGAAAACUUGAAUUACGAAAGUAGCAUUAGAUAUAAAUGUUCUUUCUCGAAUGUUUUAAUAGUACUUGAAUUUAGUGUAUGCAUCUAAUAUCAUGUUUUAUAACAGAAAUGACUAUUUUGCUUUUUAAUCGAAUAUAUAGGGAUUAAUUUGAUUUUUUUUUAGUAAAGAGAGGCAAAAUACAAUCUCACUCCUAGCAUAGGGGUUUCCGUGGUCCUUUUACCAAAUUAUGACAUGUUUUUGGUGUUUGUUAUUUCAGUUUUAUUCUGAAUAUCCAUGGAUGGAAGAAGUUGCUGAUGAUCAUGGAAGUUUGCCAACUCAUGAAGAAUUACAGUCUAAAUAUAAUGAGUUGGCAAACGAAAUUUAUGCCAAAGACAAUAGCAAAGGGGAUGUUCAAGACGAAUUAAAGUCUAAAAUUAAUGAGUUGGAAAAGGAAAUUUAUGCCGAAGACAACAACAAAGUGGAUUUUCAAGACUUCCCUGCCUUACGACACGUUACUGGUCUGGCACCUCCAGAUUACCUUAAAUCUAUUGCAAUUCGAAUCGAACAGGCUCGUGGAAAAGCCACUGAAUGUAUCAAAAUUGGUAGUCAACUUCUGGUCUGCGCUGCAAUUAAAGAGAUGGAAGAUUUGCUAGUCAAGGAUUUGGACAAGUAUAGUUUGAAAAAAUGGGGAGCCGCACUCAAGAGCGCUAAGGAACAAGAUUUUCAAGUGGAGUUUGCUGAUGAGCUGUUGCAUGAUCGGCUUGUUUUAUUUGCUGUUCAACAAUGGUUGGGUGCAACUAAAAAAAGGGGUUCCAAAAUCAUUAGUGGCUGAGCUCUCAUAGUUGUGAAUCAAAGGGUGUUUUUGCAGUUGCAGCAAAAUAUUUGGAAAAUCACCCUGCUUCAAUUUGUUUUUCAUGGACUUUAGGUUUCUAUAUUUACUUACCUUGUUUGUCUGGACCUUAUUCAUGUGGUGUUGUGUUAUAAUCAUAUUUGAGAUGAGCUUUGAAAGAUUAAUAUUUUAUAUUAUAUGGAUGGAUUUUGAGAUAUUGAUAUAUUUUAUGUUGAUGUUGUAACAUAUGGUAUCUAAUAUUGUUAUGUUUGAAUUUUAUCUAGAUUGUUCUUGAAUUUAUAUUAUGUUGGUCUAUUUUGUUCAGUUAUAAUUGCAUUUAAAAUAUUUUAUUUUUAUAUAAAUUUUGAUACCUUUAAUAAUUUAUAUUACAUUGUGAUAUUCUAUCUUAAAACAAUGAUAUAUUUCAUGUUGGUGUAUUAUCUUUCUAUUAUAUCGUUUGGUAUCAUGUGAUAUCUAAUAUUGCCAUGUUUGAUUUUUUUUUUAUUGUGUUUGUAUUUUUUUGUCAUAUUGAUAGGUUUGAUAGUAUAAUUUUUUGUCUUUGAAACUUGUCAAUUAGGUCCAUUUUUGUUAUUUUAUUUAGUAAUUAAAUUCAUUUUGGUCCCUAAAUUUGGAUAAUGUCAAGAUUUGAUGAUGUGAUUAGUAUUACUAGAUUAAGACCAAAUCGAAUAGAUUGAGAACUGAUUAAUAUAACGAUCCGAACAAAGUGGUUGAAUCGAUUGACUAUGAAACUUUUAUAUCUUUUCAAAUUUAGGGAUCAAAAUGGACCUAGUCAUUAAGUUCAAGUCACAAAAAUAAUUACAGAUACCAAAAUAAAUUUAAUUACCAAGUUUAUAAAUAAAAAAUAUAUCUUAUUCAUGUUGUAGAGAUAUGAAACCAUUGAUAUAUCUCCUAUUUUAUCUUGUUUUGCAUCAUGUGGUAUUUAAACCUUUUCAGUAUUUAAAACCCUAAAUUUUUAACUAGGAGAAGAUGCCAAAUUUGGGGCCAAAUGCGUAUUUAAACCUAUUUCCUUUUUAUUUAUUAUUUGGAUUGUUAAAUCACAUUUUGGAGCCUCAAUUUUUUUUUAUUCAAUUUAGGUCCUAAAUUUUUUUAUGUCAAAGUUAUGCACUUAGCUAAGCAAUUGUUCGCGCAUUAGAGUAGGAAUUUUUUGAAAACAAAAGCACCAUUGUAAGAAUAUGAAUUAUUUAAAAAUUACUUGAAUUUAAUAAUAAUAUUAUCAAAAUGUAAAAAAACAUAAAGUUUGUAAAAAAAAACUAUUUAAAUAUUAUAAAUUUUAUAAAAAUAAUUAAUUAUGAAAGUGAUAUUGGGUCUAGAUUAUUUACGAAAAUAGGGUGAUUUUUACAGUAGCUUGAGUGUCGUCUAACAGAUUAGUGGAACCAUUCGAAAUUUUUUAAAAAUAAUAAUUUUUUAAAUGAUGUUGCCUGACAUAUUAGUGAUACUGAUAUAAAUUUUUUUAAAAAUAUUUGUAUUUCCUCUUAAAUGCAGUACAAAAAAUACAUGGUAGAUUUUUUUAUGUGUGGUGCCGCCUAACAUAUUAACUAUAUUAGUGUAAUUUAAAAAAAUGGCAAAAAAGGAAAAAAGAAAACUAAAAAAGUGAAAAAAAAAAUGUUGACCUAAAGAUUUAUCUUUUUCUCUUCUAUGUCUAAUUUUUUUUUCUUGGCCUCAUGUUUAUUAAAUUUUCUUUUUUCAAAGCAGUUUGGAAAUAACAUAUCAAAUUUUCUCGGAAAAGAAAUUGUAUUCAUGAUUACUAUGAAAUAAUAAACGGUUGGAUAUUUUGAUUUGAUUUGAUUUUUACGAAAUCGAUGAAUUCAAUUUUAUACAUUAUUUAUAAGUAUUUAAUUUUAAUUAAUAUAUCAAACAAAUUUAUAACUUAAAUUCAAUCUUUGGUGCAAAAUAAACUUCAUAUAGAAAUCCAAAGUCUGAGGACAAACACAUUAAAGCCGAUACCAUUGUAGACAUAGCAGCAAGCCAACAACACAACCAAUUGCCUUUGCAUAGCUAUUUUUUUGCAGUCGAUUUGGGAAGAUUUUGAGCAGCAAAAUAGGCUAGCAAAUUCUUCUUCAACAGAUUAUCAGCAAAUCUCACUUGAAAACCAAAUUUCUCAGCGUAAUUAAGUGUGGCGCCCCACUUUUUCAAGGUAUCCCAAUCCAAAUCCCCAACCGAGAAAUCUUUCAUCUCUUUGAUCGCAGCGCAGACCAGAAUUUGAAUGGCGACAUGAAAAACAUCAGUAGUCUUUCCACGAUCUUUUUCGAUUUGGAUUGCAAUAGAUUCGAGGUACUCUGGAAUUUCCCCCCAAGCAGUGUUCUUCAAUGCCUGUUCCAAGCCUGGGAAAUCUUUGCAUUCCACUUUGUCGUUGCCUUUGUCAUAAAGUUGGUUCUCCAAAUCACGGAAUUCAGAUUGUACUCCUUCACGUGUUGGAUCAUUGGCUGCAGUAACUUUUACCUUCCAUUGGAGGUGGGAAAAAAAAAGUAAUACUCGAUUAGGUUAGUAAUACUUAACUCAAACAGCUCAUGAGCCAUAUCGAGUCUUUUUAUAUUUUCAUAUAAUUAAAUUACACUAUUUCCCUUAAUAUAUUAUUAACUUUAAGCUUCAUUAUUAAACCGAUCUCAGACUCGAGUAUCAAGUUCUAAAUUCAGAAAUCGAGCUUGAACCUGAUAGUAUUUGAAUUCAGCUUGGCUCGGUUACACUACAUAAAACUCAAUUGAGAUUUAAUGUGUGGUUAUGUAUCGGAAAGAUAUAAAAGAAGCAUCGAAUCUCAAAUUCAUUACUCAACAAAGAGAAGGGGAGGCUAUUAGUGAUGAUAGUGGUGUGUUUCAUUAAGUCUUAUCACCUUUGCAUGACUAAGUUGCCUUGCUUUUUCUAGGAGAUAAUACCACUAGACAGGGACCAUUUUGGAAAUAAAAACCAGAUUUUGAGGCUCAGACAAACAAAUUUUCCAAAUAAACAAAUGAAUAUUAAUAGAUGUCGGUUCCUUCAAACUUGCAGAUUUAUUAAAAUAAAGUGAAUAUGAAUUAGUAAGUUCGAUUAAGAGACCUACAUUAUCUAUCCCUCUUUUGGUUGGAUCAUCGUAAGUUUCCGCUAUUUCUGGCACGGAUGACUUGAUAAACUCUUCUGCAUUUUUUGUUAAUGAUUCUAGUCGGUACCGGAGCUCCCUGCUCGGUUUCCUUAUUCCUUUUCUUUCUUGUCUCAAUAAGUCAUCGGAAACAAAGUUCAGAUUUCUUUUCUUGCUUCCAUUCGACAUAGACUGAUGCUCGAGUUCUGCCACGCCAUAACCCAUCUUCUUGUUCGGAUCUGAGAAAUUUAACUCAGAUUUCCCAAUUAGAACAACAGAAAAAUUAUAAAGGAUAUGAUAGCGAAUUAGUAGAUUUAGGAGUACUUACAGGUUUCAUGUAUCUAUAUCGGUGAAGAGAAGACAGAGAAAAGGCCGCCGUCGACGAAGAGUAAAGCAGGAAAAACAAAGGAAUUCGUUGGUUAGAGAAAACUUGCAAGUUGGGUCUAUGUGAUUAACAAAAAGAAGGAAAAAAAGUGGUUCAUUGCUUCCACUCUUCAUUUCAUGCAUGGUUUAAAACAAAUCAAUUUUAUUUCGAGACUUUGAAUAGAAUUUAAUGAUCUUAAUUUGCCAAAGACUUACCUUUUCCGUCGUCUUCAUUCUAGUCGGACAACCUGCUACCAAAGUUGUGCUCUUUGCAGCCAUUAAAUGGAUUUUAACUAGGAAGUGAUCGAAAAAGUUUAACAUGUCAAACAUCCGUUCAGGGGAAGUUGACCUGUUCUUAAUGACCUGAAUUUGAGAGCUCAUUUUGGGAAGAUAAACAUAAUUGUUUGCCCUUGACCAUGGAAAGAGAAGCCUUCUCAAAACAUCGAAAGAUAACUCAUCGAGCAAGUCAUCGGCAUCGUAAAGUGCAUCUUUCAGCUUUUCAAGCCAAGCUGUGAAAUUGCUGGUCGCAGAUCGCUCUUCGGCGUCAGGAAGCAUAACUAUGAUUGCAGAGACGGUGAUUCUGAGGUCGUCGAGGUCAUCUUUGACAAGCUGCAACAUUUCAGAGAGAAUAAGGGAGCUCCAUUUGUCGCCCAAGGUAAGCCCAGCUUUUUCCGCCAUCGAUGGUUCAAACUAAAAUCUGGGCAAAAAUUGCUUGAUUAUUGCAAGAGAAAGAGAAUGCAGUAGUGAGUCGAAGGAGAUGAAAAUCGAGGUUUAUAGAGACUGCCAAACAAUACAAUAUGAAAAAAACAAUGUUGAUGGACGAGAAAUGUUGCUACUCAUAUUUUCAGGCGCGCGCAUUCGACAUAACUUUCUCGCGACGGGCGCGAGCAUAUUCAACUUCAACAUAACUUUCUCGCAACGAGCGCGAGCGAGCACACCCUAACAAUAUUAAUUUUUUUAUCCAAUACUGUCGAAAUGAACUAAAAAACUCGUCCUAACAGAAUUGUAAUGACUUAUUUAUCUUUUAGCUUUACCAAAAACAAAAAACAAAACAUUUUAAAAAAUAAAGUGGUCCAACAACUUCUCCUUUUUGUCUACUUCAAAAGCUAAAUAAACCAUUAUCUCCACUAAAUACCGACAUUGAGAUUUUUUCAAAAUACAGUCAAAACUCUAUUACCUAAACAGACUUGCGCACGGGCUUUCGUUGAAGCAUAUAGUGCCAAGUUUGACAGCUAACUUUCCGGUAGUCUUAUCGCGUCAAUUUUACAUAGAGAAAGUUAAAAUCUCGAGCUUUUGGUGAUAGAAGUUGGACUUAUUUACAAUCCCAUCUUAUUGAAAAAUUGCUUUGUUUCUUCAGUUUUUCUCUUGCACACCCGACCCUGCUCUCUCCUUUUUUCACUGCGGUUUUACUCUUGCCAACAUGAGCAUAGCUAACGUUUCAUCCCCUGAAGAUAACUAUGGAAGAUCUGGAAACUUGUUACCACCUGAGAGACCGUCACCAGCAAUCUAUCAAAACUUUGAAGAGGGAGGUAUUUCAUUUGGGAACUACAUGAACCAGAAUGGAGACAUGACCUUUGAACAGAGAGUGAUCGAGAACUACUUGAUGCCGAGUGCAGGCAUAGGUGAGAACUCCUUGAUGCCGUGUGUAGGUAUAGGUGUGAACUCCUUGAUGCCGAUGCCGAGUGCAGGCAUAGGUGAGAACUCCUUGAUGCCGAUACCGAGUGCAGGCAUAGGUGAUUUGGUUUUUCAGCCCUCAGCAACCUUUGAGAACCCUGAUCCUCGUAUGGUAUGUUAUUAUUUACUGAUAAUACAUGAAAUUUAUAUAUCAACGGUACAUAAAAAAUUACUGCUUAUAAAAAUUACUUGCUCUUCGUGCAUCUUUCCAGUUAAAUUUUUUCUUGCUGCUGUUUAUUGCUAUCGUAUUGCUGUUUUGUUAUACGAAAUUUGUCCUUCAAUCUAAAAAAAUUGCUGAAGAAGUGCCAAAUCCUACAAUUGACACGUUGUUACAACAUAUACUUUUCUUGUAUGUCCCCAAAACUCACAAGCAACAUUUGCAGCAACAAAUUCUCGGGAAAUGGCUCAUGAUUUCACUAUGUUGAGGGUUUAAGCUUUUCGUUUCAAUGAUUUGUUUUAAUCUAAAUUUCUCAUAUCCAUGUCAAGAUGGGGAUGUCAUACCUUGAAAAUCCCUUUAAAGAGAUUGGAGCCUCGUCACAGUAUGAGAGAGUGACACCAGCAACCAAUCGGGACUUUCAAAAUGGAGAGAACGAAGAACUGGAUCAUAAUCAGAUAAACAAGUCGAUAUCGCGUAUAGGCAUGAAAAGACGCUUUGAUAAGCUUGACAAAUCGAAAGCUAAAAAAAAAGGCAUAGAGUACCAGUGCAACUCCCAACAAUCACCAAUGCGGAAAAAUAAAAAAUAUACAAAGGAAGAGCUUGCCGAAAAGAAAACUGGGCAGGAAAUAAGGACGGUAUACAGACAUCGGAUUGACAGACAGAUAGCACAAGUAAAUUCUCCUAAUUGAAUUUAAUAAUUAUUGUUCUUUUUUAUAUGUAUAUAUAUUGAAGGUAAAAAUGCCACUACCAACGACUAGCACGGAUUCGACUCUGUAUUAUUGGUUAAACUUACUUUAAGUUAGUUUAUUAUUGAAAAGUGUCUAUGAAAGAUUUUUUUUUAAGAAUUUUGAUAGUGUUUAUUACUCGUGUUAAAAAUUAUUUUUAAACAUAUGUUGUAAAGUAGAAGAUUUAAUGAGAGAAUAAAAAAAUAAUUUAAUUUAAAGAACUUUUUUAAAGGUCAAAAGUUACAAAUUUUAACUUUUUGGCUUAGGUUAAAAUCCCACUUUAAAANNNNNNNNNNNNNNNNNNNNNNNNNNNNNNNNNNNNNNNNNNNNNNNNNNNNNNNNNNNNNNNNNNNNNNNNNNNNNNNNNNNNNNNNNNNNNNNNNNNNUUCACGAGUUUUAUCAUCAGUUGCAGUAACUUUUACCUUGCAUGGAGGUGGGAAAAAAAUCUAGAACAAACAAACAUGAAAAACAAGUAAUAAAUUCAGAGCAAUGAAAUAAAUUCUGUGCUUAACUCUGGAAAAAUGGAUUUUGAAUACCGUGUGAAUUGUGAGAAUGUUGUGUAAAUGAGAUAUUGUUGCUCACUCGAAUUUAACUUGAAAAGAAUUCGAAUUCGAUUUAAUAGUUGUUGAGCUGAGUUUAAAUUACAUUAUUUCCCUUAAUAUGUUAUUAAUUUUAAACUUAAUUAUUGAGCCAAUUUCGAACUCGAGUAGCUCAAUUAUAUCUCGAGUCAAGUAUCAAGUUCCGAAUUUUAAAUCGAGCUCAGCUCGGCUCGAUUACACCUCUAUACAUGACUACAUAAAACUCAAUUGAGAUUUGAUGUGUGGUUAUGCAUUUGAAAGACAUAAAAGAAACAUGAGAAGGAGAAGUUAGGAUUAGUUUAACAUUACUUUUAAAAAGUGCUUUUAAAAAGUGUUAUGGAAAAGUUAACUUUGACAAGUACUUUUAAAAAAUUUAGUUUAAGAUUUAAAUGUUUAGUAUUACUGUCAAAAAGUACUUUUGAUAACUAAAAAGAAAUUGCUUUUACUUUUGGGUUGAAAAGCAUUUCUGACUCCAAAAGUCCGUUUAACAUUGCUUCCGGCUUCAAAAGUGUUUUUUUUCUUUCAAGUCCUGGAAAAUAAAGUUAAAAAAAAUUUAAAUUAAAGAUUUAGAUCAUGAAAUUAAACCUGCUUUUUCAUACAAGUCCUGAAAAAUCAAGUUAAAAAAAAAUUAAAUUAGAGAUUUAGAUCAUGAAAUUAAAGUUAGUGAAAAAAUUCCUAAUAAUUUAGGUACCUCUAAUAGUUGUGGAUCAAGUUCUAAAAAAAUUAAAUUAGAGAUUUAGAUCAUGAAAUUAAAUUUAGUAAAUAAAUUCUAAUAAUUUACGUACCUCUGAUCGUUGUCGAUCAAGUUUUUCAAUCGUCUCUCCUAUUAGAAGCAGUCGCCACUUCGCCUUGGCUUCUGCUAAUACAGCAUCCUUGCACUUGCGGUCAGUUUCUUGGAUCACAUGGAUAAUCACUAGGGGAUCAGAUUGUAUUGGCCAUUGCAUUUUGAUUUGGUUGCGAUGGCAGAGAACUUGUUGAGAAGCUUUCGUUUUCCCGAUGUUAGUGGCUUUCAGCACAUAUUUCGUUUUCAUGCUCAUCAGCAGCAUCUCCACCACGCGUUGCCACUUGCAUCUCCAAUUUGUUAUCUUACCAUUCUUUUCACACAAAGCAGGUAUUAAGAGACAAUCUACAGCAUUGUCAAUGCAAGGAUUUUUGGACCAACUGUUAAAAGAUAUUACCAUUUCCAAGGAUUUUUGGACUAGACACUAGACAGGGACCAUUUUGGGAAAAAAAAUCUAGAUUUUGAGGCUCAGUUUAUGAAAUGAGCUCAACACAAACAAAUGAAUAUUAAUCAUUUACAGCCCUACUUGCAGAUUUAUAAAAAUAAAUUGAAUAUGAAUUAGUAGUUUGAUUAAGAGACUUACGUUAUUUAUCCCUCUUUCUGUUGGAUCAUCGUAAAUUUUCGCUCUUUUUUGUCUCCAGUACCGGAUAUCCCUCUGUUUCUUUUUUAGUUCUGCUUCUUGUCUCAAGAAGUCAUCGGCAACAAAUUUCAGAAUUCUUUUCUUGCUUCCAUUCGACAUAGACUGAUGCUCGAGUUCUGCCACGCCAUAACCCAUCUUCUUGUUCGGAUCUGAGAAAUUUAACUCAGAUUUCCCAAUUAGAACAACAGAAAAAUUAUAAAGGAUAUGAUAGCGAAUUAGUAGAUUUAGGAGUACUUACAGGUUUCAUGUAUCUAUAUCGGUGAAGAGAAGACAGAGAAAAGGCCGCCGUCGACGAAGAGUAAAGCAGGAAAAACAAAGGAAUUCGUUGGUUAGAGAAAACUUGCAAGUUGGGUCUAUGUGAAUAGAAUUUAAUGAUCUUAAUUUGACAACCGAUUUUGAGAUUGAAAGCAAACUGAUUUGAGUCGUACCUUUUCCAUCAUCUUCAUCCUACUCCGACGAACUUCUGGAAAAGCUGUUCUAGACGAAUCAAUGGGCAUGAUUUCUAAUUUUUUUUUCACUUUAAGCCGUCGUUGGCAAGAAUAGUCGGCCACGGAUUGCUCUUCAGCCUCCGGCUUUUUAAGCCGAGCUGUGAAAUUGCUGGUCGCAGAUAGCUCUCCGGCACCAAGAAGCAUAGCUUCCCUUGCAGACCAUGUGUUUCNNNNNNNNNNNNNNNNNNNNNNNNNNNNNNNNNNNNNNNNNNNNNNNNNNNNNNNNNNNNNNNNNNNNNNNNNNNNNNNNNNNNNNNNNNNNNNNNNNNNCUCCAACAACAGUUCUAUAAAAUCUCUGUCCAUGUUGGAUUUGGUCGUGUCUUCCGCCAUUGAUGGUUCAAACUGAAAUCAAGGCCAAAAUUGCUUGAUUAUUGCAAGAGGAAGAAAGUGAAAUAGUGAACCGAAGGAGUAUGAAACUUCAGGGUUGUAGAGACCACCAAACAAUACAAUUAAUAAAAAUAACGUCGGUAGAUGAGAAACGGUCCCACCAUGGACUUUUAUAUUUUCACGCGCGCGCAUAUUACAAUGGCUUCUCGCGAUGGGCGCGAGCAUAUUCAACUUCAACAUAACUUUCUCGCAACGAGCGCGAGCGAGCACACCCUAACAAUAUUAAUUUUUUUAUCCAAUACUGUCGAAAUGAACUAAAAAACUCGUCCUAAGAAAAUUGAAAUGACUUUACAAAAAGAAAAAAAAUUAAAAAAAUAAAGUGGUAAAAAAAACUUCUUUUCUAAUUCAAACCACUAAAUACCGACCAUUUUAAAAAUACAGUCAAACCUUAUUACCUAACCGCACUGCGCACGCGUUUUCGUUGAAGCAUAUGGCUCCAAAUUUCCUGCUAAUUUUCCAGUAAUCUUCUCGCGACAAUUUUACAAAGAGGAAGUUAAAAUCUCGAGCUUUUGGUGAUGGAAAUUAGGCUUAUUUUUCAUCCCACCUCAUUGAAAACUUUCUUAGUUUCUUCGGUGUACUCUCUCACACCUGACCUCCUCUCUCUUCUCUUCACUGGUAGAAGUACUUACUGUUGAAUUUUCUUAUCCAAUAUCAUGUCUUGCUUUCAUUUUGCAUCAUUUCUUUACUUUGAGUUCAUAUCAUUCCAUAUAGCUUUAUUUUGCUGAUUUGUAAGAAGAUUUUGAUGCCUUUCACCUGCAAAUCGUUUGUGUUUUUCUGUUUUUUUGGUUUCAAUGAUUUGAUCUAAUCUAAAUUUCUUAGAUCCGUGCCAAGAUGAGCUUAGUUAACUCGCCAUCCUCCGAUGCUUUUCAUGUCCCUGGCAACAUCGUGAAUGAUAGUAUGCCACCAGCAACCAAUCCCAUCUAUCAAGUGGAAGAGAUCCCAAGUGAGAACUACUUGACACCGAGUGCAAGCAACUUUGAUCCUAAUAUGGUAAGUAUAAAUUUUUUAUUUAAUUUAAUGAUGAUGAAUUUAUUUUUUAUUAGUAGUGCAUAAAAUUUAUAUAUUGACCGUACAUAAAAAAAUUAUUACUUGUAAUAAUUCUCUUUUCUUUUCUGAUGCACUAAAUUUAUUUUUAGAGGUUUAACUAUUUUACUUGAAUAUCAAAUAUAAAAAUUUAUGCCUAACAUAUACAUGUUCAAUUUUUCUGAAUUUUUUAAUGCAUUUAGAAGAAUUUGGAUGGCCAUAUUUGAUAUUCCUACAUUAUUUUAAGUCACAUUAUAAUCAUAAUUUCUUUUUCACUAUAGUUGUGUUUUUAGACUUAGCAAUAUGGGUUCAAAGUUUUCCUUUCUUUUUCUUAAACUUAAAUGUCGCAUGUCAUUCUUUAAAACUUAAUAUCAUAUCUUGCUUAAUACAUUGUUGCAUUACAUGCUCUCUCUUUUCUUCACUGCAAUGGAAGAAUGUACAGUUGACUUUACUAAUUCAAUAUCAUAAAUUGCUUUAAUUUUGCAUAAUUUCUUUACUCGAGCCAAUAUGGUUUUGUUUUGCUGAUUUUUCGUUGAUCUGUAAAUCGUUUGUGUUUUUUUGUGAUCUAAUCUAAAUUUCACAGACACAUGCCUCGAUAAUGAACACUCCUAGCAUGCUAACACCACAUGGAGUGACACCAGCAACCAAUUCGAUGAAUUUUCAAGAGAGAGAGUUCUCAGUUGGAAACCUUCAGUCUCCUAUGAUGGUAUGUAUACUUUUUUGUUUAAUUUAAUGAUAUGUGUCAUGUUAUUAUUUACUGAUAAUGCUUGAAAUUUAUAUAUCGAUGAUUUAUAAAAGAAUAUUACUUAUAAUAAUUCUCUUUUCUAAUGCACUAGAAUUUUUUUGUUUUGCUGAUUGGAAAAAAGAUUUUGAUGCAGUUGUGUUUUUCUAUUCUUUUCCAUUCAAUGAUUUGAUUUGAUCUAAAUUUCACAUAUCUGUGCCAAAAAGAGCAUCGAUAACAACAGAUCAAUCCUAAAAGAUUCCAAUGAAGAGAUUGGAGACUUGAGUUGAGUCUCCAAUUUUUAACUUUCCACAAGUUCAUUUUCAAACCUCAACAAGAGCUGUGAACCACGAUACUUUGGUAUGCAUUAUUUUUUAUUUAAUUUAAUGACGAUGUGUCAUAUUAUUAUUUACUGAUGCUUUAUGAUAAUCAUAUAAAUACCGUUCUCAUCAUUUAUGGUUUUUCAUCAGCAUAUCCGGGGCUUAAUAUUGUUGAUCAAAAUCUUGCAGUUACUAAUUCAAUAUUAUAUCUUGCUUAAUACAUUGCAUUACAUGCUCUCUCUUUUCUUCACUGCAAUGGAAGAAUGUACAGUUGACUUUACUAAUUCAAUACCAUAAAUUGCUUUAAUUUUGCAUAAUUUCUUUACUUGAGCCAAUAUGGUUUUGUUUUGCUGAUUUCCCGUUGAUCUGCAAACCGUUUGUGUUUUUUUGUGAUCUAAUCUAAAUUUCACAGACCCAUGCCUCAAUAAUGAACACUCCUAGCAUGCUAACACCACAUGGAGUGACACCAGCAACCAAUUCAAUGAAUUUUCAAGAGAGAGAGUUCUCAGUUGGAAACCUUCAGUCUCGUAUGAUGGUAUGCAUACUUUUUUGUUUAAUUUAAUGAUAUGUGUCAUGUUAUUAUUUACUGAUAAUGCUUGAAAUUUAUAUAUCGAUGAUUUAUAAAAGAAUAUUACUUAUAAUAAUUCUCUUUUCUAAUGCACUAGAAUUUUUUUGUUUUGCUGAUUGGAAAAAAGAUUUUGAUGCAGUGUGUUUUUCUAUUCUUUUCCUUUUAAUGAAUUUGAUUUGAUCUAAAUUUCACAUAUCUGUGCCAAAAAAGAGCAUCGAUNNNNNNNNNNNNNNNNNNNNNNNNNNNNNNNNNNNNNNNNNNNNNNNNNNNNNNNNNNNNNNNNNNNNNNNNNNNNNNNNNNNNNNNNNNNNNNNNNNNNNNNNNNNNNNNNNNNNNNNNNNNNNNNNNNNNNNNNNNNNNNNNNNNNNNNNNNNNNNNNNNNNNNNNNNNNNNNNNNNNNNNNNNNNNNNNNNNNNNNNNNNNNNNNNNNNNNNNNNNNNNNNNNNNNNNNNNNNNNNNNNNNNNNNNNNNNNNNNNNNNNNNNNNNNNNNNNNNNNNNNNNNNNNNNNNNNNNNNNNNNNNNNNNNNNNNNNNNNNNNNNNNNNNNNNNNNNNNNNNNGCAAUGGUAGUGCGGAUACCUGUUGACUUUACUAAUUCAAUACCAUAAAUUGCUUUAAUUUUGCAUAAUUUCUUUACUUGAGCCAAUAUGGUUUUGUUUUGCUGAUUUCCCGUUGAUCUGCAAACCGUUUGUGUUUUUUUGUGAUCUAAUCUAAAUUUCACAGACCCAUGCCUCAAUAAUGAACACUCCUAGCAUGCUAACACCACAUGGAGUGACACCAGCAACCAAUUCAAUGAAUUUUCAAGAGAGAGAGUUCUCAGUUGGAAACCUUCAGUCUCCUAUGAUGGUAUGUAUACUUUUUUGUUUAAUUUAAUUAUAUGUGUCAUGUUAUUAUUUACUGAUAAUGCUUGAAAUUUAUAUAUCGAUGAUUUAUAAAAGAAUAUUACUUAUAAUAAUUCUCUUUUCUAAUGCACUAGAAUUUUUUUGUUUUGCUGAUUGGAAAAAAGAUUUUGAUGCAGUUGUGUUUUUCUAUUCUUUUCCUUUUAAUGAUUUGAUUUGAUCUAAAUUUCACAUAUCUGUGCCAAAAAGAGCAUCGAUAACAGAUCAAUCCUUAAAGAUUCCAAUGAAGAGAUUGGAGACUUGAGUUGAGUCUCCAAUCUUACUUUUAACUUUUUAAUUUGGAUUUUCAAACCUCAACCAGAGCUGUGAACCACGAUACUUUGGUAUGCAUUAUUUUUUAUUUAAUUUAAUGACGAUGUGUCAUAUUAUUAUUUACUGAUGCUUUAUGAUAAUCAUAUAAAUACCAUUCUCAUAAUUUAUGGUUUUUCAUCAGCAUAUCCGGGGCUUAAUAUUGUUGAUCAAAAUCUUGCAUUUACUAAUUCAAUAUUAUAUCUUGCUUAAUACAUUGUUGCAUUACAUGCUCUCUCUUUUCUUCACUGCAAUGGAAGAAUGUACAGUUGACUUUACUAAUUCAAUAUCAUAAAUUGCUUUAAUUUUGCAUAAUUUCUUUACUUGAGCCAAUAUGGUUUUGUUUUGCUGAUUACCCAUUGAUCUGCAAACCGUUUGUGUUUUUUUGUGAUCUAAUCUAAAUUUCACAGACACAUGCCUCGAUAAUGAACACUCCUAGCAUGCUAACACCACAUGGAGUGACACCAGCAACCAAUUCGAUGAAUUUUCAAGAGAGAGAGUUCUCAGUUGGAAACCUUCAGUCUCCUAUGAUGGUAUGUAUACUUUUUUGUUUAAUUUAAUGAUAUGUGUCAUGUUAUUAUUUACUGAUAAUGCUUGAAAUUUAUAUAUCGAUGAUUUAUAAAAGAAUAUUACUUAUAAUAAUUCUCUUUUCUAAUGCACUAGAAUUUUUUUGUUUUGCUGAUUGGAAAAAGGAUUUUGAUGGAACUGUGUUUUUCUAUUCUUUUCCAUUCAAUGAUUUGAUUUGAUCUAAAUUUCACAUAUCUGUGCCAAAAAGAGCAUCGAUAACAACAGAUCAAUCCUAAAAGAUUCCAAUGAAGAGAUUGGAGACUUGAGUUAAGUCUCCAAUUUUUAACUUUUUAAUUUGGAUUUUCAAACCUCAACAAGAGCUGUGAACCACGAUACUUUGGUAUGCAUUAUUUUUUAUUUAAUUUAAUGACGAUGUGUCAUAUUAUUAUUUACUGAUGCUUUAUGAUAAUCAUAUAAAUACCGUUCUCAUCAUUUAUGGUUUUUCAUCAGCAUAUCCGGGGCUUAAUAUUGUUGAUCAAAAUCUUGCAGUUACUAAUUCAAUAUUAUAUCUUGCUUAAUACAUUGCAUUACAUGCUCUCUCUUUUCUUCACUGCAAUGGAAGAAUGUACAGUUGACUUUACUAAUUCAAUACCAUAAAUUGCUUUAAUUUUGCAUAAUUUCUUUACUUGAGCCAAUAUGGUUUUGUUUGGCUGAUUUCCCGUUGAUCUGCAAACCGUUUGUGUUUUUUUGUGAUCUAAUCUAAAUUUCACAGACCCAUGCCUCAAUAAUGAACACUCCUAGCAUGCUAACACCACAUGGAGUGGGACCAACAACCAAUUCGAUGAAUUUUCAAGAGAGAGAGUUCUCAGUUGGAAACCUUCAGUCUCGUAUGAUGGUAUGCAUACUUUUUUGUUUAAUUUAAUGAUACGUGUCAUGUUAUUAUUUACUGAUAAUGCAUGAAAUUUAUAUAUCAAUGAUACGUAAAAGAAUAUUACUUACAAUAAUUCUCUUUUCUGAUGCACUAGAAUUUUUUUGUUUUGCUGAUUGGAAAGAAGAUUUUGAUGCAGUUGUGUUUUUCUGUUCUUUCCGUCUCAUGUCAUUCUUGAACUUGCUCUUCGUCCAUCUUUCCGGUUAAAUUUUUUCUUCCUGCUGUUUACUGCUAUUAUACUGUUGUUUUGUUAUGCAAAAUUUUUGUCCUUCAAUCUAAAUAACAUUGUUGAAGAAGUGCCAAAUCAAUUGAAUUGUCCACCUUGUUACAAACAUAUACUUUUCUUGUAUGUCUUCAAACUCACAAUCCAAAUUUGCAAGAACAAAUUCUCACGAAAUGACUCAUGAUUUCACUAUGUUGAGUCUUGAACCAUAGUUUUGAUAUUAGUUGCAGGGAUUAAUGGUUGAAACGUUAUCAACACAAACUAAAAAGAAAAAAAUUAGAUAUACUCAUUAAAGACAUUAUAUAACAUUGUUUGACCUCACUAGCUUAUAUUGCAGGGAUAAAACUACAAACCAUCCUCACAAAAGAUCCCAUAAGAAUGUCAUUUUCCUUCGGCUACUUAAUUUUAUACGCUAAACCCUAUAGUCUAUUUAUAAGACUAUUACUUGUCCACCAAGAAACAUUUUUCAUUAAGAUUUUUACUUAUUAAUAAUACCUAUUUCAUUAACGAACAUAAUCAUCUUGCAAUAUCCAUCAUCUAUGAUUAUUUAUUAAACCCAUGAAUUUGUUGAGUUAGUGUUAGUAAUGACAUCACAUUAAAUCUCGACUAAUACAUAUGUUAAGUUUCUUUGCUAAUUUUCCAUGAAUAUUCUUGUUUCAAAUUUACACAGAGGUAGUUAAAAUCUAAAGUUUUCCGUGAUGGAAGUUGGCCUUAUUUUAAAUUCUAUCUCAAUUCCUUCGUUUCUUCAGUUUUACUCUUCGACACCUGACCCUUCUCUCUCUUUUCUUCACGGCAGUAGAAGUACGUAUGGUUAAAUUUACUGAUUCAGUAUCAUAUCUUGUUUUGAUUUUGCAUAAUUUAUUUACCUUGAAUCAAUAUCCUUCCAUAUGGUUCUGUUUUGCUGAUUUGAAUGAUGAUUUUGAUGCCGCUAACCCGCAAAUCAUUUAUGUUUUUCUGUUCUUUUCGUUUCAAUGAUUUGCUUUAAUCUAAAUUUCUCAGAUUCGUGCCAAUAUGAGCAUCGCUAGCACUUCAUCCCAUGAAGCUAUCUCUGAAGGACAAGUGAACUACUCGAAUCAAGAGAGCGAAGGGUUGCUUAAUCGUAACCAGAUGAAUGACUCGAAGAGGAGUAUAGGCAUUAAAAGAAGCUUGGAUGCUAGAGAAAAGGGCACAGAGGAACAAUGCAACUUCCAUCAAUCACUAGAACCGAAAAAUAAAAAAUUAACCCUCGAACAGCUUGGAGAGAAAGAUGAGAAGCAAAUAAACAAGAUAAUGACAGAUCGGCUUAACAGGCAGCUAGAGCAGGUAAAUUCUCCUCAUUGAAUUUAAUAAUUAUUUUUAUAUAUUGAAGGCAAAAAUGCCACUAGCAACUACUAGCACGGAUUGGACUCUGCAUUAUAAGUUAUGCUUCUUUUAAGCUAGUUUAUUAUUGAAAAGUAUUGUGAUAAAAUGUUUUACAAAAGUGUUUUUAAAAAAAAUUGAAUAGUGUUUAUCAUUUUUGUUAAAAAUUGUUUUUAGAAAUAUAAAACAUUUAUUUUAAAGGUGAUUUUGUAAAAUAUAAGAUUCAAUGAGGAGAUAAAAAAAAUAGUUUCAUUUAAAAGAAAUUUUUCAAAAAUCAAAAGCUAAAAAUUUUCACUUUGUGUUUUUUAGUUUGAAAUCAUGGUUGGGGUUGAGAAGUGUUUUUCUAAAUAAACUAACUAAAAUCUGAGAAUGAUUUUUACUUUUAGAGUCGACAAUAUAUCGUAAUAGAUGAUUCAAAAAAUCAUUGUAUCUACAAUGUAACUAUGCUUGUUUCUUUUAACACCUAUUUUGUUUGUAUAUUUUGGGAAAGGAAGGACAAAAAGUCAGAUAUGGAAUUAGUGCACACCAAGCAAUGGCCAGCACGACAGGAUGUGGAAGAAAUUAGGCAAGACUGCAAAGAAAUAGCUAAAAAAUAUGGUUUAAAAACACCUGGGGCGAAGCAAAGAUUGCUCGAAGUAGCAAGCAAGUUGGAGAUAAAACAAAAAGCACGUGAGGUAUGUUAAAUUUUUACAAAAUUUAAUUACUCAAUCUAAAUCUCCACUAACUUUUUAAUUUGAUUUUUCAGGACUCUGAGAACCCUUUCACUAAUAUGGUAUGUAUAUAUUUUUAUUUAAUUUAAUAUUGACGGUGUCAUGUUAUUAUUUAUUGAUGCUGCAUGAAAUUUAUGUAUUAAAGGGAGAAAUUAUUUUAUGGAUCCUUCUCAUCAUAUCAUCUAUGAUCCUUUUUUCUAAUUAUUUAAUGAUAUUUCAACAAUUUUUUCCAUGUCAUUAACAUAUAUCAAAUAAAAAAAAAAUUGAUGCACUUAGAAGAAUUUGGAUGGCCAUGUUUGCUACCUCUAUAUAUUGCUACAUUAUUUAUAAGUCACAUUAUAAUCAUAAUUUCUUUUUCACUAUAGUUGUAUUUUUAGACUUAGCAAUAAUACAUUGGAUAUGGAUUCAUGUAUUUUUAUCUUUUAUAAGUUUUCUUUUCUUUUUCUUUAUCUUGAUGUCUCAUGUCAUUUUUGAACAUGCUCUUACAUCUUUUUAAUUAAAUUUCAGGAUCACAUCGUGAAUAAUUUAGGUUUAUAUUUCGAUGGUCGAUUCAUUGAGGCAGUAAAAGAAAAGGUAUGAUAUGUACAUUAGCUGACCCAAGUAGUAUUUGAGAACAACCAACCAAAAAAAUUUGGGAACAUUAUUUAGUCUUUAGAAAUUUUUAUUCUAGUUAUAAGGCUAUUACUUGAUCAUCAAGAAACCUUGUUCAUUAAUCAACAUAAUCAUCUUGCAAUAUCCAUCAUCUAUGAUUAUUUAUUAAAUCCAUGAAUUUGUAUUUUUUAAGUACAUCACAUUAAAUCUCAACAAAUACAUAUGUAUAAUCAUAUACAUACCAUUCUCAUAAUUUAUGGUUUUUUAUGUUUAUUGUUUCAGUUUUCUCUAGAUCUUGGUAAUGGUCAUUCUGCAAUGUCUCCACCUCUACCCUCUGCUUUUAAUGAUUUGAAAAACCAAGUUUAUGUCCAAGGCAACAAACAAGUGGAGCCAGAAGAUUUUCAAGGUUUACCAGAAGAGUUGAAGAAACUUCGUUGGGGGGAAAUUCCAAGCUACCUUCAACCUAUUGCGAGCCAAAUCGUAAAGGAUUUUGCAAAAGUUGAGUUUAGCCAUACUACAGCUCUAGUUCUGUUUUGUGCUGCAGUAAAAGAGAUGGAAGAUUUUUCAGCUGAGAAAUUGGACUUGGAUACGUUAAAGAAGUGGGAGGCAACACUUAAAAAGGCUAAGGAAGUUGGUUUUCAAGUGGGAUUUGCUGAUGAUUUGUUAAGGAAGAAUUUGCUUGCCUACUUUGCUCACACACAUAUUCUUGGAGGAGGCUAAAAAAAGGAAGUUGGAGAGAUCAAAGGUGACUCAGCUCUCAUUGCUGAGAAUCAAAAGGGUGUUUUGCAUUCGCAGCAAAAUACACUGAACUUAUUUGAUUUGAUGCACUUUGGGUUUCAAUAUUUACUUUUCUCUAUUUAAACUAUUUGGUUUUGGGUUUAAAAAAAAAAAAAAACUAUAUGGAUACUUGGGUGUUUUGCUUGGACUUGGUGUUUUGCAAUCAUUUAUAUUAUAUGGUUUUUGAGACAUUGAUAUAUUUCAUCACCAUGUGCUUUAUAUAUAUGAAACUGUGUUAGUUAUUUUACCAGUUUAUUAAGUGUCAGAUUUGAGUGUGAGUAUUAAAAAUAAUUAUGUAUCCAAUAUGAUAAACUUAGUUUUUUUAAAAUUUUUCCAUAUUUUUAAAAGAUCCUUAUCUAUGUGACAGACAUGAGUACUUCAUUUAUUACUUAUUUUUCUUAGUUAUUUUUUUAAUACUUAAUUUUCCAAUUUAUUAAAUAUAGUUAAUAGUCUUAUCAGUUUAGAUGAGUUUAGAUAAAUUAAGGCAACCUAUGCAGAGAGAUUGAAUUUAAACGCAGCUGUAGAGGUAUGAAUUAAAAAAUCACUAUUAAAAGCAUUAAGUUAAAAAUUAUAUGAAAUAACUGUUUUAAAUUAUUUCAUAUUUAUGAAGCUAUUAAAAGUAAGGGCAAAUUUUAUUAAUAGUCACCCAAUUAUUAGUAAAUUUAAUUUUGGUUGUUCAAUUAUGAAAAGUUACAAAAUGGUCUUUCAAUUAUUAGUACAUUUAUUUUUUUGGUCACUUAUCUAUGAAAAGUUAUAAAAUAUCACUCAACUAGUCAAUUUCUUCUUUUUUGGUGACAGUUGGCUAAUGCAAAAAUGAAAAUAUCCAAAAAUUCAAUAUAGUUGGGUGACUAAAAAAUGGUCAAAAUAGUCAUUAUACAUUAGAUGAAAGAGUAAAUUGGUUAUUUUAUUAAAAGUUUCAUUCAUUUCUAUUGUUAAAAAUUAGUUCAUGUACGUCAACAUGAGGUACACAUGGAAUGUCACAUGUCACUAUUUAAUUAUUUUGUUAGUUAUGUCCGCUUUUAACAAUAGAAAUGAGUGAAUUUUUUAAUAGAAAAAAACAGUUUACUUUAUGGACUAAUUUACCUAUUUUUUAAGUAAGAGCAAAAUGUAUCUAACAAAUUUUGAUAUAGGCUAUCAAUCCACACACACGAGCAGGAAUAGGAAACUUUUGGUAUACCAUUAACCAAUUAUUUCCACUAGAAAUAUUGGUACCACAUUAGAUAUUUUGGUAUAAUGUUACAAAUUUUGGAUGAAUUAGAAGAGAAAGAUAAAAUUUUAAUAACAACGCGAUUAGUACGAUUUGACCCAAAAUAGUUAGGAGAGUGAACAUCUAACCAUCAAGUAAGGAAACUAAAUCCUCUAUAUCUUGAUUCAACAGUAAUAAGCUUUUGACAUUCUGAAAAAAGCUAAAAGAACAAAUAUAGAAAAUAAUAAAUUGUGAGAAUGACGUCCGUUGACCCGUUUGUGUCCCCCCGGAUCUGCAUGUUUUUGUUGGAAGGUGUAAUAUCCAUUUUGGUCCUCCAUUGUCUGUCAGACGUGUGAUUUGGUCCUUAGUUCAGAUUUAAUUAAUAGAAUUUGAUUCUAAUUUAAUUUUAAUUUAGUCUGUUUCACUUAUUUGGAUAUUUUGUGUGUGUACAUUUGGCAAAAAAAGGAAAGCCUCUAAUUUUGUUCUCAACUGUCUCCACCAAAUCAAAUCGCAUGAAAUGACUCGUGCGAUCUAAUGCUCGAGACAUUAUGAAAAAGUACCAAGAAAUCAAGAGCGAAUAUGAGGACGACAAAUUAACAGAAGAUGAGGUGAAGCGGAGAUUACUCGAAUUAACAGAGAAGCUUAAGAAACUAGAACAACAAUGAUCAAAAGAGGUACAUCAAUGUUUGAAACUCAAAGAAAAUGCUAAGUUUGAUUUCAAGAUCUUAAACUUGUGGUUUUUUGAGGAAUUGGAUAAAGUAAGGGAUUGUCUAAAAUAUGGUAUAUGCACAUGCACACUUCUUAUUGAUAUUAACCUAUAUAACCCCUUUGGCUAGAUGGGAAAAUUUUCUUUUAGGCCCUCAUAAAUUAAAACAUUAAAUCCAAGUCUUUUUACCCUUUUAAUUAAAUGGAAUAAUUGCCUUUUUGGCCCUAUGAAAAGUUAAUAAUUUAAUCUAAGCUUAUUUUGGAUUUGAUUUUUUUUAAUAGUGUUAACAGAUAAAUCUAAAUUUUCAAUGAUUUGAUUUUUUUUUUCACACCUUGUUUGAUAAUCCAAAAUAGAAACAAUCUAAUAGAAUCUUUUAUACAAAAAACAAAAAAAGUGUGAAACAUUAUAAAUAAGUAAGAGCUAUUUAUCCCUUAAUAGAGGAUAUUUCCAAUUAAUUUUAUUUUAUUUUAUUUAUUAUAAUAUUAUAUUAUGCUAUAAAACUUUAGGUUUAAAAUUUGACUUUUCUUUAGAUUAAGGUGAAAUAUUUAAAAAUUGAGGAUAAAAUUUAGAAUAUAAUUUUUUAUAAUUUAAUAUUUAUAUUUAUCAAACAAUCUAAUUAUAUUCUAUAAUUAAUUUUAAGUAGAAUAUAAAAUAGAUUUUACAACUUAAAUUUUCAAUACCUAUUUUUUCAACACUUAUUUUUUUUUAAUACUUAAUUUUUAAGUUUAUCGAAUAAUAUCUAAAUUCCUAAAAUUAGAAGUAGCAUGACUAGAUUUUAAGUUUACAAAAAAUACAUCUACUUAUGAAAAUACUCAAAAAUCUAAGAUAGUUAGGUAACUAAAAAAAAUAGACAAAGUAGUCAUUUUAUGUUAAACCAAAGAAUAAAUCGGUUCUUCUGUUAAAAGUUCCAUUCAUUUCUACUUUUAAAAUUUAAUUCAUGUACAUCAAUAUGAAGUACACAUGACAUAUCAUGUGUCACUAUUUGAUUAUUCUAUCAGCCAUGCCAACUUUUAACAAUAGAAAUGGACGAAAUUUUUAACAGAAUUGAUCAAUUUACUCAUUAAUCUAAUGCACAGAGACUAAUUUACCUAUUUUUUUAGUAGAGUAGGAAAAAUACAAUCUAACACUUAAUAUGAGGACCUCCAUAGUCAUUUGACCAAUAAAAACAAUGUUUAACCUUGUGCACUAGCAAAAGGACAAUUUCUACUAUUUUAUUAUAGAUUACUUGAGCAGGGGUAUGUUCAACUAUUUUUCAAAUUUUCUCUUAUGUUCUGAGGAAGCUGGUCAUAUCAUAAAUGUAUAUCUAAAUAUGUGUCGGCACAUGUGGCCAAAACUUCCUAAAUCAGGUUGAUUAUAAAGUAAAAAUUCGAAGGUUAAAAUAAGUUUUAAGUCGAUACAUAUUUUGCAUAUUUAGAAUUUAGUCUUCUUAAUUUUACUUUCAAAAGUAAAGUUCUCUACUUUUCAAGUUUAAAAAUUUAAUUAUUGUAAUCGUUGAAAUUUUUUGGUAUGAAAUUUUAAAAUAAAAAAAUUACUCAUGGGCGUCGAAACCACCAAAUAUAAAUUUCCACGGCAAAUAUAACAGUAAAUUAAAAUAUAGAGCAGUAGGGUUGAAUCCACAGUGACCUAAUUUUGCCUUUUCUUAUGACCAGAUUCGCUGUUGCGGUCAUAGUCAUGCCCAAAUUUGAUGCGUAGUAGUGCUGAAAAAAAAAUAAGAGGUUUAAAUUGAUUAAGAUAAUAAAAUAAGGAAAUAUGAAGUGUAAUAAAAUAAAACAAAAACAAAUUUGAAAAUGCAAAAAUAAUUUAAGAAAAUAAAAUAAAUUGGUAAAUGAAAUAUUUUUAAGCUUAGCCUUAGCCACGCCAAUUUGUUCGAGGGAUUUUGAAUACAACAACACGGACUCAACUUUCCAACUGUACGCCAAAAGAUUCCAACCCAACGCGAGCGCGCUUUUUGAGUUUAAAUUAAAUCAAUUUUAAGGGACGAAUUUGUACUAUCCCAUAUACUGGAGAGAUAGCGAAUAUCGAAUUGAAAGGUUCUUUUAGUAGGUUUGCAUUUCAUGAUUGUUUUGUUGGAGUAAUUUUAGAGCUAAAGCUAAAAAGGAUUUAAUUAAUAAUGGAAAGAAUAAUGCUUGAAAAUAAAUGGUUUAAAUGGAAUUUUGGAAAGUAUAAAGGCAAUGCCUUAAAAGGCAAUUAAAUCAAAAGGUUGAAAUCAAAAGGGCAAAAAAAAAAAAAAGAAACUGCAAAAUUGAAUGGCAAAGAGGCAGAAGAGGAAAAAAAUAGAGAAUUUAUUAAAUGCUAAAGGUAAAGUGUAUUUGAUUGGUUGUAACUAUUAGGUAUUUAUAUAGAUUUUUAGUGCUAAAAUUUAGCUAGAUUUUUUUUUAAAUAUUAUCACUAGAUAUUAUUACUAAAUAAUUCGAAAUUUAAAAAUCAAAUUUAAACUAGAAUUUAAACUAAUUACAGAGUUGUAACAAUAUAAAAAAUCAUUCAAUCUUUAUCCAGUCACUUUUAAAAACAAAAAUCUUCAACCCUUCAAUAUUUAUUCAAUCAUCUUUGAAUCUUCAAUCUUUCAAUCAAGCCCUCCUCUUUGCUUUUUGUUCCAAUUUAGCCAUUUUUUUGUAAGCGCUUGAAUUCAGCACACUAACUUCAUUCCUGAUAAGAAAAAUCUAAAUUUAAUAGCAUUUUAUUUGAUAAUUAGCCAAAAAUAAAUAUAUUAAAAAUACGAAUUUAUCUUGCUAUCAAUUUUUUUAUCAAGCAUUAAAUAAUUAAUGGAAAAUUAAUGUAAUAACUUUUAAAAUUAAUAUAAUAGUAACUUUAACCUUUUAAUAUUUUUAUAUUAUAUCAAAUUAGUCUUGAUUCUAAAAAAUCUAAUUCUCAAUAUUCAUACAUCAUGUAAUUUGAUCUUUUUUACAUAUUUGUUUUCGUUGUGACACUUUCACCUAAAAAGUUUAAAAAAAAUAAAUUCAUCAACUAAAUUUGAUUGAAAAUAUAUUAAAAAUGAAACCCAAAAAUCAAAUAUAAUAAUUUCCAUAUUUUCUCAUUGUAUUAAAUUUAACCCUCCACGUCACAAAAAAAUGCAAAAGAAAAACUAAAUUACAUAAUGUAUAAAUAUUGAGAGUUAAAGUUUCUAUUAUACCAAUUUUAGAAGCUGUCAAGUUAACCUCCCGUUAGUAGUUUAAAGACCGGUAACUAAACAAGAAAUAAUUGAAUAGUUAAAUAAUUAUUUUGUAUCUUUACAUAAUUAGGUGACUAAGAAAAACUUAUCAAUAAUUAAGUGAAGAGUAGUUAAAUUUGACCUUUAAUAACGAUACCAACCCUAAUAAUACAAUGAAAGUGAUUACACAGAGGGGAGGACUACCGACAUAAAAAUAAUGCAUUGUAUCAAGGAGAGCUGUUUCCAGCUUUUUUGGGUCACUUCAUAGUAUCCAAUGACCCACUUGCAUUCUUCUAUAAUUAGACCCCCUCCAAUGAAUACUGUUCAGCAAGUAGGCGACCUUUUCUCUCCUCUUAAAACGCCUAAGUCAGCCUAACUUGAACCAAAAAGGAUUCAACAGAAUUCCCUUAAGAUUUUUACGAAGAACAACAGAAGAACGAAGUAAGAACGAGCCUUGAAAGAUGAACAAAAGCAAGAACACUUGAGAGAAAAGUUUGAGUGAAUACUUCUCAAAAUUCUUAUUAACAACUCAAUGAAUUACAAUGAGUAAAGAGGUCUCUAUUUAUAGUUGAGCCUCAAAGUGCAUCAAAGGCUACAAUUAAAAGCUGUAUACAAUUAGAACUUUAAGACAUAAUUAGAAGCUAUAUACAAUUAGAACUCUAAGAUUAAAUAAUCAUAUCUUCUUGGGUCCCUUCCCUUAUUUAUCAGGCUCUUGGGAUGGGCUUUUAAUCUCUUCAAGCAACGGGCCAGUUUGGUUGGGCCAAAUGACCUCCUUCAAAUACGAUGGAUCGCACAAGUUCGUCAUGGUUGCGUGUUCCCAUGCGCAACCCAUGACAUUUUCCCCCACUUGUUCUAGCGACGCCCUCGUCGCAUCUUCCUUAUGGAACUGGUCAAUCUUCCCUUGGAACUGCCAUAAUGCCUCAGCAGGUUCCCAACUUGCUUCACUAUCAGGAAGUCCCUUCCUUCGAACUAAGUACUCAUGCCGUGGUCGGUGGUACUUUUGUCUAAUUACCCGAUCUCCUUCAAUGUUUUCAACUUUACGAUCAUACGACACCUUUACCCCCAUCGGUGCUCGUUCGGAGUUGCCUCGAUUUGGAUCCUCUUGAUCCCUAUGAAAGGGCUUAAGCAUGCUUACAUGGAAGACUGGGUGGACUUUAAAUUUUGCUGGCAACUCAAGCUUGUAGGCCACAUUGCCUACUCUCUUCACAACUUUGAAGGGCCCCUCAUACCUUCGCACAAGACCCUUGUGCAAGCCAGUAUAUCGCAGAAUCAAGUGUAGUUUAGCGAGGACUGAGUCACCCACUUGAAACUGCACAUCCCUUCGUUUUUGAUCAGCCCACUUCUUGUUACGCUUACUUGCCUUGUGUAAACAAGCUCUAGCCAAGUCAUUCUUCUCUUGCCAAUCUUUUGCGAAACGAUAGGCUGCCGGAUUUGGUCCUGUAUAAUGGGUCACAACAGCGUUGGGUGUGAGUGGCUGUUGACCCGUCACUAUUUCAAAUGGACUUUGAUUCGUGGCCCCACUUCGCUACAAGUUGUAUGAAAAUUGGGCGACAUCCAACAACUUUGGCCAAUCUCUUUGUGUGGCACUUACGUAGUGUCGAAGAUAUGUCUCCAACAAUGCAUUUACUCUUUCAGUUUGUCCAUCGGUUUGUGGAUGCAUGCUCGUGGAGAAGUUCAAGUCUGAUCCCAUUGACUUGAACAACUCCGUCCAAAACCGGCCUGUAAAUCGUCCAUCUCGAUCACUGAUAAUAGACAGUGGCACUCCCCAAUAUUUCACCACGUGUCUAAGGAACAAUCGAGCUGCUUCCUCAGCGGGGCACUCCUUGGUCGCUGGAAUAAAAGUCGCAUACUUUGAGAACCUGUCCACCACAACAAGAAUACUCCCAAACCCGUCAGACUUAGGCAAACCAAUAAUAAAAUCCAUGGAUAAACUCUCCCAUGGCCUUUCCGGAACUGGCAAGGGUUGAAGCAAACCGGCUGGAGUCUUUAACUUAACCUUAUCUUGUUGGCAUACUAGACAAGUUUUUACAUAGGUUUCCACAUCAGCACUCAUGUUAGGCCAGUAAUAACGUUCCUCCAAAAGGGCCAAAGUGCGAUGCAUCCCUGGGUGGCCUGCCCAUUUCGAGUCAUGACACUCCUUCAUGACUUCCUUACGGAGUUUCCCAUAAUGGGGCACAUAAAGGCGGUGUCCAUGAGUGUAUACUAGCUCCCCAUCAAGCCAAAAUCUUCUUGUUUUUCCCUCCUUGGCAAGCUCAAUCAAAUUUUUGGCCGUGGGAUCAUGGGACAAUCCCUCUCGAAUGCGUUCCAACAAAGAGCCAUCAGGUUGACUGAUUGCUGCGAAUUCCAUCUUUCGACUAAGUGCAUCAGCCACAUUGUUGGCACUUCCUAGUUUGUAUUCCAUUGUGAAAUCAAACUCUGCUAGUAGAACCUGCCAACGAGCCUGCUUGGGAGACAACUUUUUCUGGGUUAGAAAGUAACUAUUGGCAACAUUAUCGGUAAGGACCACGAACCUGGAACCCAAUAAAUAAUGCCUCCAUGUGCGCAAGCAGUGUACUACCGCAGUCAUCUCUUUCUCUUGGACCGUAUAUCUACGUUCCGUCUCAUUAAGCUUUCGACUCUCGAAAGCAAUUGGGUGUCCAUCUUGCAUCAGUACUCCCCCAAUAGCAUAAUCUGAUGCAUCCGUACAUACCUCAUAUGGCUUCGUAAAAUCUGGCAAGGCAAGUACGGGCUCCCUCGUCAUUUCUUGCUUCAAUUGGUUUAAGGCCUUCUCACAUUCUGGAUUCCAAUCCCAUACCUUCCCCUUCUUCAACAUGUCCGUCAAGGGGGUGGUAAUUUUGGAGUAGCCUUCGACAAAGCGACGAUAGUAAUUUGCCAAUCCAAGGAAAGAUCUCAACUCUGUUACCUUGGUUGGAGGCCCCACUCUGAAAUGGCUCGAAUCUUAUUCUUAUCCAUUCGGAUCUUACCUUCUCCCACAAUGUGGCCUAAGAAUGACACCUCUUGUUGGGCAAAUGAGCAUUUCUCCUCCUUGACGAACAACUCAUUUUCCCUCAAAGUCCGGAACACCUCCCUCAAGUGUCUUAUGUGCUCUUCAAGCGACUUGCUAUACACCACAAUAUCGUCAAGGUAAACAACCACGAAACGAUCAAGAAAAGGUUGAAGUACCUUAUUCAUUAGGGUGCAGAAUGUAGCUGGAGCAUUCGUGAGUCCGAAAGGCAUCACAAGGAACUCAUACGAACCGUACCGUGUCACACAAGCUGUCUUUGGUUCGUCCCCCUCGGCUAUCCGAACUUGAUGAUACCCCGAUCUCAAAUCUAACUUGGUAAACCAUCUUGCCCUACCAAGCUGAUCGAACAAAUCUGCAAUAAGAGGAAUAGGGUACCUAUUCUUCACAGUGAUCUUGUUUAGAUCUCGAUAAUCGAUACACAUUCUCAAGGACCCAUCGUGUUUCUUUUGGAACAACACUCGCGCACCAUAUGGGGAUUUAGAUGGUCUAAUGAAUCCCGCAUCCAUAAGUUCCUUCAAUUGCUUCCGCAACUCUUCUAAUUCUGGCGGAGACAUACGAUAGGGGGCCCUUGCUGGCGGCACCACAUUGGACGCUAACUCGAUUUUGUGGUCCACCUCCCUCUUGGGUGGCAAACAUUUAGGCAACUGAGUAGGCAUUACAUCUCGGAAUGAUUGCAACAAUUGUCCCACUUCUUUCGGGGUCUCACUAACAGACUCAGCGGUCUCUUCGAUCCUCAAUGUGGCUAAAUAUGAGACUUCAUUUCGCCGUAUACCUUUAGCAAACUGAAUUGCUGACAGUGUUUUUCCCUCAAAGCUUCUCUUCCUUGUCACUUUCACCAUGCAUUGAUGUUUCGCGUCUGAAAUCACCAUGUAAUUGCUUGAAGGGGCAAUAAGAGCAUUAACCUGAUCAAGGAAGCUUAGUCCAACCACAAAGUCAUAGUCAUCCAGUGGUAUUACCUUAAUGGAUACCUUCCCUGACCAAUUUCCGAGCUGAAGAUCCACUCCCUUUGCAACCCCCUUGAUUGGAACACUUUCUGAGUUAACUGUUUUGAUCCGACCCACUUCAUUAUCUAUCUUGAGGCCUAGUUUACAAGCAGCCUCCUCAGACAUGAAUAAAUCAGAAGCGCCUGUGUCAACGAGCGCAUUCAAUUUUCUGCCGGCCACAAUGAUGUCUACAAACAUCAAACCAUGGCACAUUCUAUCUUCGACACCCCCUAGUAUCGAUCCAAGGUUGUUAUCCUCCACAUCGGACUCCCCCUUUGCUUCCAUAGCCUUGAGAGUGGCCUUCUUUCGACAGUCCUUGAUCAUAUGUGGACCCUCACAGUGGAAACACCUUAUAGGCCCACUCUUUCUCUUGUCCCAAGGCUUCUUACCGUCGCCGUUCCUAGUGGGCCUUUCUUUAUCUUCCCCACUAUUACCCUUUAAUCUGGGUUUAGAAGAAUUGGAAUUGUCUUUCUUCCCACCAAAUUCAGCAAGUGAUUCUGCUACUGACAUAGCCUUGGUGAGUUCUUGAACUCCUCGGCGUUGCAACUCUUGCUUUGCCCACGGUUUUAAUCCGUCCAUAAAGGAAAAGAAUGCCUCUUUCUCCCCCAUAUCUGAGAUUUGGAGCAUAAGUUCGCUAAACUCCUGCACAUACUCCCUCACAGUGCCUUGUUGUGCAAGCCGACGCAACUUUGCCCGAGCCUCAUCCUCGGCAUACUCUGGGUAAAACUGUGCUUUGAACUCACAUNNNNNNNNNNNNNNNNNNNNNNNNNNNNNNNNNNNNNNNNNNNNNNNNNNNNNNNNNNNNNNNNNNNNNNNNNNNNNNNNNNNNNNNNNNNNNNNNNNNNCACAUCAGUGGACCUACGACGCCACCACAACAAAGCAACGUCAGAUAAAUACAUUGCAGCAGUAGUUACCUUAGUGACAUCCUCCGUGAUGCCUUUGGCACAGAAGUAUUGCUCGAUUCCCCACAAAAAGUUUUCCACAUCUCUUGCGGACCUUGUUUCCUUAAACUCCUUGGGCUUGGGAACAUCAAUAUUGGGCUUAGGUGCGGCAGCCGCUAACCCACCAUUGCCCAAGGCAACCUUGUAGAUUGUGAGUUCACCCUUGAGCUCCGCAAUCUCUCCCUUCAAGGCCACCACCAUAGCCUCAAUGGCAUCAUCUCUGCCAGUCAACUGUUUCAUAUUAUCCGUCACAUACUCUUUGAGCUGCUCCUGUAUGGACUGCAAUCCAUCAUGGAGCCUAUCAUCGACAUCUUCAACUCUCUCCUUGAUAUCCCCCAUGGAACUCUCGAGAAUGAGGACGCGAUCCUCUAAAGCUGACAAUAUGUCCCUUGAGCGACUAGCUUUCCUAGCCCUCCCACGGGUCUCCAUUCCCUCAACUUCUUUUGACAUCUUUCAACGGUGGCUUCGAACCUUAGCUCGGAUACCAACUGUCACGGACUUAGAGUUUUCCCACGCGAUCCGUACGGCCUUAGGAAGUUUUUCUGCUUAAAACGCCUAAGUCAGCCUAACUUGAACCAAAAAGGAUUCAACAGAAUUCCCUUAAGAUUUUUACGAAGAACAACAGAAGAACGAAGUAAGAACGAGCCUUGAAAGAUGAACAAAAGCAAGAACACUUGAGAGAAAAGUUUGAGUGAAUACUUGUCAAAAUUCUUAUUAACAACUCAAUGAAUUACAAUGAGUAAAGAGGUCUCUAUUUAUAGUUGAGCCUCAAAGUGCAUCAAAGGCUACAAUUAAAAGCUGUAUACAAUUAGAACUCUAAGACAUAAUUAGAAGCUAUAUACAAUUAGAACUCUAAGAUUAAAUAAUCAUAUCUUCUUGGGUCCCUUCCCUUAUUUAUCAGGCUCUUGGGAUGGGCUUUUAAUCUCUUCAGGCAACGGGCCAGUUUGGUUGGGCCAAAUGACCUCCUUCAAAUACGAUGGAUCGCACAAGUUCGUCAUGGUUGCGUGUUCCCAUGCGCAACCCAUGACACUAGGUACUACUAGGUUUACUUAUUCAUUAUCUCUCUUGCUUUGAUUUUCCUGAAUUUCUUGAGAAAAUUCUGUUUCAUAUAAUUUUGCUUCAAUGAUUUGCUUCUUCUUAAUUUAUAUCUGAAUAUUCGAUUGUAUUGUUUUUUUUAUUCAACGAUUUCUUCUGAUCCAAGUUAAAAUUUUCACAGAUCUGUGCAAGAUGAGCAACGGUGACAGUCAUUGGAACGACGAAGAUUGGAGUCUAAUUUUGCCUUUUCUUGUGACCAGAUUCGUUGUCGCGGUCAUAGUCAUGCUCAAAUUUGAUGGGUAGUAGUGCUGAAAAAAAAAGAAGUAAAAAUGGAAGGUUUAAAUUGAUUAAGAUAAUAAAAUAAGGAAAUAUGAAGUGUAAUAAAAUAAAAUAAAACAAAUGCAAAAAAAAUUUAAGAAAAUAAAAUAAAUUGGUAAAUAAAAUAUUUUUAAGCUUAGCCUUAGCCUCGGUGUACUCCAAUAUUGAAUCGAUCAUUGAAACAAAAUUUCACUUCCAAGCGAUAAGCUGGUUAUAGCAAUCGAGGAUCCUUCAAACCACCAACUCUUCCUUUCAUAGUCGAUCCUAGUAUCACUUGCAAAUCGACCCUUGUCAAAUUUCCAACCACAUGACACAUACCUAUAAUAUAUAUGGUAUGCAUAUUUCUUAUCAUUCAUAUUAACCAAUAUAACAAAGUCUAUCAUUUAAUCAUUUAACUUUAAAAUGUUAUAAAAUGAUCAUUGUACUAUUUGAAAGUUUUCAUUUAAGUCAUUAGAUUGUUAAAAUCGUCACUAUAUCGCUUUCUCUAUUUACACCGCCAACACCAAUCAAAAAUUUUCCUUCCCAUUUUCUUCUAAAAAUUUUAACCGUUAACCGAACCGAUUUUUUUUUUAAAAAAUUUAACCGAACCGAAAUUUUUUCGGUUAAUAAGGUCGGUUAACCGAAUUAACCGAAAAUUAUGUAUUUUUUAUUUUUGGUUAAAAAUUACCCGAAUUACCCGAAUUACCCGAAUUACCCGAAUUACCCGAAUUAACCGAAUUACCCGAAUUAAUCGAAUUACCGAAAAAUACCCGAAUUACCCGAAUUUUUUUAUUUUUUAUUUUUAAAAUUUAAAAAAUUUAUAAAUUAUUAAAGUAAAUUGGGUUUUAGACUUUAGUAAAUUGGGUUGUCUUUUAGUUUUAGUUUUAUUGGAUUGGGUAAUUGGGUAAACUUUAGUUUUAGUUUUAUUGGGUUGGGUAAUUGAGUUUGGGUUGGGUUGGAUAAUUUUAUUUAUUAAUUUUUUCGGUUAACAGAAAAUUUUCGGUUAACCGACCGGUUUCGAACCGAAUUAACCGUUAACCGAAAAAUCAUAAAAAAAUUAACCGACCUCCGACCGAAAAAAUUCGGUUAACCGACCGAUUAACCGAAUUCGGUCGGUUAACCGAAUUCGGUCGGUUAACCGAAUUUUUUCGGUUUUACCCGAAUUAUGCACACCCCUACAUGAGUGGCCCAUACAGUACAGUCUGUUGCCAAAGACAUUAUAAAAAAGUACCGAGAAAACAAGAGUGAGUACGAGGAUGACAAAUUAAAAGAAGAUAAGGCGAAGCCGAGAUUACUCGAAUUAAUAGAGAAGCUUACGAAACUAGAACAACAACGAUCAAAAGAGGUACAUCAAUGUUUGAAACUCAAAGAAAAUGCUAAGUUUGAUUUCAAGAUCUUAAAUUUUUGGUUUUUUCAGGGCUUGGAUAAAGUAAGGGAACUUGAUCCAACCCUUGUUAAAAAUAUAGUACAUGCACACUUUUUAUUGAUAUUAACCAAUAUAGUCCCCUUGGCUAGAUGGGAAAACUUUCUUGUAGGCCCUCUCAUAAAUUAAAACAUUAAAUUUAAGUCUUUUUAGCCUUUUAAUUAAAUGGAAUAGUUGUCUUUUUGGCCCUAUGAAAAGUUAAUAAUUUAAUCUAAGCUUUUUUAACACAAUUUUUUUAGCAUUGGUCCUUCUAAAAUUUUAUAAUUUUAUCUCACUCUCCUCCCCCUUAACAAAAUUUCUAGCUUCGUCCCUACUUGUUUACAUCUUGAUCACAUACAUACAUACAUACAUACAUACAUACAUACAUACAUACAUACAUACAUACAUACAUACAUACAUACAUACAUACAUACAUUUAUUCUUACCCAAGAUUGGCCCGAGCUGAAAUAUGAACUUAAAUUUUUGUCCAAGUCUACCAAUAUUUUAAACAAACUUAAUUUUUAUUACCCAAACCCUCCUGAAUUCUGAGUAGUUAACCCGACCCAUGAAGUUAAUGACCAGUAACAAUUUCUCCAAAUAGCAAUUGACAACUUGAAUUCCGAAAAUAGUAUAACUUCUAAAUGUAAUUAUUUUCCAAAUCUAAGAAUUUAUUGAAUGGUUGUUUAGUAAUGGAUUUGAGAUUUCAUGUUUUUUUUUUAAAGGAUGAAGAAUUAGUAUUACAACUAAACUUAUUGAUUUGAAGAAUCAAGUUUAUGACAAAAACAACAACAACAAAGUGGAGUUCAAAGAUUUCCAAGGCUUAGAACAAGCAUUAAACAACACUGCUCGGGGGGAAAUUCCGGACUACCUCGAACCUAUUGCAAUAUGUAUCGAAAAUGUUAGAAGAAAAAAAAAACUACUAAGAUAUUCGAAAUCGAAACUCAAAUUCUGGUUGCAAAAUUAAAUUACCGAAACGUAAAUUUACUAAUAGACAUAAAAGAUAAGCAUAGAUAACAGCUGUUUGAUAUUGAGUUUGCUGAGAUGGAGAGUGUCUAGGCAGGUGCAGAGCCAGCACCAACCCCCUAAAAUGGAAAUUUUAACUUUUAGCCCCUUUAUAAUUUAUAAGAAUUUAUAAUAAUAUAUGAUAAAAUUAUAUUUUGGUCUAAUUAAAGUUUGAUUUAAUCAUUUAAAAAUUAUAAAUAUAUAAACUAUUAAUAUAGUAAUAUUAUAUUUUUGUUAUCGUAAAAAUAUACAAUUUAAUUAUACUUCCUCUCAAAAAAAAAUUAACGUGUCUAAGAGUGAUGUAUUCGAAAAUGGCAUGAAGUUAGUAACAGUAACUAGGGUUCAAGUAAUCAGAUGGGAAGCAAAAGGUGAGAAAAAAACUAAAAAUGAUUGUUUGGAGUCCUUCACCUUUGGGUUAUGUCAAUAUCUAACACAUUGGUUCGGUCUAUAUAGCAGUUGCUUCAUCGAGACUGAGAGAUACGCAUUAUGCACACUUACAAAGAGGGAAAUCGCAUUGCGGAUGCAAUGGCGAUGUUGGCAAGAUACAAGAGCCUGGAAUCUCACCAUUUCAAUGUAUCCCAGAUGAGAUUUUACAAGUUUUGCAUUAUGAUGUUUCUGGUUCAGCAUAGAGGUGGUAAUCAAGGUAGUUUGAUUCGGGUUAUUUUGCGUUAAUUUUUUUAAUAAUAUUAACAGUUGAAUCUAAAUAUAUUUUAAAUAGAAUAUAUUUUUUUGAUGAUUUAAAAUUUAUAUUUAUCAAACAAUUUAAUAAUAUUUCAUAAUUAAUUUUAAGUAGAAUAUUAAACAUAUUUUAUAAUUUAUAUACAAUACUUAUUUUUUCAACACUUAUUUUGUCAAUUUAUCGAACAACACUUACCUUCCUAAAAAUAAAAAUAUAAUAUCUAAAUUUUAAAUUUACGAAAAAUACAAAUAUUUGUGAUCACAUUUAAGAAGAAAUCCAUUAACAAAAAGCAUAAAAACAGCCGUUAGCGGGGAAGUUGGAAACCACUAUGGCGAGGAAAGUUCAUCAAUUGUACUUUAGUCAGCAUGAUUCCGGAUUUCACGUGUCGGGAUGCGAACGUGCAGCCAUAAGAUUCCAUUUUGAAGGGAGGAUACCGGAAAGAGAAUAAUACGAUCAAUUGGAUUCCGAAUAGAAACGGGUCUAGAAACAAAAAAAAAAAAAAGUAAGGGUAAAUUACAUUAAUGUCACUCAACUAUUAGUAAAUUUAAUUUUGGUCACAUAACUAUGAAAAAUUAUAAAAUAAUUACCCAACUAUUUAAUUUUUUUUGGUCAUUGGUUAGCUAACGUGAAAAUAAAAAUACCAAAAAAUCCAAGAUAGUUGGGUGACUAAAAAUAGACAAAUUAGUCAUUGUACGCUAGAUUAAAAAGAAAAUUGAUUCUUUCAUUAAAAAUUUCAUUUAUUUCUACUGCUAAAAAUUAGUUCAUGUAUGUCAACAUGAGGUACACAUGGUAUGUCAUGAGUCAUUGUUUGGUUAUUUUGUCAACCAUGCCAAUUUUUAACAGUAGAAAUGGAUAAAAUUUCUAACAAAAAUGAUCAGUUUAAAAAUUCAGGUUUAGUUGUGACCGUCGUUGAAAUUAUUCUAUUAAAUUCUUUGAUAUGAAAUUUUAAAAUUUAAAAAAAUCACUUAAUAAUGUCAUGUAACAAUAAAAAUAACUUUAAAAAUACUUACUAGGAUUUUUUUAAAAACACCCAUUCAAGUUGUCAUGAUCAAAUAUUCUUUUCUGUCGUAAUAUUAUUUUUAGGAAAAAUUGAUGACAACAUUUUAACUGAAAUAAUUAACAGUAAGGUAAAAGUAUCACAGAGGCCUUUGUAAUAGGAAUCAGAUUGCAUUUUGCUCCAUCUACUAAAAAAUGGCAAAUUAGUCCACAUAAGUUAAAUUAAAGAGUAAAUUGGUCUUUCUAUUAAAAAUGCCAUUUAUUUCUACUAUUAAAAACUAGUCUUUGCAUGUCAGCAAGAGGUUCAUGUGGCAUGCCACAAGUUACUAUUUGAUUAUUCUGUCAGUUAUGUCAAUUUUUAACAGUAAUAAUGAAUAAAUUUUUUAAUAGAAAUGAACAGUUUACUAAUGGCGAACCUUGGGACUAAGUUUCAAGGUGGCAAAGUAAAACUUUAAAAAAAUAGUUGUUAGCCAAGAUUUCGAAAACCACAGUGCCAAAGAAAGUUUAUUAGCUUUUUCAUGCAUGAAUUUUUCCUCGAUUUAAUUAUUGAUAAUUUUUUUGUUACUCAACUAUGAAAAAUUAUAAAAUGAUCACUUAGUUAUUUGAUGUUGUUGCUUUUUUUGUCACUAGUCCUUAAAUAGUUAACAGAAGAUUGAUGUGGCAACUUUUAAAAUUAACAUAAUAGUAACUUUAAUCUUAAAUAUUUAUACAUUAUUUCAAUUUAGUCUUAAUUCUAGAAAAUCUAACCCUCAACAUUUACACAUUAUAUAAUUUGGUGUUUUUUUAUAGUUUUUCUUUUCUUUGCGACCUCUUUCACCUAAAAAGUUUAAAAAAAAAUUAUCAACUAAAUUUGAUUGAAAAUAUACAAAAAAAACACUAAAAAAUCCAAUAUAAUAAAUUUCAUAUUUUCUCAUUGUUUUAAAUUUAACCCUCAAUGUCACAAAGAAAAGUAAAAUUGCAAAAAAUACCAAAUUAAACAAUAUAUAAAUGUUUAAGGUUAAUUUUUUUUAGAAUAAAGACACAAUGUAUAAAUGUUGAGAGUUAAAGUUUCUAUUAUACCAAUUUUAGUAGCUGCCAAGUUAACUUUCCGUUAGUAAAUUAACGGCCGGUGAUCAAAAAAGAAAAAAUCAAAUAGUUAAAUGAUCAUUUUGUAUCUUUUACAUAAUUAGAUGACUAAAAAUAACUUAUCAAGAGUUGAGUGACUCCUAAUGAAAUUUACCCUUUAAUAACGAUACCGGACCUAAUAAUACAAUAAAAAUGAUUCCCCAGAGGGGGGAUCAAACAGAGUGGGGGCCGUUUUCCUUCCCUGUUUCCAGCUUUUUUUGUCACUUUAUUUGAAGAAAAAACAAAAGCAGACAUAGUAUCCAAUGACCCACUUGGCCUUCUUAUAUAAUUCGUCCCCCACCAAUGAGUAAUCUUCGGCAAGCAGGCGACACACACUCUCUUCUUCUCUAACAGUAAGUACUACUAAGUUUACGUGUUCAUUAUCAUCUCUUGCUUUGAUUUUCUUGGAUUUCUUGAGAAGAUUUUGUUUCAUAUAAUUUUGCUUCAAUGAUUUGCUGCUUCUUAAUUUAUAUCUGAAUUUUCGAUUUUUUUUUAUUCAACGAUUUCUUCUGAUCCAAGUUAAAAAUUUUCCCAGAUCUGUGCAAGGAUGAGCAACGAUUACAGCUUUUUGAAUGACGAAGUUUGGAGUCUCCUCAAUAAUCUCGAUGAUUCGAUAUCCGAGGUCGCGAACGGACCACCAUUGUUGUUAGAAGAGUUCAACCUGUCGAUGUCGAGUGGAAGCAAAAAAAGAAACCGUGAUUUAGAUCCCGGUAACUCACAAGAAGCUAAUGGAAAAGUCAGGAAGAAACAACGCCGGUGUCCGGGAACCUUUUAUGCCGGUGAAUCGUCAACUUCCCGGCAACAAGAAUGUUUGAAAGGGAAAACCGUGGCGGGAAUGGCGAAGGUUUACAAGGAUCGAAUUAGCAGCCGGAUAAAGAACGUAAGUCUGUUAAAUAAAUUCACAUUAUUAUUAUUAUGGGAAAAUUCCACAAAAGGUCACUAAACUAUUAGUUAAUAUAUCUUUUGGUCACUUAACUCCAAAAACUUACAAAAUGGUCAAUGAACUAUUUGAAAGUUAUCAUUUAAGUCAUUGGAGUGUUAAAAUCAACACUUGUACCAACCAGAAUCUCUCAUUUCCUUUCUCUUUUACAGUUUAGUUUUUUUUAUGAAAUGACUUUGAAAAUUACAAAUCUGUUAACCAAAAUCUAAAUAGUUUUCUUUUUCUUCUCUAUUUUUCUACUCGUUUAUGAGUACUGAUUUGUCAUACUAGUCGUCAAAUCGUCGCUUAGAACUCGCUAGCUGACCUUUAAAAAAAACUUAACAUCCUAAUAACUUAAAUACAACUUUUGAAUAGUUUAGUAAGUUUACCCUAUUCUUAUUCACUUUAUAUAUAUUACGGGUAAAUUAGAAAAAAAAACUGUUUUUGAAAGUUAAUUAGGGAUUUAAGCAGUUUUUAUUUUCUAGGGAAAUAAACUAAAUUUGGAGAAAAACGUGUUUAAAUUUGGAGAGAAACAACAACGUGUUUAAAAAGGCCUGUUUUUUUAAACAACUUAACACAUUAGUUUUUUUUUUUUUUUUGGUUAGAUAGAUAGAUUUUAGUAUUUUGCCUUUGAAUUUCGGGUUGGAUUCUUUUUUACUCACAUCUUUAUUUUUUAUUUAAUGUUGUUUUAAUUUUUUUUUAAAAAUUUUAAUUAAUAAUUAAUUUUUUUAAAAUAAUAAAUUUGGGAAAAACAGCCUAAAUCCCUAAUUGACUUUUAAAAAGGGCCUUUCCUUUUUUCUAAUUUAACCUAUAUAAAGCAUCUAAUAAGGUAUUUUUUUUCCUAGGAGAAAAGGUGAGGAUGAUCUUCAUCUCGGAAGAGAAUAAUACUUUAUAAUAGAUGCAGUUUGAAAACCUUUGCAUCAACAAUACGUAUGAAUUGUCUCUUACCACUUGCUUUCUGUAUAUUUGGUAAAAUGAAGGACAAGAUAGCAGACAUGGAAGUUAUUAUAAGGAUAGUUUGUAACAUGGCGGCCAUUAAUGCGUCUCAUCUCUUAGCACGAGUUUUCGGCUCCCUCGAGCAAAUCAAAACGCAAUGGCCAAUUCGACCUGACCUCCAACACAUAAAGCAAAACAUUCAAGAAAUCGAGAGCAACUACAAGGACGACAGUUUAACCGAGGAGGCAAAACGAAGAUUAGCUGAAGUAGGAGAUGAGUUGGAGAGAUUAGAUCAAGAACGACUAAAGGUACGCUAAUUUUUACGAAUUUUUUAUUACUUAGUUUCUAUAAUAUUCCAAGUCUCCAAUAUAACUUUGUAGUUUGAUUUUCAGGAUUCAACAAAAGCAGGGAACCUUGAUGCAGUCUUUAUGGUAUGUAUAUUCAACAAAAGUUAUGUAUGUUACUCAAAUUUAAGUGUGAGUGUCAAAUAUAACUUCAUAUUCCACUCAUUUUGGAUGAUCAAAUUUAGUACUUUUAUCUAAAUAUAUAAAUCAAUAAUAUCUUUCCUCAUUACUAGACUUCUUUUCAGACCUAACAAAAAGUCAUUUUCAACUAUUUUACUUUAUUUCAGAUGUAUUGGAUGUGGGUUUGUAUCUAAUAAGGGUAUGUUUUUUUUCUUGUUGAAUCUUUCUAAGUAAUAUCUAUGUAUUUGAAACUAUAAACAUGAAAAAAAAUAAUGCAUAUCUUAAUUCAUCAAGUUAUUUGUUUUGAUUAUUUAUUUUCAUUUCUCUUAAAUUUCAGGAUUUUAGCAUGCGGACUCUACAAAAAGAGGUACAAUAUACAUACAUACAUAUGUGCAUGCAUAGAUUACAUAUGAUUCAUGUUUUAAAUAUAAUGAAUAUUAUAUAACAGAAUACAUAAAAAUGUAAAAUUAAAAUUCAUGUUGUUGUAUAUUUUUCAAAUACAUAUCACAUCAUUCUUAUAAAUUAUAACCUGUUUUUUUUUUUUUUAAAUUGUUCUAGCUUUCUUCAGCAUGUCUGUGGCUGAUGUCGAAGAAACUACAGCAACUAAUCAUCUUAUUAGUGUUGAUGAAGAUCAAGAUCAGCAUCAUGGAAGUUCGCUAACUCCUCAAGUGUUAUACUCUAAUUUUAGCUAUCUGAAAAACCAACCUUAUGACAAAAGGCAACUGUUAUGCCACCUUCAUAUCACCUACGACCGCGGCUCGCCACACCAUUGAGCACACUUUCAUCAUGAGCUGCCUCCACUAAAAGUGGUUGAGAUUCUUCAACUGUGCAAGUCACCUACAUUGUCAUGUCAUCAAUCUACAAGAUUACAUCACCGUCGCUAUAAAGAGAUAGGAUGUGACCCUACCGCCAACAAGAUACUUACACGUAACAUCACCUAUGUCUCAUAUAUAAACUUUCUCACCUACAAGGAGGGAUGAUCCUCACUCCCUCUCUCUCUUCUCUCUCUUAUUAUCCUUCAUCACAUUAUCACAACAGCUCUUCGCCUUUCAAGGGUGAAGCACCAGUCACCUCUGUCAACUCUUGCCGUUGUUGAUUCCUGAUAUCAACAACAAAUUGUAUAAUUCAAGUUUUCCUGCUUCUCUAAUCCUGCAUAGACUUUUGCAUUUAAAACAGUAAGUAUUGUUGAAUCUUCUUAAGCAAUAAGAUAUAUAUAUAUAUAUGUGUGUGUGUUUAGCUACAAUGCAUAUCUUACUUGACUAAGUUGUGGAGAGUCUAAGAAAGGAGGUAUGAUAUGCAUAUACAUAAAUACAUUUAUAUUUAUACAUUAUUGCAUUGCACAUUAGCUAGCUAUUUAACAUUUGAGAAUUUGGACUUCAAAAUAUGAUUUGGGUAUUAAAAAUAGUGCAUAUGUUAUGUGAUAGAAUACAUACAAAUGUAACAUUUAUGAUUUUUUUGUACUCAUGAAUUUAUUAAAUGCAUGGUAGUAAUGAAUUUGAAAUUCAUAUGUAAUCUUAUUAAAUAUCAACUAAUUUAUAUAAAAUCAUACCCACAUCAUUCUCAUAAAUAUGACUUGUUUUCUUUCUUCUUCUUUUUUUGUCUUGUUGCAGCUUUCUUCAACAUGGCCAUGGCUUAUUAGUGCUGCUCAAGUUCAAGAUCAUGGCAUGGUUCUGGAUGUUAUUUCUGCCCUUUGUUUUACUAGCUAGAGACAAGUUUCUUUGUCCAACUCGAUUAUAUUAUGAGCAUCCAAACUUUAUAUGCUAUUCAAUGAUCAAGUAUACAAUAAUGUAUUCUCAUAUUGAAGUAAACAACUUGUAUUGUUCUCAAGGGCAAAAAUUAGAAAACAAAUUUAGGGGAUGGAAUUAAAUUAUAAUUUUUACAAUAGUAAAAUUGUAAUUUUAUUAUUUUAAUAGUUUAUAUAUUUAUAAUUUUUAAAAGAUUAAAUCAAAUCUUUAUAUUUUGAGGGAAACCAAAAUAUAAUUUUACCUUUACUAAUUUUAAAUUUUAGAGGAUGCUAGCCUCUGUCAGCCUUAAUUGUUCUUAACAAAAUUUCCACCCUUACAUGACUUAAAAGGCAGAUUAAAUCCCACUAAAUUUUUAGAAAAAUGUUUGUUUUCAUACGUUGCAAGAACCUAAGGUACAAUAAUAUUAAUGUACUGAUCAUGAAAUAUAAUGUGGUGAUUGUUCAUCUAUUCUUUCAGCUAUGUUAUCAGAGGUUUAAUCUCCGCUCAUGUGAAUGGAAUAUAUUUUAUGUCUAGCUGUUUACCUCUCCAAAAAAAUACUCCGAACGAGUGAAUUAGUUACUACUACUUAUAAUAGAUAUCUUGGUUUUGAACAAAAAAUAAUAACAAUGGACCUGAGACGGUUAGGUCAGUUCAAGUGUAGCUAUUCGCUUUUAUUCAUAUUGUAUCGAAGAAAACUCUAUUUUAAGAAACGUGUNNNNNNNNNNNNNNNNNNNNNNNNNNNNNNNNNNNNNNNNNNNNNNNNNNNNNNNNNNNNNNNNNNNNNNNNNNNNNNNNNNNNNNNNNNNNNNNNNNNNNNNNNNNNNNNNNNNNNNNNNNNNNNNNNNNNNNNNNNNNNNNNNNNNNNNNNNNNNNNNNNNNNNNNNNNNNNNNNNNNNNNNNNNNNNNNNNNNNNNNNNNNNNNNNNNNNNNNNNNNNNNNNNNNNNNNNNNNNNNNNNNNNNNNNNNNNNNNNNNNNNNNNNNNNNNNNNNNNNNNNNNNNNNNNNNNNNNNNNNNNNNNNNNNNNNNNNNNNNNNNNNNNNNNNNNNNNNNNNNNNNNNNNNNNNNNNNNNNNNNNNNNNNNNNNNNNNNNNNNNNNNNNNNNNNNNNNNNNNNNNNNNNNNNNNNNNNNNNNNNNNNNNNNNNNNNNNNNNNNNNNNNNNNNNNNNNNNNNNNNNNNNNNNNNNNNNNNNNNNNNNNNNNNNNNNNNNNNNNNNNNNNNNNNNNNNNNNNNNNNNNNNNNNNNNNNNNNNNNNNNNNNNNNNNNNNNNNNNNNNNNNNNNNNNNNNNNNNNNNNNNNNNNNNNNNNNNNNNNNNNNNNNNNNNNNNNNNNNNNNNNNNNNNNNNNNNNNNNNNNNNNNNNNNNNNNNNNNNNNNNNNNNNNNNNNNNNNNNNNNNNNNNNNNNNNNNNNNNNNNNNNNNNNNNNNNNNNNNNNNNNNNNNNNNNNNNNNNNNNNNNNNNNNNNNNNNNNNNNNNNNNNNNNNNNNNNNNNNNNNNNNNNNNNNNNNNNNNNNNNNNNNNNNNNNNNNNNNNNNNNNNNNNNNNNNNNNNNNNNNNNNNNNNNNNNNNNNNNNNNNNNNNNNNNNNNNNNNNNNNNNNNNNNNNNNNNNNNNNNNNNNNNNNNNNNNNNNNNNNNNNNNNNNNNNNNNNNNNNNNNNNNNNNNNNNNNNNNNNNNNNNNNNNNNNNNNNNNNNNNNNNNNNNNNNNNAGUAAGGAAACCAAAUCCUCUAUAUCUUGAUUCAACAGUAAUAAGCUUUUGACAUUCUGGAAAAAGCUAAAGGAACAAAUAUAGAAAACAAAAAAUUGUGAGAAUGACGUCCGUUGACCCGUUUGUGUCCCCCCGGAUCUGCAUGUUUUUGUUGGAAGGCGUAAUAUGCAUUUUGGUCCUCCAUUGUCUGUCAGACGUGUGAUUUGGUCCUUAAUUCAGUUUUAAUUAAUAUAAUUUGAUUCUGAUUUAAUUUUAAUUUAGUCUAUUUCACUUUUCUGAUAUUUUGUGUGUGUGUACAUUUGUUGAAAAGAGGAAAGCCUCUAAUUUUGUUCUCAACUGUCUCAACCAAAUCAAAUCGCAUGAAAUGACUCGUGCGAUCUAAUGCUCGAGACAUUAUGAAAAAGUACCAAGAAAUCAAGAGUGAAUACGAGGACGACAAAUUAACAGAAGAUGAGGUGAAGUGGAGAUUACUAGAAUUAACAGAGAAGCUUAAGAAACUAGAACAACAAUGAUCAAAAGAGGUGCAUCAAUGUUUGAAACUCAAAGAAAAUGCUAAGUUUGAUUUCAAGAUCUUAAACUUGUGGUUUUUUGAGGACUUGGAUAAAGUAAGGGAUUGUCUAAGCUAUGGUAUAUGCGCAUGCACACUUCUUAUUGAUAUUAACCUAUAUAGCCCCUUUGGCUAGAUGGGAAAAUUUUCUUUUAGGCCCUCAUAAAUUAAAACAUUAAAUCCAAGUCUUUUUACCCUUUUAAUUAAAUGGAAUAAUUGCCUUUUUGGCCCUAUGAAAAGUUAAUAAUUUAAUCUAAGCUUAUUUUGGAUUUGGUUUUUUUUAAUAGUGUUAACAGGUAAAUCUAAAUUUUCAAUGAUUUGAUUUUUUUUACACUUGUUUGAUAAUCCAAAAUAAAAACAAUCUAAUAGAAUCUUUUAUACAAAAAACAAAAAAGUGUGAAAAAUUAUAAAUAAGUAAGAGCUAUUUAUCACUUAAUAGAGAAUAUUUCCAAUUAAUUCAAUUUUAUUUUAUUUAUUAUAAUAUUAUAUUAUGCUAUAAAACUUUAGGUUUAAAAUUUGACUUUUAUUUAGAAUAAGGUGAAAUAUUUAAAAAUUGAGGAUAAAAUUUAGAACAUAACUUUUUAUAAUUUAAUAUUUAUAUUUAUCAAACAGAUUUUACAACUUAAACUUUCAAUACCUAUUUUUUCAACACUUAUUUUUUUAAUAUUUAAUUUUUAAAUUUAUCGAAUAAUACCUAAAUUCCUAAAAUUAGAAGUAGAAUGACUAGAUUUUAAGUUUACAAAAAAUACAUCUACUUAUGAAAAUACUCAAAAAUCUAAGAUAGUUGGGUAACUAAAAAAAUAGACAAAUUAAUCAUUUUAUGUUAAACCAAAGAAUAAAUUAGUUCUUCUGUUAAGAGUUCCAUUCAUUUCUACUCUUAAAAUUUAAUUCAUGUACAUCAAUAUGAAGUACACAUGACAUAUCACGUGUCACUAUUUGAUUAUUCUAUCAGCCAUGUCAACUUUUAACAAUAGAAAUGGAUGAAAUUUUUAACAGAAAUGAUCAAUUUACUCAUUAAUCUAAUGCACAGAGACUAAUUUACCUAUUUUUUAGUAGAGUAGGAAAAAUACAGUCUAACACUUAAUAUGAGGACCUCCAUAGUAAUUUUACCAAUAAAGACAUUUGUCCUUGUGCACUAGCAAAAAGACAAUUUCUACUAUUUUAUUAGAUUACUUGAGCAGGGGUAUGUUCAACUACUUUUCAAAUUUUCUCUUAUGUUCUGAGGAAGCUGGUCAUAUCAUAAAUGUAUAUCUAAAUAUGUGUCGGCACAUGUGUCCAAAACUUCCUAAAUCAGGUUAGGUUGAUUAUAAAGUAAAAAAUUUGAAGGUUAAAAUAAGUUUUAAGUAGUUACACAUUUUGCAUAUUUAGAAUUUAGUCUUCUUAAUUUUACUUUCAAAAGUAAAGUUCUCUACUUUUCGAGUUUAAAAUUUUAAUUAUUGUAAUCGUUGAAAUUAUAAAUUUCUACGACAAAUAUAACAGUAAAUUAAAAUAUAGAGCAGUAGGGUCAAAUCCACAGAGACCUAAUUUUGCCUUUUCUUGUGACCAGAUUCGCAGUCGCGGUCAUAGUCAUGCCCAAAUUUGAUGGGUAGUAGUGCUGAAAAAAAAAGAAAUAAAAAUGGGAGGUUUAAAUUGAUUAAGAUAAUAAAAUAAGGAAAUAUGAAAUGUAAUAAAAUAAAACAAAAACAAUUUUAAAAAUGCAAAAAUAAAUUUAAGAAAAUAAAAUAAAUUGGUAAAUGAAAUAUUUUUAAGCUUAGCCUUAGCCACGCCAAUUUGUUCGAUGGAUUUUGAAUACAACAACGCCGACUCAACUUUCCAACUGUACGCCAAACAAUUUCAACCCAACCCAUGCUUUUUGAGUUUAAAUUGAAUCAGCUUUGAGGGACGAAUUUGUACUAUCCCAUAUACCGGAGAGAUAGCGAAUAUCAAAUUGAAAGAUUCUUUUAGUAGGCUCGUAUCUCAUGAUUGUUUUGUUAGAGCAAUUUUAGGGCUAAAGCCAAAAAGGGUUUAGCUAAUAAUGGAAAGAAUCAUGCUUGAAAAUAAAUGGUUUAAAUGGAAUUCUGGAAAGUAUAAAGGCAAAAAAAAACUGCAAAAUUGAAUGGCAAAGAGGCAGGAGAUGAAAAAAAUAGAGAAUUUAUUAAAUGCUAAAGGCAAAAUGUAUUCGAUUGGUUGUAACUACUAGGUAUUUAUAUACAUUUUUAGUGCUAAAAUUUAGCACGAUUUUUUCUAAAUAUUAUCACUAAAUAUUAUCACUAAAUAAUUCGAAAUUUAAAAAUCGAAUUUAAACUAGUUACAGAGUUGUAACAAUAUAAAAAAUCCUUCAAUCUUUAUCCAGCCACUUUUAAAAAAAAAUCUUCAACCCUUCAAUAUUUAUUCAAUCAUCUUUGAAUCUUCAAUCUUUCAAUCAAGCCCUCCUCUUUGCUUUUUGUUCCAAUUUAGCCCUUUUUUUGUAAGAGUUUGAAUUCAGCACACUAACUUCAUUCCUGAUAAGAAAAAUCCAAAUUUAAUAGCAUUUUAUUUGAUAAUUAGCCAAAAAUAAAUAUAUUAAAAAUAUGAAUUUAUCUUCCUAUCAAUUUUUUUUAUCAAGCAUUAAAUAAUUAAUGGAAAAUUAAUGUAAUAACUUUUAAAAUUAACAUAAUAGUAACUUUAACCUUUUAAUAUUUUUAUAUUAUAUCAAUUUAGUCUUGAUUCUAAAAAAUCUAAUUCUCAAUAUUCAUACAUCGUGUAUUUGAUCUUUUUUACAUAUUUGUUUUUCGUUGUGACCCUUUCACCUAAAAAGUUUUAAAAAAAAAAAUUCAUCAACUAAAUUUGAUUGAAAAUAUAUUAAAAAUGAAAACACCCAAAAAUUAAAUAUAAUAAUUUCCGUAUUUUCUCAUUGUAUUAAAUUUAACCCUCCAUGUCACAAAAAAAAUGCAAAAGAAAAACUAAAUUACAUAAUGUAUAAAUAUUGAGAGUUAAAAUUUCUAUUAUACCGAUUUUAGAAGCUGUCAAGUUAACCUCCCGUUAGUAAUUUAAAGACCAGUAACUAAACAAGAAAUAAUUGAAUAAUUAAAUAAUUAUUUUGUAUCUUUCCAUAAUUAGGUGAUUAAGAAAAACUUAUCAAUAAUUAAGUGACCUUUGAUAACGAUACCUUACCUAAAAAUACAAUGAAAGUGACUAUACACGGAGGGGAGGACUACCGACAUAAAAAAUAAUGCAUUGUAUCGAGAGCUGUUUCCAGCUUUUUUGGGUCACUCCAUUAGAAGAAAAAGCAACAGCCAUAGUAUCCAAUGACCCACUUGCAUUCUUCUAUAAUUAGACCCCCUCCAAUGAAUACUCUUCAGCAAGCAGGCGACCUUUUCACGGUAGGUACUACUAGGUUUACUUAUUCAUUAUCUCUCUUGCUUUGAUUUUCCUGAAUUUCUUGAGAAUAUUCUGUUUCAUAUAAUUUUGCUUCAAUGAUUUGCUUCUUCUUAAUUUAUAUCUGAAUGUUCGAUUGUAUUGUUUUUUUAUUCAACGAUUUCUUCUGAUCCAAGUUAAAAUUUUCACAUUUCUGUGCAAGAUGAGCAACGGUGACAGUCAUUGGAAUGAUGAAGAUUGGAAUCUAAUUUUGCCUUUUUUUCUUGUGACCAGAUUCAUUGUCGCGGUCAUAGUCAUGCUCAAAUUUGAUGGGUAAUAGUGCUGAAAAAAAAAAGAAAUGAAAAUGGAAGGCUUAAAUUGAUUAAGAUAAUAAAAUAAGGAAAUAAGUGUAAUAAAAUAAAACAAAAAUAAAUGCAAAAAUAAAUUUAAGAAAAUAAAAUAAAUUGGUAAAUAAAAUAUUUUUAAGCUUAGCCUUAGCCUCGGUGUACUCCAAUAUUGAAUCUAUCUUUAAGACAAAAUUUCACUUCCAAGCGAUAAGCUGGUUAUAGCAAUCGAGGAUCCUUCAAACCACCAACUCUUCCUUUCAUAGUCGAUCCCAAUAUCACCUGCAAAUUGACCCUUGUCAAAUUUCCAACUACAUGACACGUAACCUAUAAUAUAUAUGGUAUGCAUAUUUCUUAUCAUUCAUAUUAACCAACAUAACAAAGUCUAUCUUUUAAUCAUUUAACUUUAAAAUGUUAUAAAAUGAUCAUUGUACUAUUUGAAAAUUUUCAUUUAAGUCACUAGAUUGUUAAAAUGGUCACUAUAUCGCUUUCUCUGUUUACACCGCCGACACCAAUCAAAAGUUUAAUCUCCUUCCCAUUUUCUUCUAAAAUGUAUACUUAUUAAUAGUUCAAUGACCGUAGGUGUAUUUUAUCAUAAAUCAAAUUAUAAUUAUUUCAUCUUUCCGCAUGCAAUUUGCUUAGUUUUUUUCUUACACCUAGUAAUCAUUUUCAGCUAUAUUAUUUGAAUUUGAGUUUGAACAUCAGAUACACAUUCAUGCUCGAUACACUCUGACACAUUGAAUGAUCAUAUCCAAUUCUUUUAUUUGAAUAUGUGUUGAUAUAUUAUUCAUUUAUAAAUCACUUUAUAAUUACAAUUUCUUUUCUCAAUCACAAUACUUGACCUAGCAAAAAGUCAUUCACAAUUAUGUUAUAUGAUUUUAGAUCUAAGCAUCGGAUACGAAUUCGUAGCACAGGCAUGGUUCUGGAUGUUAUUUCUGGCCUUCGUUUUACUACAGACAAGUUUCUUUACUCGAUUAUAUUAUGAGCAUCCAAACUUUAUAUGGUAUUCAAUGAUCAAGUAUACAAUAGUGUCUUCUCAUAUUGAAGUAAACAACUUGUAUUGUUCUCAAGGGUAAAAUUAGAAAAACAAAUUUAGGGGACAAAUUAUAGUUUUACUAUCGUAAAAAUAUACAAUUUAAUUAUGAUUCCUCUCAAAAAAAAAUUUGAACGUGUCUAAGAGUGAUGUAUUCGAAAAUGGCAUGAAGUUAGUAACAGUAACCAGGGCUCCGCUAAUUAGAUGGGAAGCAAAAGGUGAGAAAAAACUAGAAAUGAUUGUUUGGAGUCCUUCACCUUUGGGCUAUGUCAAGAUCUAUCCCAACCCAAAGCGCUUUUUGAGUUUAAAUUGAAUCAACUUUGAGAGACGAAUUUGUACUAUCCCAUAUACCGGAGAGAUAGCGAAUAUCGAAUUGAAAGAUUCUUUUAGUAGGCUCGUAUCUCAUGAUUGUUUUGUUAGAGCAAUUUUAGGGCUAAAGCUAAAAAGGGUUUAGCUAAUAAUGGAAAGAAUCUUGCUUGAAAAUAAAUGGUUUAAAUGGAAUUUUGGAAAGUAUAAAGGCAAAAAGAAACUGCAAAAUUGAAUGGCAAAGAGGCAGGAGAGGAAAAAAAUAGAGAAUUUAUUAAAUGCUAAAGGCAAAGUGUAUUCGACUGGUUGUAACUACUAGGUAUUUAUAUACAUUUUUAGUGCUAAAAUUUAGCAAGAUUUUUUCUAAAUAUUAUCACUAAAUAAUUCGAAAUUUAAAAAUCGAAUUUAAACUAGUUACAGAGUUGUAACAAUAUAAAAAAUCCUUCAAUCUUUAUCCAGCCACUUUUAAAAAAAAAUCUUCAACCCUUCAAUAUUUAUUCAAUCAUCUUUGAAUCUUCAAUCUUUCAAUCAAGCCCUCCUCUUUGCUUUUUGUUCCAAUUUAGCCCCCUUUUUUUUGUAAGAGUUUGAAUUCAGCACACUAACUUCAUUCCUGAUAAGAAAAAUCCAAAUUUAAUAGCAUUUUAUUUGAUAAUUAUCCAAAAAUAAAUAUAUUAAAAAUACGAAAUUAUCUUGCUAUCAAUUUUUUUUAUCAAGCAUUAAAUAAUUAAUGGAAAAUUAAUGUAAUAACUUUUAAAAUUAACAUAAUAGUAACUUUAACCUUUUAAUAUUUUUAUAUUAUAUCAAUUUAGUCUUGAUUUACAUAUUCAUACAUCGUGUAAUUUGAUCUUUUUUACAUAUUUGUUUUUCGUUGUGACCCUUUCGCCUAAAAAGUUUUUAAAAAAAUAAAUUCAUCAACUAAAUUUGAUUGAAAAUAUAUUAAAAAUCAAAUAUAAUAAUUUCCAUAUUUUCUCAUUGUAUUAAAUUUAACCCUCCAUGUCACAAAAAAAAUGCAAAAGAAAAACUAAAUUACAUAAUGUAUAAAUAUUGAGAGUUAAAGUUUCUAUUAUACCGAUUUUAGAAGCUGUCAAGUUAACCUCCCGUUAGUAAUUUAAAGACCGGUAAUUAAACAAGAAAUAAUUGAAUAGUUAAAUAAUUAUUUUGUAUCUUUUCAUAAUUAGGUAACUAAAAAAAACUUAUCAAUAAUUAAGUGAAUAGUAGUGAAAUUGUAAUAAUACAAUGAAAGUGAUUACACACAGAGGGGAGGACUACCGACAUAAAAAUAAUGCAUUGUAUCAAGGAGACCUGUUUCCAGCUUUUUUGGGUCACUCCAUUAGAAGAAAAAGCAGCAGCCAUAGUAUCCAAUGACCCACUUGCAUUCUUCUAUAAUUAGACCCCCUCCACUUUGUAAUCUUCAGCAAGCAGCCGACACUUUCUCUCUUCUUCUCUAACAGUAAGUACUACUACUAAGUUUACGUGUUCAUUAUCAUCUCUUGCUUUGAUUUUCUUGGAUUUCUUGAGAAGAUUUUGUUUCAUAUAAUUUUACUUCAAUGAUUUGCUUCUUCUUAAUUUAUAUCUGAAUUUUCGAUUUUAUUGUUUUUUUAUUCAACGAUUUCUUCUGAUCCAAGUUAAAAUUUUCCCAGAUCUGUGCAAGGAUGAGCGACGAUUACAGUUUUUUGAAUGACGAAGAUUUGAGUAUCUUCAAAAAUGUCUAUGAUCCGAUAUCCGAGGUCGCGAAAGUACGACCAUUGUUGUCAGAAGAGAUCAACCCGUCGAUGUCGAGUGGAAGCAAAAAAAGAAACCGGGAUUUAGAUCCCGGUAACUCACAAGAAGCUAAUGGAAAAGUCGGGAAGAAACAACGCCGGUGUCCGCGAACCUUUUAUGCCGGUGAAUCAUCAACUUCCCGGCUACAAGAAUGUUUGAAAGGGAAAACCGUGGCGGGAAUGGCGAAGGUUUACAAGGAUCGAAUUAGCAGGCGUAUAAAGAACGUAAGUUUCUUAAAUAAAUUCACGUUAUUAUUAUGGGCAAAUUCAGCAAAAGGUCACUAAACUAUUAGUAAAUAAAUUUUUUGGUCACUUAACUCCAAAAGGUUACAAAAUAGUCAAUGAACUAUUUAAAAGUUAUCAUUUAAGUCAUUGGAAUGUUAAAAUCAACAAUUGUACCAACCAGAAUCUCUCAUUUCCUUUAUCUUUUACAAUUUAGUUUGUUUUUCUCAAAUGACUUUGAAAAUUACAAAUCUGUAAACAAAAAUUCAAAUAGUUUUCUUCUUUGUUUUUCUACUCGCUUAUGAGUACUGAUUUGUUAUCCCAAUCGUCAAAUCGUCGCUUGGAGCUCGCUAGCUGACCUUAAAAAAAAAAACUUAAAAUCCUAGUAACUUAAAUACAACUUUUGAAUAGUUUAGUGACUUAAAUAAAAACAUUCAAAUGAUUUAGUGACUAUUUUGUAAUUAUUAGUAAGUUUACCCUAUUGUUAUUCACUUUAUAUAUAUUACGGGUAAAUUAGAAAAAAAAACUGUUUUUGAAAGUUAAUUAGGGAUUUAAGCAGUUUUUAUUUUCUAGGGAAAUAAACUAAAUUUGGAGAAAAACGUGUUUAAAUUUGGAGAGAAACAACAUGUUUAAAAAGGCUUUUUAAUGUGUUUUUUUUUUUAACAACUUAUAACACAUUAGAUUUUUUUUUUUGGGGGUUAGAUAGAUAGAUUUUAGUAUUUUGUGUUUGAGUCUCCGGUUUGAUUCUUUUUUACACACAUCUUUAUUUUUCAUUUAAUGUUGUUUUAAUUUUUUUAAAAUUUUAAUUAAUAAUUAAUUUUUUUAAAAUAAUAAAUUUGGGAAAAAUAGCCUAAAUCCCUAAUUAACUUUUAAAAAGGGCCCUUCCUUUUUUCUAAUUUAACCUAUAUAAAACAUCUAAUAAGGUUUUUUUUUUUUCCUAGGAGAAAAGGUGAGGAUGAUCUUCACCUCGGAAGAGAAUAAUACUUUAUAAUAGAUGCAUUUUGAAAAUCUUUGUAUCAACAAUACGUAUGCAUUGUUUCGUAUCUCUUGCUUUCUGUAUAUUUGGUAAAAUGAAGGACAAGGAAGCAGACAAGGACGUUAUUAUAAGGAUAGUUCGUAACAUGAUGGCCAUUAAUGCCUCUCAUCUCUUACCACGAGUUUUCGGCUCCCUCGAGCAAAUCACAACGCAAUGGCCAAUUCGACCUGACCUCCAACGUAUGAAGCAAAAGAUUCAAGAAAUCGAGAAGGACGACAGUUCAACAGACGAGGCAAAACGAAGAAUAUUCGUUGAAGUAGAAUAUGAGUUGGAGAGAAUAGAUCAAGAACGGCUAAAGGUACGCUAAAUUUUACGAAUUUUUGAUUACUUAGUUCCUAUAUUCCAAGUCUCCAAUAUAACUUUGUAGUUUGAUUUUCAGGAUUCAACAAAAGCAGGGAACCUUGAUGCAGUCUUCACGGUAUGUAUAUUCAACAAAAGCUAUCUUCAGCUAUGUUAUUCGAAUUUAAGUGGGAUGAUCAAUUUUAGUACUUUUAUCUAAAUAUAUAAAUCAAUAAUAUCUUUCCUCAUUACUAGACUUCUUUUCAGACCUAACAAAAAGUCAUUUUCAACUAUUUUACUUUAUUUCAGAUGUGUUGGAUGUGGGUUUGUAUCUAAUAUGAGUAUGUUUUUUUCUUGUUGAAUCUUUCUAUGUAAUAUAUAUGUAUUUGAAACUAUAAACAUGAAAAAGAAUAAUGCAUAUCUUAUUUCAUCAAGUUAUUUGUUUCGAUUAUUUAUUUUCAUUUCUCUUAAAUUUCAGGAUUUUAACAUGGGGACUCUACAAAAAGAGGUACGAUAUACAUGCAUAUAUACAUAUGUGCAUGCAUAGAUUGCAUAUGAUUCAUGUUUUAAAUAUAAUGCAUAUUAUAUGAUAGAAUACAUAAAAAUGUAAAAUUAAAAUUCAUGUUGUUUUAUAUUUUUCAAAUACAUAUCACAUCAUUCUUAUAAAUUAUAACCUGUUUUUUUUUUUUUUUUAAAUUGUUCUAGCUUUCUUCAGCAUGUCUGUGGCUGAUGUCGAAGAAACUACAGCAACUAAUCAUCUUAUUAGUGUUGAUGAAGAUCAAGAUCAGCAUCAUGGAAGUUUGCUAACUCCUCAAGUGUUAUACUCUAAUUUUAGCUAUCUGAAAAACCAACCUUAUGACAAAAGGCAACUGUUAUGCCACCUUCAUAUCACCUACGACCGCGGCUCGCCACACCAUUGAGCACAAUUUCAUCAUGAGCUGCCUCCACUAAAAGUGGUUGAGAUUCUUCAACUGUGCAAGUCACCUACAUUGUCAUUUCAUCAAUCUACAAGAUUACAUCAGCGUCGCUACAAAGAAAUAGGAUGUGACCCUACCGCCAACAAGAUACUUACACGUAACAUCACCUAUGUCUCAUAUAUAAACUUUCUCACCUAGAAGGAGGGAUGAUCCUCACUCCCUCUCUCUCUUCUCUCUCUUAUUAUCCUUCAUCACAUUAUCACAACAGCUCUUCGCCUUUCAAGGGUGAAGCACCAGUCACCUCUGUCAACUCUUCCCCUUGUUGAUUCCUGAUAUCAACAACAAAUUGUAUAAUUCAAGUUUUCCUGCUUCUCUAAUCCUGCAUAGACUUUUGCAUUUAAAACAGUAAGUAUUGUUGAAUCUUCUUAAGCACUAAGAUAUAUAUAUAUGUGUGUUUAGCUACAAUGCAUAUCUUACUUGACUAAGUUGUGGAGAGUCUAAGAAAGGAGAUAUGAUAUGCAUAUACAUAAAUACAUUUAUAUUUAUACAUUAUUGCAUUGCACAUUAGCUAGCUAUUUAACAUUUGAGAAUUUGGACUUCAAAAUAUGAUUUGGGUAUUAAAAAUAGAACAUGUUAUGUGAUAGAAUACAUACAAAUGUACCAUUUAUGAUUUUUUUAUACCCAUGAAUUUAUUAAAUGCAUGGUAGUAAUGAAUUUGAAAUUCACUUUUUAUGUAAUCUUAUUAAAUAUCAACUAAUUUAUAUAUAAUCAUACCCACAUCAUUCUCAUAAAUAUGACUGGUUUUCUUUCUUCUUCUUCUUUUUUGUCUUGUUGCAGCUUUCUUCAACAUGGCCAUGGCUUAUUAGUGCUGCUCAAGAUCAAGAUCAUGGAAGUUUAUUUACUCGUGAGGAGUUGCAGUACUCUACUUUUAGUGAAUUAGAAAACCAACUUUGUGACAAGGACAACAAGAAAGUGGCUGUUACCGACUUCCAUGGCUUAGAACAAGCAUUGAACAACAUUGGCUGGUAUAAAACACCGGACUACCUCAAACCGAUUGUGACCCGAAUCGAAAAUGUUCGUGGAAAAGCUACCGAUUUUUGCCAUUACAGUAUUCAAGUUCUGGUUUGUGCCGCAAUCAAAGAGAUGGAAGAGGUAUCAAUUAAGGAAUUAAACUGGGACACAUUGAAAAAAUGGGCCGCGACACUCAACCAGGCUAAGGAACUUGGUUUUGAAGCGGGAUUUGCUUACAAUCUGUUGCAGAAGAAUCUGUGUUCCUACUUUUGUCACUCGAGUAAUUUUGGACGAAACUGAAAAAGAAAAAAAAGGGUUUUGGGAAUCAAAGGUGGCUGCUGAGCUCUCAUGUUUUGCAGUUGCAGUUGCAGCAAAAUCUUUGGUAAGUCACCAUUAGAAUUGAGCUUUCUUGCAUUUAAGCGUUUUAUCUUUACUUUUCUCUUAGACUAUAUGGUUUUUUGGUAUGAAAUCGUGUGUUUGUAUUGUGUUUUGCAUCGUGUUAUAAUUGCAUUUAGAAUUUUUGAUAAGAUGAGGAUCUUUAGAAAAAUGAAGAUUCCAGUAAUGGUUCACGACUUAAGAAAAAUAACACUCCAUCAGUAUAUCAUAAGUUAAUUCAAGUUGAUAAUUAUUAGAAUUAUAUAAAUUCUAAGACAUUGAUAUAUAUAUAUAUAUAUAUAUUGCUAUUUCAUGAUCUAAAUCUUCAAUUUAACUUUUAAGCUUGGUUUUUCAGGACUACAACAAAGCAAGGAACUUUGAAGCAAUCUUCACUGCUAAUAAUAUAUAUGGUAUGCAUAUUUCUUAUCAUUCAUAUUAACCAACAUAACAAAGUCUAUCUUUUAAUCAUUUAACUUUAAAAUGUUACUAUUUGAAAGUUUUCAUUUAAAUCACUAAAUUAUUAAAAUCGUCACUAUAUCGCUUUCUCUGUUUACACUGCUGACACCAAUCAAAAAUUUUUCUUCCCAUUUUCUUCUAAAACGUAUACUUAUUAAUAGUUCAAUGACCGUAAGUGUAUUUUAUCAUAAAUCAAAUUAUAAUUAUUUCAUCUUUCCCCAUGCAAUUGGCUUAGUUUUUUUAUUUACCUAGUAAUCAUUUUCAAUUAUAUUAUUUGAAUUUGAACAUUAGAUACACAUUCAUGCUCAAUACAGUCUGAAUGAUCAUAUCCAAUACUUUCAUUUGAAUAUGUGUUGAUAUAUUAUUCAUUUAUAAAUCACUUUAUAAUUACAAUUUCUUUCCUCAAUCACAAUACUUCACCUAGCAAAAAGUCAUUCACAAUUUAUAUAAUUUUAGAUCUAAGCAUCGGAUACGAAUCCAUAGCACAGGCAUGGUUCUAGAUGUUAUUUCUGCCCUUUGUUUUACUAGCUAGAGACAAGUUUCUUUGUCCAACUCGAUUAUAUUAUGAGCAUCCAAACUUUAUAUGCUAUUCAAUGAUCAAGUAUACAAUAAUGUAUUCUCAUAUUGAAGUAAACAACUUGUAUUGUUCUCAAGGGCAAAAAUUAGAAAACAAAUUUAGGGGACGGAAUUAAAUUAUAAUUUUUACAAUAGUAAAAUUGUAAUUUUAUUAUUUUAAUAGUUUAUAUAUUUAUAAUUUUUAAAAGAUUAAAUCAAAUCUUUAUAUUUUGAGGGAAACCAAAAUAUAAUUUUACCUUUACUAAUUUUAAAUUUUAGAGGAUGCUAGCCUCUGUCAGCCUUAAUUGUUCUUAACAAAAUUUCCACCCUUACAUGACUUAAAAGGCAGAUUAAAUCCCACUAAAUUUUUAGAAAAAUGUUUGUUUUCAUACGUUGCAAGAACCUAAGGUACAAUAAUAUUAAUGAACUGAUCAUGAAAUAUAAUGUGGUGAUUGUUCAUCUAUUAUUUCAGCUAUGUUAUCAGAGGUUCAAUCUCCGCUCAUGUGAAUGGAAUAUAUUUUAUGUCUAGCUGUUUACCUCUCCAAAAAAAUACUCCGAACGAGUGAAUUAGUUACUACUACUUAUAAUAGAUAUCUUGGUUUUGAACAAAAAAUAAUAACAAUGGACCUGAGACGGUUAGGUCAGUUCAAGUGUAGCUAUUCGCUUUUAUUCAUAUUGUAUCGAAGAAAACUCUAUUUUAAGAAACGUGUAUAUAUCUUAUACUAUAUUUAAGUUUUUAAUUGAGAUGAUGCCAUUGAUCAAUUAGGCAUCAAUUUAAUUGGGAAAUACAAAAAUCUAUAUAAAUCAAUGUAAAUCCAUUCAUGGUAGGACUUCAAUAUAGGCUACCAUGAUCUUCGAAAUAUUAAUUUUACCAUUUCAAUUAAAAAUUUAUUUUUUUUAUAUUUUUUAUAAAUAUGCAUUUACAUAAUAUUUUUUCUAGAUAUUAUAAGCAUGUCAGAAUUUGAUGUGCAUACACACAUGUAUGUUUGUAAUAUGUAUUAAACAUAAACUACUUUCCUUUAGGAUCAAUAAAUUAGAAUAUUUUUUAGUUUAAAAGAAUUUUUGGAAGUAAUUUUUAAAAGUUUAACUUUUUUUUUUACAUAUAUUUUAGAUUGUUUUAAAAAAUAAUUUUUUAAAAAGUAUAAAUUUUUAGAAUUUUUAUAAAUAUUUUGAAUUUUAAAAAUUAUUUUCAAUUUUUGAAAAUUAUUUUGAAAUUUGAAUUUUUAUUAAAGAAGAGACCAAUUUGCUCAUUUUUGAAAUUGACAGGGACCAAAAGAGUAUUUACACUAAUCUGUUAUUCGAAUUAUUCAAGUUGUAAAAUUCAACUCGACUCGAACUCGAAAUUUAAAAUUUCUUAUUCGAGUUAGACUCGAACAAUUUGAAUAACUCGAUUCAAUUAACUUGAAAUUCGAAUUUUUUUUAAUUUUUUCGAAUCGUAUCGAAGUUUGCUCACCCACCGCUAGACAAGGACCAUUUUGGAAAUAAAAACCAGAUUUUGAGGCUCAGACAAACAAAUUUUCAAAAUAGACAAAUGAAGAUUAACAGAUGUCCGUUCCUUCAAACUAGCAGAUUUAUUAAAAUAAAUUGAAUAUGAAUUAGUAAGUUCCUUCACUAUUUCUGGCACGGAUGACUUGAUGAACUCUUCUUCAUUUUUUGUUAAUGAUUCUCGUCGGACAACAGCAAAAUUAUAAAGAAGGAUAUGAUAGCGAAUUGGUAGAUUUAGGACUUACAGGUUUAAUGUAUCUAUAUCGGUGAAGAGAAGACAGAGAAAAGGCCGCCGCCGCCGCCGCCGAAGAGUUAAGCAGGAAAAACAAAGGAAUUCGUUGGUUAGAGAAAGCUUGGAAGUUGGGUCUAAACUUUGGGCUCAUUUUAGGCUAUUGUUUUCGGCGGAACCGGAUUUGAACUUAAUAAACAGAUAUAAACUUUUGGUUGGGCCCAAUUUAAAUUUAGCUCGGUUCAUCAUUACUUAUAAUUUUUAAUAAAUUAAUAAUAUUUUUAGGGCUAAUUAAAUAAAUUGAAUAUGGAAGUUUAAAUUUAUCUCCAAACUUCAAAUAUUUUAAUUCACUCUUUAAAAAUAUAUUUUUUUAAUUUUCUUUUCAAUUUUUACAUAUAUUUUCAAAUUUGAGUUUUUUUUUUAAAUUUAUAUAAAUUUCGAAAUUAUUAUUAUUUUGUUAAUUUAUAUAUUUGAAUUUUUAUAGAAAUUUAAAGUUUUCAAAUUUUCACGUAAUAUUGAUUAUGUGUCACAAUAUGGUGUUGUCACGUCAUUGAAAAUGAAUGCAGCUACAAACAAGCACUAAAAUACUGUAAAAACGUAAUCUCCUCAAAAUCAAAAUUCCACAGUCUUCAUCGCAGCUCUUCCAACACCUCGGUUUCUCGACGCUAGCUUUCCUCAUCGGUUUCUCGAAAUUCUAACUCAACUCCUUCGAGUCCUUAAUAUAGGCGCUUAUAACAGAUCUGUCAUCUUGUUCUAUUUGCAGUUUCCUGAUAAUCGAUCGGGUAUCCCCUUCAACUAUCAUUUUCCGAAAACCCAGAUCGAUUCCCAUUUAUACUGUCUGGAGAUAGGCCAAUGCUUCAGUAGCAAAAGAAGAAAGAAUGUAGCUAUUCAGAAUGAUUCUUGAGCCCAUCACCUGCCUACCAAGCUCGAACAUGAUUGUUUUGUGUGAUUUUUGAAGGCUGCAUCAAAGUUUAUUUUGAUAAACGCUGGAUCUUGUGGGCGCCAUCUUUCCAUCAUAAUCUCUUAGCAGGUAAAUUUCUCUCUAUAUCAUCAAUUUCCUUGAGGUAUUCUCUUAUGAAAACAACUGAUUCAUGUGAAGAUUUUUUAAUCCCUUCAUGCACCUCUUUAUUCAUUGUUGUCCAAAUGACCCAAGGAGCACAGAACACUGUUCUACAUUUGCGUGUUGAAAUGGUAGACACAAUAUCCAUUAACCAGUCUCUAAAUCCCACUCUGUGAUACAUCCUUAUUCCAUGUUAUUUCUAACUGUUGUCAUAUUUCUUUUACAAUGAUACAAUCUCGGAAAACAUGCUCUAUCGCUUCAGUUCCCUCUGAGCAUCGAGGACAGAUUGCUGAACUUCGAAGCCUUCUGUAAUGGAGAUUCCAAUACGUUGGAAUGUAGUUAUUAAACAGCCUCCAUAUUGUAAUCUUAACUUUUGAUGGCAAAUUUGUCUGCCGCAGCUUCUUGUAGAAAAUGGUGUGACCAUUAUUGUAGUGUCUAGGCUCAGAUGUAUCCUCUCCCUGUAAUAAUCUUUUAUAACCACUCCUAACGGUGUACUCACCAGUUGCAUCACCCCGCCAGACCAACGUAUGUUUGUGUUAAUUUAGUAUUGAGUUAAUUUGUGACAUAAAUUCAAUCAAUGAGAUUAUUAAUAUAAUAAAAAUAUGGGUCAAAACUUUUGUGUCAUAAUAUCAAAAUAUACAAAAAUAAAACAUUAGUUAAUGGUAUAAGUUCAAACCUUCUCAUUUAUAAUUUAUUUUAUUGAUUUUAUUUAAAAUGUAAAAAAUAAAAUUACCAUUAAAAUACAUAAAGGUAAUUUAGUAAUUUUUCUAACCGAGUCGGUGUUCAAGGAUUAGAAGUAAAAAGAAACUAUCAUUGUUAAAAUGUAAAAACUAUUUAAUUUUUUUCAAAUUUAUUAAAAUAUAAAUAAUAUUUUAAAGUAUUUUAAAGUCGUAAAUAUUGUGAAUAUCAUUAAAAUCAUUAAAUAAUUAUUAAAAAAUGAUUUAAAUUUUGCAAAAAUUAUAAGAAAUUUGAAAAUUAUAAUAAUUUUAUCAUUUUUAUUAAAAAUAAAAAUUAAAAAAUUCUAAAAUAGCAAGAAAUUAUCAUGCCAGGAAGAAAUCAAAUUCGAGCCUACUAAUACUUUUACAUUAAUUUUGAUAUUGAAAACUCAAAUUUGAGCUUAGAACUUAUAAUCAAACAUAGAUUAAAUUAAUUUCUUACGAAAUCGACGAAUUUAAUCUUAUACAGUAUUUAAUUUUAAUUAAUAUAUCAAAUAAAAUUUAAAACUUAAAUUCAAACUCUUAAUUUUUUUUAAUACUUAAUUUCUCAGUUUAACAAAGCAUUAAUCUCAAAUAAGAUAAACUUCACACAUACAGAAAAGUAAAUGUAGAUAUCAUUAAAGCCAAUAUUUUUAUAGACUGCAGCAAGCCAGCAACAGCAACAGCAACACAACCAUUUGCUCUUGGGAAGCUAUAUUUUUACGGUCGAUUUGGGCAGACAUUGAAUAGCAAAAUAGGCAAGAAAAUUCUUCUUCAACAGAUUAUCAGCAAAUCCCACUUGAAAACCAUAUUUCUUAGCGUAAUUAAGUGUCGCGCUCCACUUUUUCAAGGUACCCAAAUCCAAAUCCCCAACCGAGAAAUCUUUCAUCUCUUUGAUCGCAGCGCAGACCAGAAUUUGAAUGGCGACAUGAAAAACAUCAGUAGUCUUUCCACGAUCUUUUUCGACUUGGAUUGCAAUAGAUUCGAGGUAGUCUGGAAUUUUCCCCCAACUCGUUUUCUUUAAUUCCUGUGCCAAGCCUGGGAAAUCUUUGCAUUCCACUUUGUCGUUGCCUUUGUCAUAAAGUUGGUUCUCCAAAUCACGGAAUUCAGAUUGUACUCCUUCACGUGUUGGAUCAUUGGCUGCAGUAACUUUUACCUUGCAUGGAGGUGGGAAAAAAAUCUAGAACAAACAAACAUGAAAAACAAGUAAUAAAUUCAGAGCAAUGAAAUAAAUUCUGUGCUUAACUCUGGAAAAAUGGAUUUUGAAUACCGUGUGAAUUGUGAGAAUGUUGUGUAAAUGAGAUAUUGUUGCUCACUCGAAUUUAACUUGAAAAGAAUUCGAAUUCGAUUUAAUAGUUGUUGAGCUGAGUUUAAAUUACAUUAUUUCCCUUAAUAUGUUAUUAAUUUUAAACUUAAUUAUUGAGCCAAUUUCGAACUCGAGUAGCUCAAUUAUAUCUCGAGUCAAGUAUCAAGUUCCGAAUUUUAAAUCGAGCUCAGCUCGGCUCUAUUACACUCUAUACAUGACUACAUAAAACUCAAUUGAGAUUUGGUGUGGUUAUGUAUUUGAAAGACAUAAAAGAAACAUGAGAAGGAGAAGUUAGGAUUAGUUUAAUAUUAUUUUUGAGAAGUGCUUUCAAAAAGUGCUAUGAAAAAGUGAUUUUUGACAAGUACUUUUAAAAAGUUUAGUUUAAGAUUUAAGUGUUUAGUAUUAAUGUCAAAAAGUACUUUUAAUAACUAAAAAAAAUUGCUUUUACUUUUGGGUUGAACAGCACUUCUGACUCCAAAAGUUGUUUAGCAUUACUUCUGGCUUCAAAAGUAUUUUUAACCCCAAAAACACUUUUGAGAAAUAAUGCUAUAGAAAGCCUUAUUAGUGAGGAUAUUACCUUUGGAUAACUAAGUUGCCAUGCUUUUUCUUUGAAGUCCUGAAAAUUUAAGUUAAAAAAAUUAAAUUAAAGAUUUAGAUCAUGACAUUAAACCUGCUUUUUCAUACAAGUCCUGAAAAAUCAAAUUAAAAAAAAUUAAAUUAGAGAUUUAGAUCAUGAAAUUGAACUUAGUAAAUAAAUUCCUAAUAAUUUAGGUACCUCUGAUAGUUGUGGAUCAAAUUUAAAAAAAAUUAAAUUAGAGAUUUAGAUCAUGAAUUAAACUUAGUAAAUAAAUUCUAAUGAUUUACGUACCUCUGAUCGUUGUCGAUCAAGUCGCCGCUCCGCCUUAGCUUCUGCUAAUACAGCAUCGUUGCAGUUGAGGUCAGUUUCUUGGGUCACAUGGAUAAUCACUAGGGGAUCAGAUUGUAUUGGCCAUUGCAUUUUCAUUUGGUUGCGAUGGCAGAGAACUUGUUGAGAAGCUUUCGUUUUCCAGACGUUAGUGGCUUUCAGCCCGCUCAGCAGCAUCUCCACCAUGCGUUGCCACUUGCAUCUCCAAUUUGUUAUCUUGCCAUUCUUUUCACACAAAACAGGUAUUAAGAGACAAUCUACAGCAUUGUCAAUGCAAGGAUUUUUGGACCAACUGUUAAAAGAUAUUACCAUUUCCAAGGAUUUUUGGACUAGACACUAGACAGGGACCAUUUUGGGAAAAAAAAUCUAGAUUUUGAGGCUCAGUUUAUGAAAUGAGCUCAACACAAACAAAUGAAUAUUAAUCAUUUACAGCCCUACUUGCAGAUUUAUAAAAAUAAAUUGAAUAUGAAUUAGUAGUUUGAUUAAGAGACUUACGUUAUUUAUCCCUCUUUCUGUUGGAUCAUCGUAAAUUUUCGCUCUUUUUUGUCUCCAGUACCGGAUAUCCCUCGGUUUCCUUAUUCCUUUUCUUUCUUGUCUCAAUAAGUCAUCGGAAACAAAGUUCAGAUUUCUUUUCUUGCUUCCAUUCGACAUAGACUGAUGCUCGAGUUCUGCCACGCCAUAACCCAUCUUCUUGUUCGGAUCUGAGAAAUUUAACUCAGAUUUCCCAAUUAGAACAACAGAAAAAUUAUAAAGGAGGACACGAUAGCGAAUUAGUAGAAUUAGGAGUACUUACAGGUUUCAAGUAUCGAUAUCGGUGAAGAGAAGACAGAGAAAAGAACACCGCCGCCGAAGAGUUAAGCAUAAGAAACAAAGGAAUUCGUUGGUUAGAGAAAGCUUAUCUUUAUUUCGAGAUUUUGAAUAGAAUUUAAUGAUCUUAAUUUGACAACCGAUUUUGAGAUUGAAAGUAAACUGAUUUGAGACGUACCUUUUCCAUCGUCUUCGGCCUACUCCGACAAACUUCUCGAAUAACUGUUGUAAAUGAAUCAACGGGCAUGUUUUCUAAUUUUUUUUUCACUUUAAGCGGUCGUUGGAAAGAAUAGUCGGUCACGGAUUGCUCUUCAUAUUCCAGUUCUUCCAACAAAAUUACGAUAGUUUUGACCGCAGAUCGGUCUCCGGCGCCAGGAAGCAUAGCGUUCAUUGCAGACGAUGUGUUUCUGUGGUGGUCGAGGCAAUCUUCAAUCUUCAACAACAGUUCAAUUUAAUCUCUGUCCAUGUUGGAUUUGGUCGUGUCUUCCGCCAUUGAUGGUUCAAACUGAAAUCAAGGCAAAAAUUGCUUGAUUAUUGCAAGAGGAAGAAAGUGAAAUAGUGAAUCGAAAGAGAUGAAACUUCAGGGUUGUAGAUACCACAAUACAAUAUAAUAAAAAUAACGUCGGUAGAUGAGAAACGGUCCCACCAUGGACUUUUAUAUUUUCACGCGCGCGCAUAUCACAAUGGCUUCUCGCGAUGGGCGCGAGCAUAUUCAACUUCAACAUAACAUUCUCGCGAUGGGCGAGAGCAUAUUCAACUUUAACAAUAUUAAUUGUUUUUAUCCAUUACUGUCUAAAUGAACUAAAAUAGUCGUUCUAAGAAAAUUUAAAUGACUUUACAAAAAGAAAAAAAUUUAAAAAAUAAAGUGGUAAAAAAAACUUCUUCUUUUCUAAUUCAAACCACCAAAUACCGACCAUUUUAAAAAUACAGUCAAACCUUAUUACCUAACCACACUGCGCUCGCGUGUUCGUUGAAGCAUAUGGCUCCAUAUUUGCCCCUGCUAAUUUUCCAGUAAUCUUCUUGCGACAAUUUUAAUAGAGGAAGUUCAAAUCUCGAGCUUUUCGUGAUGGAAAUUAGCCUUAUUUUUAAUCCCAUCUCAUUGAAAACUUUCUUAGUUUCUUCGGUUGACGCUCUCACACCCGACCUGCUCUCUCUUCCCUUCACUGGUAGAAGUACUUAUUGUUGAAUUUACUUAUUCAAUAUCAUGUCUUGCUUUCAUUUUGCAUCAUUUCUUUACUUUGAGUUAAUAUCAUUCCAUACGGUUUUGUUUUGCUGAUUUGUAAGAAGAUUUUGAUGCCUUUCACCUGCAAAUCGUUUGUGUUAUUUCUUUUUUUUUUUUUUUUUGGUUUCAAUGAUUUGAUCUAAUCUAAAUUUCUUAGAUCCGUGCCAAGAUGAGCUUCGUUAAGUCGCCAUCCUCCGAUGUUCCACAUCUCGUUGACAACUUCCUGAAUGAUAAUAUGCCACCAGAAAUCAAUAGCCUCCUUGAAGGGGAAAAGACCCCAAGUGAGAACUACUUGACGCCGAGUGCAAGAAACUCUGAUCCUAAUAUGGUAUGCGUAAUUUUUUUUAUUUAAUUUAAUGAUGAUGUAUUUAUUAUUUAUUGACAGUGCAUGAAAUUUAUAUAUCAGACGGUACAUAAAAAAAUUAUUACUUGUAAUAAUUAUCUUUUAUUUUCUGAUGCGCUAGAUUUAUUUUUAGACAUUUAACUAUUUUACUUGAAUAUCAAAUAUAAAAAUUUAUGCCUAACAUAUACAUGUUCAAUUUUUCUGAAUUUUUUAAUGCAUUUAGAAGAAUUUGGAAGGCCAUAUUUGAUAUUGCUACAUUAUUUUUAAGUCACAUUAUAAUCAUAAUUUCUUUUUCACUAUAGUUGUGUUUUUAGACUUAGCAAUAUGGAUUCAUGUAUCUUUUAAGUUUUCCUUUCUUUUUCUUAAACUUAAUGACUCAUGUCAUUCUUGAACUUAAUAUCAUAUCUUGCCUAAUACAUUGCAUUACAUGCUCUCUCUUUUCUUCACUGCAAUGGAAGAAUGUACAGUUGACUUUACUAAUUUAAUAUCAUAUCUUGCUUUAAUUUUACGUAAUUUCUUUACUUGAGCCGAUAUGGUUUUGUUUUGCUUAUUUCCCGUUGAACUGCAAACUGUUUGUAUUUUUUUUGUGAUCUAAUCUAAAUUUCACAGAUCCAUGCCUCGAUGAUGAACACUGCUAAUAUGCUAUUGACACAACAUGGAGUGACACCAGCAACGAAUUCGAUGAAUUUUCAAGAGGGAGGGUUCUCAGUUGGAGACCCUGAGUCUCGUAUGAUGGUAUGCAUACUUUUUUGUUUAAUUUAAUGAUAUGUGUCAUGUGAUUAUUUACCGAUAAUGCAUGAAAUUUAUAUAUCGAUGAUACGUAAAAGAAUAUUACUUAUAAUAAUUCUCUUUUCUGAUGCACUAGAUUUUUCUCGUUUUGCUGAUUGGAAAGAAGAUUUUGAUGCAGUUGUGUUUUUCUGUUCUUUUCAUUUCAAUUAUUUGAUUUGAUCUAAAUUUCACAUAUUCGUGCCAAGAAGAGCAUCGUUAACAGGUCAGUCCUUAAAGAUUUCAAUGAAGAGAUUGGAGACUUGAGACAACAUGGUGGAUUCACCUAUAGUGGAGACACGAACUUUCAAGAGGUAGAAGUUAAAUUUUUACAAAUUUAAUUACUCAAUUUAAAUCUCCAAUCUAACUUUAACUUUUUAAUUUGGAUUUUCAGACCUUAACAAGAGCUGGGAACCAUGAUACUUUGGUAUGCAUUAUUUUUUGUUUAAUUUAAUGAUGAUGUGUCAUAUUAUUAUUUACUGAUGCUUUAUGGUAAUCAGAUAUAUAAAUAACACUCUCAUAAUUUAUGGUUUUUCUUCAGCAUAUCCGGGCCUUAAUAUUGUUGAUCAAAAUCUUGAAUUUACUAAUUCAAUAUUAUAUCUUGCUUAAUACAUUGCAUUACAUGCUCUCUCUUUUCUUCAUUGCAAUGGAAGAAUGUACAGUUGACUUUACUAAUUCAAUAUCAUAUCUUGCUUUGAUUUUGCAUAAUUUCUUUACUUGAGCCGAUAUGGUUUUGUUUUGCUGAUUUCCCGUUCAUCUGCAAACCGUUUGUGUUUUUUUUGUGAUCUAAUCUAAAUUUCACAGACCCAUGCCUUGAUGAUGAACGCUUCUAACAUGCUAACACCACAUGGAGUGACACCAGCAACCUAUUCGAUGAAUUUUCCAGAGGGAGGGUUCUCAGUUGGAAACCUUAAGCCUCGUAUGAUGGUAUGCAUACUUUUUUGUUUAAUUUAAUGAUUUGUGUCAUGUUAUUAUUUACUGAUAAUGCAUAAAAUUUAUAUAUCGAUGAUACAUAAAAGAAUAUUACUUAUAAUAAUUCUCUUUUCUGAUGCACUAGAAUUUUUUUGUUUUGCUGAUUGGAAAGAAGAUUUUGAUGCAGUUGUGUUUUUCUGUUCUUUUCGUCUCAUGUCAUUCUUGAACUUGCUCUUCGUGCAUCUUUCCGGUUAAAUUUUUUCGUCCUGCUGUUUACUGCUAUUACACUGUUGUUUUGUUCUGCAAAAUUUUUGUCCUUCAAUCUAAAAAACAUUGUUGAAGAAUUGCCAAAUCAAUUGAAUUGUCCACCUUGUUCCGAACAUAUACUUUUCUUGUAUGUCUUCAAACUCACAAGCCAAAUUUGCAAGAACAAUUUCUCACGAAAUGACUCAUGAUUUCACUAUGUUGAGUCUUGAACCAUAGUUUUGAUAUUAGUUGCAGGGAUUAAUGGUUGAAACGUUAUCAACACAAACUAAAAAGAAAAAAAUUAGAUAUACUCAUUACUGACAUUAUAUAACAUUGUUUGACCUCACUAGCUUACAUUGCACGGAUAAAACUACAAACCAUCCUCCCAAAAGAUCCCAUAAGAAUGUCAUUUUCCUUCGGCUACUUAAUUUCAUAAGCUAAACCCUGUAGUCUAUUUAUAAGACUAUUACUUGUCCACCAAGAAACAUUUUUCAUUAAGAUUUUUACUUAUUAAUAAUACCUAUUUCAUUAACGAACAUAAUCAUCUUGCAAUAUCCAUCAUCUAUGAUUAUUUAUUAAACCCAUGAAUUUGUUGAGUACGUGUUAGUAAUCACAUCACAUUAAAUCUCAACUAAUACAUAUGUUAAGUUUCUUUGCUAAUUUUCCAUGAAUCUUCUUGUUUCAAAUUUACAGAGAGGUAGUUAAAAUCUAAAGCUUUCCGUGAUGGUAGUUGGCCUUAUUUUAAAUUCCAUCUCAAUUCCUUCGUUUCUUCAGUUUUACUCUUCGACACCUGACCCUUCUCUCUCUUUUCUUCACUGCAGUAGAAGUACGUAUGGUUGAAUUUACUGAUUCAGUAUCAUAUCUUGUUUUGAUUUUGCAUAAUUUAUUUACUUUGAAUCAAUAUCCUUCCAUAUGGUUCUGUUUUGCUGAUUUGAAUGAUGAUUUUGAUGCCGCUAACCCGCAAAUCAUUUAUGUUUUUCUGUUCUUUUCGUUUCAAUGAUUUGCUUUAAUCUAAAUUUCUCAGAUUCGUGCCAAUAUGAGCAUCGCUAGCACUUCAUCCCAUGAAGCUAUCUCUGAAGGACAAGUGAACUACUCGAAUCAAGAGAGCGAAGGGUUGNNNNNNNNNNNNNNNNNNNNNNNNNNNNNNNNNNNNNNNNNNNNNNNNNNNNNNNNNNNNNNNNNNNNNNNNNNNNNNNNNNNNNNNNNNNNNNNNNNNNAGAUGAAUGACUCGAAGAGGAGUAUAGGCAUUAAAAGAAGCUUGGAUGCUAGAGAAAAGGGCACAGAGGAACAAUGCAACUUCCAUCAAUCACUAGAACCGAAAAAUAAAAAAUUAACCCUCGAACAGCUUGGAGAGAAAGAUGAGAAGCAAAUAAACAAGAUAAUGACAGAUCGGCUUAACAGGCAGCUAGAGCAGGUAAAUUCUCCUCAUUGAAUUUAAUAAUUAUUUUUAUAUAUUGAAGGCAAAAAUGCCACUAGCAACUACUAGCACGGAUUGGACUCUGCAUUACAAGUUAUGCUUCUUUUAAGCUAGUUUAUUAUUGAAAAGUAUUGUGAUAAAAUGUUUUACAAAAGUGUUUAUCAUUUUUGUUAAAAAUUGUUUUUAGAAAUAUAAAACAUCUAUUUUAAAGGUGAUUUUGUAAAAUAUAAGAUUCAACGAGGAGAUAAAAAAAUAGUUUCAUUUAAAAGAACUUUUUCAAAAAUCAAAAGCUAAAAAUCAUGGUUGGGGUUGAGAAGUAAUAGAUGAUUCAAAAAAAUCAUUGUAUCUACAAUGUAACUAUGCUUGUUUCUUUUAACACCUAUUUUGUUUGUAUAUUUUGGGAAAGGAAGGACAAAAAGUCAGAUAUGGAAUUAGUGCACACCAAGCAAUGGCCAGCGCGACCGGAUGUGGAUGAAAUUAGGCAAUACUGGAAAGAAAUAGUAAAACAAUGUGGUUCCAGAAGAGGAUAAGGAAAGAUCGCUAGAAGUAGCAUCCAAGUUUGAUAUAUUACAACAACAACGUAAAAAGGUAUGUCAAAUUUUUACAAAUUUUAAUUACUCAAUCUAAGUCUCCACUCUUAACUUUUUAAUUUGAUUUUUCAGGACUCUGGGAACCCUUCCACUAAUAUGGUAUGUAUAUAUUUUUAUUUAAUUUAAUAUUGACGGUGUCAUGUUAUUAUUUAUUGUUGCUGCAUGAAAUUUAUGUAUUAAAGGGAGAAAUUAUUUUAUGAAUCCUUCUCAUCACAUCAUCUAUGAUCCUUUUUCUAAUUAUUUAAUGACAUUUCAGCAAUUUUUUCCAUAUCAUUAACACAUAUCAAAUAUAAAAAAAAAAAAUUGAAGCACUUGGAAGAAUUUGGAUGGCCAUAUUUGCUACCUCUAUGUAUUGCUACAUUAUUUAUAAGUCACAUUAUAAUCAUAAUUUCUUUUUCACUAUAGUUGUAUUUUUAGACUUAGAAAUAAUACAUUGGACAUGGAUUCAUGUAUUUUUAUCUUUUAUAAGUUUUCUUUUCUUUUUCUUUAUCUUGAUGUCUCAUGUCAUUUUUGAACAUGCUCUUACAUCUUUUUAAUUAAAUUUCAGGAUCACAUCGUGAAUAAUUUAAGUUUAUAUUUCACGGUUCAAUUCAUUGAGGCAGUAAAGGAAAAGGUAUGAUAUGUACUUUAGCUGACCCAAGUAGUAUUUGAGAACAACCGACCAAAAAAAUUUGGGAACAUUGUUUAGGUUUCAGAAAUUUUUAUUCUAGUUUUAAGGCUAUUACUUGAUCAUCAAGAAACCUUGUUCAUUAAUUUUUUUACUUAUUAAUAAUACUUAUUUCAUUAAUCAACAUAAUCAUCUUGCAAUAUCCAUCAUCUAUGAUUAUUUAUUAGAUCCAUGAAUUUGUUGAAUAUGUGUUGGUAAUGAAUUUGUCUUUUUAAGUACACCACAUUAAAUCUCAGCAAAUACAUAUGUAUAAUCAUAUACAUACCAUUCUCAUAAUUUAUGGUUUUCUAUGUUUAUUAUUUCAGCUUUCUCCAGAUCUUGGUAAUGGUCGUUCUGUAGGGUUCCCACCUCUAUCCUCUGCUUUUAAUGAUUUGAAAAACCAAGUUUAUGUCCAAGGCAACAAGCAAGUGGAGCCAGAAGAUUUCCAAGGUUUACCAGAAGAGUUGAAGAAACUUCGUUGGGGGGAAAUUCCAAGCUACCUUCAACCUAUUGCGAGCCGAAUCGUAAAGGAUUUUGCAAAAGUUGAGUUUAGCCAUACUACGGCUCUAGUUUUGUUUUGUGCUACAAUAAAAGAGAUGGAAGAUUUUUCAGCUGAGAAAUUGGACUUGAAUACGUUAAAGAAGUGGGGGGCAACACUUAAAAAGGCCGAGGAAGUUGGUUUUAAGGUGGAAUUUGCUGAUGAUUUGUUAAGGAAGAAUUUGCUUGCCUUCUUUGCAAACACACAUAUUCUUGGAGGAGGCUAAAAAAAGGAGGUUGGAGAAAUCAAAAAUGGCUCAACUCUCAUUGUUGAGAAUCAAAGGGUGUUUUGCAUUUGCAGCAAAAUACACGGAACUUAUUUGAUUUGAUGCACUUUGGAUUUCAAUAUUUACUUUUCUCUAUUUAAACUAUUUGGUUUUGGGUUAAAAAAAGAACUAUAUGGAUAUUUGGGUGUUUUGCAAUCAUUUAUAUUAUAUGAUUUUUGAGACAUUGAUAUAUUUCAUCACCAUGUGCUAUAUAUAUAUAUAUGAAAUUGUGUUAGUUAUUUUACCUUGUUUAUUAAGUGUCAGAUUUGAGUGUGAGUAUUGAAAAUAAUUAUGUAUCCAAUAUGGUAAACUUAGUUUUUUUUUAAAUUUUUCCAUAUAUUUAAAAGAUCCUUAAAUGUUAUACCCCUUAUCUAUGUGACAGACACGAGUACUUCAUUUAUUACUUAUUUUUCUUAGUUAUUUUUUUAAUACUAAUUUUCCAAUUUAUUAAAUAUAGUUAAUAGUCUUAUCAGUUUAGAUGAGUUUAGAUAAAUUAAGGCAACCUAUGCAGAGAUUGAAUUUAAACGCAGAUGUAGAGGUAAGAAUUAAAAAAUCACUAUUAAAAGCAUUAAGUUAAAAAUUAUAUGAAAUACCUGUUUUAAAUUAUUUCAUAUUUAUGAAGCUAUUAAAAGUAAGGGCAAAUUUUAUUAAUAGUCACACAAUUAUUAGUAAAUUUAAUUUUGGUUGUUCAAUUAUGAAAAGUUAUAAAAUGGUCUUUCAAUUAUUAGUAAAUUUAUUUUUUUGGUCACUUAUCUAUGAAAAGUUAUAAAAUAUCACUCAACUAGUCAAUUUCUUCUUUUUUGGUGACUGUUGGCUAAUGCAAAAAUGAAAAUACCCAAAAAUCCAAUAUAGUUUUUUCUUUUUUUGGCAAAAAAAAUCCAAAAUAGUUGGGUGACUAAAAAAUGGUCAAAAUAGUAAUUAUACAUUAGAUGAAAGAAUAAAUUGGUUCUUCUAUUAAAAGUUUCAUUCAUUUCUAUUGUUAAAAAUUAGUUCACAUACGUCAACAUGAGGUACACAUGAAAUGUCACGUGUCAUUAUUUGGUUGUUUUGUUAGUCAUAUCAUCUUUUAACAAUAGAAAUGAGUGAAUUUUUUAAUAGAAAAAAAUUUAUUUUAUGGACUAAUUUACCUAUUUUUUAAGUAGGGGCAAAAUGUAAUCUAACAAAUUUUGAUAUAGGCUAUCAAUCCACACACGAGCAGGAAUAGGAAACUUUUGGUAUACCAUUAGCCAAUGAUUUCCACUAGAAAUAUUGGUACCACAUAAGAUAUUUUGGUAUAGUGUUACAAAUUUUGGANNNNNNNNNNNNNNNNNNNNNNNNNNNNNNNNNNNNNNNNNNNNNNNNNNNNNNNNNNNNNNNNNNNNNNNNNNNNNNNNNNNNNNNNNNNNNNNNNNNNNNNNUAUAUCUUGAUUCAACAGUAAUAAGCUUUUGACAUUCUGGAAAAAGCUAAAGGAACAAAUAUAGAAAACAAAAAAUUGUGAGAAUGACGUCCGUUGACCCGUUUGUGUCCCCCCGGAUCUGCAUGUUUUUGUUGGAAGGCGUAAUAUGCAUUUUGGUCCUCCAUUGUCUGUCAGACGUGUGAUUUGGUCCUUAAUUCAGUUUUAAUUAAUAUAAUUUGAUUCUGAUUUAAUUUUAAUUUAGUCUAUUUCACUUUUCUGAUAUUUUGUGUGUGUGUACAUUUGUUGAAAAGAGGAAAGCCUCUAAUUUUGUUCUCAACUGUCUCAACCAAAUCAAAUCGCAUGAAAUGACUCGUGCGAUCUAAUGCUCGAGACAUUAUGAAAAAGUACCAAGAAAUCAAGAGUGAAUACGAGGACGACAAAUUAACAGAAGAUGAGGUGAAGUGGAGAUUACUAGAAUUAACAGAGAAGCUUAAGAAACUAGAACAACAAUGAUCAAAAGAGGUGCAUCAAUGUUUGAAACUCAAAGAAAAUGCUAAGUUUGAUUUCAAGAUCUUAAACUUGUGGUUUUUUGAGGACUUGGAUAAAGUAAGGGAUUGUCUAAGCUAUGGUAUAUGCGCAUGCACACUUCUUAUUGAUAUUAACCUAUAUAGCCCCUUUGGCUAGAUGGGAAAAUUUUCUUUUAGGCCCUCAUAAAUUAAAACAUUAAAUCCAAGUCUUUUUACCCUUUUAAUUAAAUGGAAUAAUUGCCUUUUUGGCCCUAUGAAAGUAAUAAUUUAAUCUAGCUUAUUUGAUUUGGUUUUUUUUAAUAGUGUACAGUAAUCUAAAUUUCAAUGAUUGNNNNNNNNNNNNNNNNNNNNNNNNNNNNNNNNNNNNNNNNNNNNNNNNNNNNNNNNNNNNNNNNNNNNNNNNNNNNNNNNNNNNNNNNNNNNNNNNNNNNNNNNNNNNNNNNNNNNNNNNNNNNNNNNNNNNNNNNNNNNNNNNNNNNNNNNNNNNNNNNNNNNNNNNNNNNNNNNNNNNNNNNNNNNNNNNNNNNNNNNNNNNNNNNNNNNNNNNNNNNNNNNNNNNNNNNNNNNNNNNNNNNNNNNNNNNNNNNNNNNNNNNNNNNNNNNNNNNNNNNNNNNNNNNNNNNNNNNNNNNNNNNNNNNNNNNNNNNNNNNNNNNNNNNNNNNNNNNNNNNNNNNNNNNNNNNNNNNNNNNNNNNNNNNNNNNNNNNNNNNNNNNNNNNNNNNNNNNNNNNNNNNNNNNNNNNNNNNNNNNNNNNNNNNNNNNNNNNNNNNNNNNNNNNNNNNNNNNNNNNNNNNNNNNNNNNNNNNNNNNNNNNNNNNNNNNNNNNNNNNNNNNNNNNNNNNNNNNNNNNNNNNNNNNNNNNNNNNNNNNNNNNNNNNNNNNNNNNNNNNNNNNNNNNNNNNNNNNNNNNNNNNNNNNNNNNNNNNNNNNNNNNNNNNNNNNNNNNNNNNNNNNNNNNNNNNNNNNNNNNNNNNNNNNNNNNNNNNNNNNNNNNNNNNNNNNNNNNNNNNNNNNNNNNNNNNNNNNNNNNNNNNNNNNNNNNNNNNNNNNNNNNNNNNNNNNNNNNNNNNNNNNNNNNNNNNNNNNNNNNNNNNNNNNNNNNNNNNNNNNNNNNNNNNNNNNNNNNNNNNNNNNNNNNNNNNNNNNNNNNNNNNNNNNNNNNNNNNNNNNNNNNNNNNNNNNNNNNNNNNNNNNNNNNNNNNNNNNNNNNNNNNNNNNNNNNNNNNNNNNNNNNNNNNNNNNNNNNNNNNNNNNNNNNNNNNNNNNNNNNNNNNNNNNNNNNNNNNNNNNNNNNNNNNNNNNNNNNNNNNNNNNNNNNNNNNNNNNNNNNNNNNNNNNNNNNNNNNNNNNNNNNNNNNNNNNNNNNNNNNNNNNNNNNNNNNNNNNNNNNNNNNNNNNNNNNNNNNNNNNNNNNNNNNNNNNNNNNNNNNNNNNNNNNNNNNNNNNNNNNNNNNNNNNNNNNNNNNNNNNNNNNNNNNNNNNNNNNNNNNNNNNNNNNNNNNNNNNNNNNNNNNNNNNNNNNNNNNNNNNNNNNNNNNNNNNNNNNNNNNNNNNNNNNNNNNNNNNNNNNNNNNNNNNNNNNNNNNNNNNNNNNNNNNNNNNNNNNNNNNNNNNNNNNNNNNNNNNNNNNNNNNNNNNNNNNNNNNNNNNNNNNNNNNNNNNNNNNNNNNNNNNNNNNNNNNNNNNNNNNNNNNNNNNNNNNNNNNNNNNNNNNNNNNNNNNNNNNNNNNNNNNNNNNNNNNNNNNNNNNNNNNNNNNNNNNNNNNNNNNNNNNNNNNNNNNNNNNNNNNNNNNNNNNNNNNNNNNNNNNNNNNNNNNNNNNNNNNNNNNNNNNNNNNNNNNNNNNNNNNNNNNNNNNNNNNNNNNNNNNNNNNNNNNNNNNNNNNNNNNNNNNNNNNNNNNNNNNNNNNNNNNNNNNNNNNNNNNNNNNNNNNNNNNNNNNNNNNNNNNNNNNNNNNNNNNNNNNNNNNNNNNNNNNNNNNNNNNNNNNNNNNNNNNNNNNNNNNNNNNNNNNNNNNNNNNNNNNNNNNNNNNNNNNNNNNNNNNNNNNNNNNNNNNNNNNNNNNNNNNNNNNNNNNNNNNNNNNNNNNNNNNNNNNNNNNNNNNNNNNNNNNNNNNNNNNNNNNNNNNNNNNNNNNNNNNNNNNNNNNNNNNNNNNNNNNNNNNNNNNNNNNNNNNNNNNNNNNNNNNNNNNNNNNNNNNNNNNNNNNNNNNNNNNNNNNNNNNNNNNNNNNNNNNNNNNNNNNNNNNNNNNNNNNNNNNNNNNNNNNNNNNNNNNNNNNNNNNNNNNNNNNNNNNNNNNNNNNNNNNNNNNNNNNNNNNNNNNNNNNNNNNNNNNNNNNNNNNNNNNNNNNNNNNNNNNNNNNNNNNNNNNNNNNNNNNNNNNNNNNNNNNNNNNNNNNNNNNNNNNNNNNNNNNNNNNNNNNNNNNNNNNNNNNNNNNNNNNNNNNNNNNNNNNNNNNNNNNNNNNNNNNNNNNNNNNNNNNNNNNNNNNNNNNNNNNNNNNNNNNNNNNNNNNNNNNNNNNNNNNNNNNNNNNNNNNNNNNNNNNNNNNNNNNNNNNNNNNNNNNNNNNNNNNNNNNNNNNNNNNNNNNNNNNNNNNNNNNNNNNNNNNNNNNNNNNNNNNNNNNNNNNNNNNNNNNNNNNNNNNNNNNNNNNNNNNNNNNNNNNNNNNNNNNNNNNNNNNNNNNNNNNNNNNNNNNNNNNNNNNNNNNNNNNNNNNNNNNNNNNNNNNNNNNNNNNNNNNNNNNNNNNNNNNNNNNNNNNNNNNNNNNNNNNNNNNNNNNNNNNNNNNNNNNNNNNNNNNNNNNNNNNNNNNNNNNNNNNNNNNNNNNNNNNNNNNNNNNNNNNNNNNNNNNNNNNNNNNNNNNNNNNNNNNNNNNNNNNNNNNNNNNNNNNNNNNNNNNNNNNNNNNNNNNNNNNNNNNNNNNNNNNNNNNNNNNNNNNNNNNNNNNNNNNNNNNNNNNNNNNNNNNNNNNNNNNNNNNNNNNNNNNNNNNNNNNNNNNNNNNNNNNNNNNNNNNNNNNNNNNNNNNNNNNNNNNNNNNNNNNNNNNNNNNNNNNNNNNNNNNNNNNNNNNNNNNNNNNNNNNNNNNNNNNNNNNNNNNNNNNNNNNNNNNNNNNNNNNNNNNNNNNNNNNNNNNNNNNNNNNNNNNNNNNNNNNNNNNNNNNNNNNNNNNNNNNNNNNNNNNNNNNNNNNNNNNNNNNNNNNNNNNNNNNNNNNNNNNNNNNNNNNNNNNNNNNNNNNNNNNNNNNNNNNNNNNNNNNNNNNNNNNNNNNNNNNNNNNNNNNNNNNNNNNNNNNNNNNNNNNNNNNNNNNNNNNNNNNNNNNNNNNNNNNNNNNNNNNNNNNNNNNNNNNNNNNNNNNNNNNNNNNNNNNNNNNNNNNNNNNNNNNNNNNNNNNNNNNNNNNNNNNNNNNNNNNNNNNNNNNNNNNNNNNNNNNNNNNNNNNNNNNNNNNNNNNNNNNNNNNNNNNNNNNNNNNNNNNNNNNNNNNNNNNNNNNNNNNNNNNNNNNNNNNNNNGAAGGACAAGGAAGCAGACAGGACGUUAUUAUAAGGAUAGUUCGUAACAUGAUGGCCAUUAAUGCCUCUCAUCUCUUACCACGAGUUUUCGGCUCCCUCGAGCAAAUCACAACGCAAUGGCCAAUUCGACCUGACCUCCAACGUAUGAAGCAAAAGAUUCAAGAAAUCGAGAAGGACGACAGUUCAACAGACGAGGCAAAACGAAGAAUAUUCGUUGAAGUAGAAUAUGAGUUGGAGAGAAUAGAUCAAGAACGGCUAAAGGUACGCUAAAUUUUACGAAUUUUUGAUUACUUAGUUCCUAUAUUCCAAGUCUCCAAUAUAACUUUGUAGUUUGAUUUUCAGGAUUCAACAAAAGCAGGGAACCUUGAUGCAGUCUUCACGGUAUGUAUAUUCAACAAAAGCAGGGAACCUUGAUGCAGUCUUCACGGUAUGUAUAUUCGAAUUUAAGUGGGAUGAUCAAAUUUAGUACUUUUAUCUAAAUAUAUAAAUCAAUAAUGUCUUUCCUCAUUACUAGACUUCUUUUCAGACCUAACAAAAAGUCAUUUUCAACUAUUUUACUUUAUUUCAGAUUUAUUGGAUGUGGGUUUGUAUCUAAUAUGAGUAUGUUUUUUUGUUGUUGAAUCUAAGUAAUAUAUAUGUAUUUGAAACUAUAAACAUGAAAAAGAAUAAUGCAUAUCUUAAUUCAUCAAGCUAUUUGUUUCCAUUAUUUAUUUUCAUUUCUCUUAAAUUUCAGGAUUUUAGCAUGGGGACUCUACAAAAAGAGGUACCAUAUACAUGCAUAUAUACAUAUGUGCAUGCAUAGAUUGCAUAUGAUUCAUGUUUUCAAUAUAAUGCAUAUUAUAUGAUAGAAUACAUAAAAAUGUAAAAUUAAAAUUCAUGUUGUUUUAUAUUUUUCAAAUACAUAUCACAUCAUUCUUAUAAAUUAUAACCUGUUUUUUUUUUUUAAAUUGUUCUAGCUAGCUUUCUUCAGCAUGUCUGUGGCUGAUGUCGACGAAACUACAGCAACUAAUCAUCUUAUUAUUGUUGAUGAAGAUCAAGAUCAGCAUCAUGGAAGUUUGCUAACUCCUCAAGUGUUACACUCUAAUUUUAGCGAUCUGAAAAACCAACCUUACGACAAAACGCAACAGUUAUGCCACCUUCAUAUCACCUACGACCGCGGCUCGCCACACCAUUGAGCACACUUUCAUCAUGAGCUGCCUCCACUAAAAGUGCUUGAGAUUCUUCAACUGUGCAAGUCACCUACAUUGUCAUGCCAUCAAUCUACAAGAUUACAUCAGCGUCGCUACAAAGAGAUAGGAUGUGACCCUACCGCCAGCAAGAUACUUACACGUAACAUCACUUAUGUCUCAUAUAUAAACUUUCUCACCUUGAAGGAGGGAUGAUCCUCACUCCCUCACUCUCUUCUCUCUCUUAUUAUCCUUCAUCACAUUAUCACAACAGCUCUUCGCCUUUCAAGGGUGAAGCACUAGUCACCUCUGUCAACUCUUCCCCUUGUUGAUUCCUGAUAUCAACAACAAAUUGUAUAAUUCAAGUUUUCCUGCGUCUCUAAUCCUGCAUAGACUCUUGCAUUUAAAACAGUAAGUAUUGUUGAAUCUUCUUAAGCACUAAGAUAUAUAUAUGUGUGUGUGUGUGUGUUUAGCUACAAUGCAUAUCUUACUUGACUAAGUUGUGGAGAGUCGAAGAAAGGAGGUAUGAUAUGCAUAUACAUAAAUACAUUUAUAUUUAUAAAUUAUUGCAUUGCACAUUAGCUAGCUAUUUAACAUUUGAGAAUUUGGACUUCAAAAUAUGAUUUGGGUAUUAAAAAUAGUGCAUGUUAUGUGAUAGAAUACAUACAAAUGUAACAUUUAUGAUUUUUUUAUACCCAUGAAUUUAUUAAAUGCAUGGUAGUAAUGAAUUUGAAAUUCACUUUUUAUGUAAUCUUAUUAAAUAUCAACUAAUUUAUAUAUAAUCAUACCCACAUCAUUCUCAUAAAUAUUGACUUGUUUUCUUUCUUCUUCUUCUUUUUUUUGUCUUGCUGCAGCUUUCUUCAACAUGGCCAUGGCUUAUUAGUGCUGUUCAAGAUCAAGAUCAUGGAAGUUUAUUUACUUGUGAGGAGUUGCAGUACUCUACUUUUAGUGAAUUAGAAAACCAACUCUGUGACAAGGACAACAACGAAAUGGAUGUUACAGACUUCCAUGGCUUAGAACAAGCAUUGAACAACAUUGGCUGGGAUAAAACACCAGACUACCUCAAACCUAUUGCGACCCGAAUCGAAAAUGUUCGUGGAAAAGCUACCGAUUUUUGCUAUAACGUUAUUCAAGUUCAGGUCUGUGCCGCAAUCAAAGAGAUGGAAGAGGUAUCAAUUAAGGAAUUAAACCGGGACACAUUGAAAAAAUGGGCAGCGACACUCAACCAGGCUAAGGGAUUUGGUUUUGAAGUGGGAUUUGCUAACAAUCUGUUGCAGAAGAAUCUGUGUUCCUACUUUUGUCACUCGAGGAAUUUUGGACGAAACUGAAAAAGAAAAACAGGGUUUUGGAAAUCAAAGGUGGCUGCUGAGCUCUCAUGUUUUGCAGUUGCAGUUGCCGCAAAAUCUUUGGUAAGUCACCAUUAGAGUUGAGCUUUCUUGCAUUUGAGCGUUUUAUGUUUACUUUUCUUUAAGACUAUGGUUUUUUGGUAUGAAAUCGUGUGUUUGUAUUGUAUUUUGCUUUCCAAAGGUGGCUGCUGAGCUCUCAUGUUUUGCAGUUGCAGUUGCCGCAAAAUCUUUUGUAAGUCACCAUUAGAGUUGAGCUUUCUUGCAUUUGAGCGUUUUAUGUUUCCUUUUCUCUAAGACAAUGGUUUUUUGGUAUGAAAUCGUGUGUUUGUAUUGUAUUUUGCAUUUUAUGUUUUGUGAUAGAUUGAUAUAUAUUUUUGAUAAGAAGAGGUUUUAAAAUUAACCUUAACAAAAAUAAACUAAGUCACGACUUAAAAGAUAAGCACUCGAUCAAUAGAUAAGAAAUUAAUUCAAGUUAAUAAUUAUUAGAAUUAUAUAAAUUCUAAAACAUUGAUAUAUAUAUAUAUAUAGAUAUAAGUUUGAUUUCAUGAUCUAAAUAUUCAAUUUAACUUUUAAGCUUGCUUUUCAGGACUUCAACAAAGCAAGGAACUUUGAACCAAUCUUCACUGCUAACAAUAUAUAUGGUAUGCAUAGUUCUUAUCAUUCAUAUUAACCAACAUAACAACAUUUUUUAUUAUUAAGUCUAUCUUUUAAUCAUUUAACUUUAAAAUGUUAUAAAAUGAUCAUUGAACUAUUUAAAAGUUUUCAUUUAAGUCACUAAAUUAUUAAAAUCGUCACUAUAUCACAUUCUCUGUUCACACCGCAAACACCAAUCAGAAGUUUUCCUUCUCAUUUUCUUCUAAAAUGUAUACUCUUAUUAAUAGUUCAAUGAUUGUAGGUGUAAUUUAUCCUAAAUCAAAUUAUAAUUAUUUCAUCUUUCCCCAUACAAUAGGCUUAGUUUUUUCUUUACCUAGUAAUCAUUUUCAACUAUAUUAUUUGAAUUUGAGUUUGAAUAUCAUAUACACAUUCAUGCUCGAUACACUCUGACACAUAUUGAAUGAUCAUAUUCGAUACUAUUAUUUGAAUAUGUGUUGACAUAUUAUUCAUUUAUAAAUCACUUUAUAAUUACAAUUUCUUUCCUCAAUCACAAUACUUGACCUAGCAAAAAGUCAUUCACAAUUAUGUUAUAUGAUUUUAGAUCUAAGCAUCAGAUAGGAAUCCGUAACACAGGCAUGGUUCUGGAUGUUAUUUCCGCCCUUUGUUUUAUUAGAGACAAGUUUCUUUGUCCAACUCGAUUAUAUUAUGAGCAUCAAAACUUUAUAUGCUAUUCAAUGAUCAGGUAUACAAUACUGUCUUCUCAUAUUGAAGUAAGCAACUUGUAUUCUUCUCAAGGGCGAAAUCAGAAAAAAAAAUUUAGAGAACGAAAUUAAAUUGUAAUUUUUAUGAUAACAAAAAUGUAAUUUUAUCAUUUUAAUAGUUUAUAUCUUUAUAAUUUUUAAAAGAUUAAAAUUUUUAUAUUUUUAAGGAAACCGAAAUAUAAUUUUACCUUUACUAAUUUUAAAUUUUAGAGGAUGCUAACCCCUGCCGACCUUAAUUGUUCUUAACAAAAUGUUCCACCCUUACAUGACUUAAAAAGGCAGAUUAAAUCCCACUAAAUUUUUAGAAAAAUGUUUGUUUUCAUAUGUUGCAAGAACCUAAGGUACAAUAAUAUCAAUGUACUGAUCAUGAAAUAUAAUGUGGUGAUUGUUCAUCUAUUCUUUUAGUUAUGUCAUCAGAGGUUCAAUUUCCGCUCAUGUGAAUGGAACAUAUUUCAUGUCUAGUUGUUUACCUCUUCAAAAAAUACUCGGAACGAGUGAAUUAGUUACUACUACCAAUAAUAAAUAUCUUGGAUUUGAACAAAAAAUAAUAACAAAGGACCUGAGACGGUUAGGUCAGUUCAACAAGUGCAGCUAUUCACUUUUCUUCAUAUUGUAUCGAAGAAAACCCUACUUUAAGAAACGUGUAUGUAUCUUAUACUAUAUUUAAGAUUUUAAUUGAGAUGGUGCCAUUAUUGAUCAAUUAGACAUCAAUUUAAUUGGGAAAUACAAAAAUCUAUAUAAAUCAAUGUAAAUCCAUUCAUGGUAGGACUUCAAUAUAGACUACCAUGAUCUUCAAAAUAUUAAUUUUACCAUUUCAAUUAAAAAAUUUAUUUUUUUAUUUUUUAUUAUAAAUAUGCAUUUAAAUAAUAUUUUUUCUAGAUAUUAUAAGCAUGUCAUAAUUUGAUGUGUAUACACACGUGUGUUUGUAAUAUGUAUUAAACAUAAACUACUUUCAUUUGGGAUCCAUAAAUUAGAAUAUUUUCUAGUUUAAAAGAAUUUUUUAAAGUAAUUUUCAUCUACAUUUUAUAAUUCAUUUUCGAAACUCGUGGCAAUAUUUCAAAUAAAAAUGAUGAUUUCAAGUGUUAGUAGUGAAAAUAAGAUGGACACUAUAAAAUAUUUACUUUUUAAUUUCAUUACAUUAUAAAUUCAAUCUUUGUUUUCAUUUGACAUGAGUCUCAGAUUCAAAAUUUGGACGACAUCUUACUAUUUUUGCCCCUUAUACAAAAUGUGUAUUUGUUGAUCGAAAAAAGUAACCAUUCCAAAUAAAAACUAAAAUAAAGUACUCAAUUCUCAUUUAAACUCAUCUAGUUUGAAUUUUAAUAGAUUUGAAAUUAAAUCUACUCAAAUUCGGAAAAAAAAAAUUCAAAUGGUACUAAUUACUUGAAAUCAUCCAACUUCGUAUAUCUAAAAAUCAAAAUGUUUUUUUUUUAUUCUUAAAAAGAUAAAAAUGAUCUGAACUCAUUAUGACUCUAAAAAAGCAUAGUUGUGAAAUUAUAUGGACGAAAUCAUUUUAACAAAUCCAAUAGAAACCUUAAAAUCGAUUGAGCUAAUCAGAUUCUAAAUAAUGGCAUAAUAUUAAAUUUAACAUUCUACGUUUAUAUUUUUUGUCAUUUUAAUCAUUAUUUUUUAAAGGUCGGUCUUCAACCUUUAAGAACAAUUAAAUUUUUUUAACAAAAAUACUAAGACGUUAAUUUUUUAAUAGUGUUAGCAUGACAACCCACGUGGCAGUCCACGUAUGAUUCAUGCUAACAUGGUACUGUUUGUUUUAUAUGUCAUCUCUACAAAUGAUUUAAAAUUUAUAAAAUUAAAAAAUUUCUAAAAUUUUAAAAUAUAUAUUGAAAAAUCAUAAAAAUUCAAAAAAAAAAGCGAAGUACAUGUGGAUUGCCAUGCAAACUUCCAUGUUAAAAAAUUUAUCGUUUUAAUUCGUAUUUUGUUUAAAAAAUAACAAUUUAACUUGUUUUAAAAUGUUGAUAAUCAAAUUCGACUGUAUUUUAAAGGAUAUGGCCAAAUUUAGCUUAAAAAUAGAAUGAGGUGUAAAUUGACAAAAAUAUAAAUAUUGGGGACUAAAUUUAACAUUACGCCGCAAAUAACAAAAUAACUACCUGGUAGAAACCUAAAACCUUGGUAUUCCGCCGUCUUCCUUCGCUAUUUGUUCUCUGUUUGCAAAAACCCUAAUCUUGGACCCAAUAACACAAUAUGCAUAUACAUAAAUAUAUUUAUAUUUAUACAUUUCUCUAUGGCUAUACGAAGAUGAAAAUCUCACGAAGACAUAGGUACAAAUGUAUCCUGAAAGCGAUCCACUAUCCUAUACGGAGGUGAAAACCUCACAAAAGAAUAGUUUCUCACUCCCACUUAAAAGGGUAAAAUUGACCGAUUAUGCGAUGCAAUAUGCAAAGAUAUACCAAGAGACUUGAAUCAAAAAGCAAACAUGAACAAAAUGAUGAAGACGGUAACAAAAAUGUAUGAAAUGCAGUGAAAAGAUCGUAGAUUUAAACCAAGUUUUCAAUUUUCGACAAAAAGACAAAAAAAAUCAACUCGUGGCUUGACUCUCUUUUUUAAGUCCCCAAUGGAGUCGCCAAGCUAUCGAAACCUUUUUUUUUUUUAAAAGGGUCGACCUUUAUUUUGAAAUUAAAAUGGAGUCGCCACCAAUCCUUUUUAUUUAGGUGUGAUCGGAUCACCUCAUAAUUUAGUCAUUUUAAGAAAAGUUUAAAUUUACUAAAACAAUAAAUUUUUUUGGUCUACAAAAUCCAAAAAACGGGUUCGGGAGUCGGUUACGCAUGAAGAAAGAUUAGCACCCUCGAUACGCCCAAAAUUGGUACCUAGUUGAUUACUUAAUGUCUUAAUGUCGAAAGUUGAAAUUUUGAAAAGAAGUUAAAAUACAAUCCCUCUUUUAUUAAUGUUAAUUUAAAAAAAAAACGCUUGAAUUAAAUUGAAACGAGCAUCAAAGGCCCUCUCGUCCUACGAUAACAAAAUACCACAUCCCGUAAGUUAGGAUGCAACAUUUGAACCCUCGAGAAUAAGCUUGCCUUUAAUUUUUAUUGAAAUUUCACGUAUUUUAAGAAUUAAAAGAAUAUUUGGCUAUUUAGGUUUAACGAGAAAAUCGAAACCCCGUAAGUUAAUAUGCGAUUUCUCGAUUCUCCAAAAUGCGAAAUAUUAUCGAUUUUAAAAUACUUCCCUUUUUAUGAAUUUGGGUGAAAGUUGAUGAAAUAUCCAAAAAUAAUAUACGUGUAGGUUAUUCGACUAUAUUUUAAAAGAAAUCGUUUAAAACUCUAAAAGGAUCAUGCGUGGCUAAUAAUGAUAGUGUAACAUACAUUUGAAGUAACAAUGACAUAACGUGCAUAAUAAAAUAUAACAUACAUAGCAUUAAUAUUAAUAAAUCAUAAAGUCAAUACGCAUAAACGAUAAUACUCAUAAUAAUGCAAAUGAAAAUAUAAUAACAAUAAUAAUAACAAUGACAAUAAUAAUAAAUCUAAAUUUUGAAAGUACAUAAAAAGUAGUAAAUGAAUAAAUCAAAAGAAAUAAAAUGACAAUGACAAGGGCAAAAUAAAAUAAACAAGUUAAUUUAAAAAGAAUUAGUAAAUGAAUAAAUAAGAGCUAAUACACAUUUGGUUUAAAAAGAAAUCAAUUAAAUAAAUAAAUAAACUAUUAAACAGAAUAUUAAAUAAACUUUUUUUUAAAUAAAUAAAUAAAGUAAAUAAAAAAGUCCAAAUUUAAAAGAAUAAGGACUUGAUUGCCGUUAAAAUGAAAUUUAGGGUCCAAAUUUAAAUAAAAAAAUGCAAGGAUAUAAAAAGGGGAUUAAAUUGGAACCUAAAUAAAAUUUCAGGGAAAGCGUUCAAAAUAACAAAAAUAGAAUAAGGGACUAAUUCGAAAUUCACUGAAAAUACCAGGGAGCAAAAGAGAAAAUGUCCCAGGUCCCUUGUGCUCAGCGCUUUAUCCAAGGGGUCAAAAUGACGCACAAAUAAAAUUAUGGGGCAAAUUUAAAAAAACAAAAUGGAACCAAAAUAAUAAAACGGAAAAGGUGGAAGGAAUUCCAUGGACAUUUACCCACUUUCGAAAACACGCGGAUCUCCCCCAGGCGGGUCGGGUCGCGAGUUGCCCAAAAACGACGCCGUUUGGCUCCUGAGGGGGGCCAAAUGAAACUACGUCGUUUCAUACUAUUAUAAAACCCCUAAGUUAAAAAAAAAAUCUGACAAGGAACUCAUAGCCUCUCUCCCUCUCCUCUUCUCCGGCCAAUAGGGCCACCGGCGUAGCUCCACCGUUGGCGGUGGUCUGGACCACGCCAAAUCGUUUUUUUUAACAUUUUUUUAUCCGAAGGUGAAGCCUUCCUAAGACAAAAGAGAAGGAGCCUUGACCCCUGUUAGUUCGAUUUCAACGCCGGAGAAGGGGCUGCCGACGACGAAACCGCAAGGUGGUUCAGGUGAGCCUUUUCCUUUUUAUUUUCGUAUAUAAAAAAAAUAAAGAAAUAGAAACUUAAGAAUAAAAUAAAAUAGGAAUAUAAAAUGAAAAUCACCUUAAACUUAUAAACUUAAUCUAUUUUGUUUUUGUUUUUGUUUUUGUUUUUUUUUUUUUUUUGUAUUUGAAUUUGAAUUUGUUUCCGAAAAAAGUCAGAAAAACAUACAUUGAUAUUUCAUGGCUUUUAUAGCCGAUUUACAAAACAAGUAUUCGAGUUUGUUGCUAUUUGUUUCUUCUUUUAUAGCGGUUCCAAUAAGCCUUCUACGAGCUCUUGUACCUUUUUGCUGAAGAAAUUAGCGGUGUCUAACAAUUAGACAUGCGUCUGUUUUCAAGAGUCGUGAAGACUUUUGUUGAGAAUGGGAAUGUCUUGACAGAUUCCAUGGUUGAUUCGGUUCUUAAAUCUUUGACGAGUGUUGGUAGACUCAGGGAAUACAACAAGGUUCUAAAAGUAUCGCAGGAGAAUGGGUUUAUAACCAGCGGUAAUUUACAGUCGAAAAUUACUUUUAGACUUGCUAGUGCUGGUAAAAAAGAUGAAGCAUCUGAGUUUAUAGCAUCAAAUACUGAUUUAGAUCACAAAGCAUGGGCGUCUUUCAUCGAAGGAUGUUGUGCUGCCGGUGAUCUCGAAACAGCAUCAACUUAUUUCGAAAACAUGGUUGAAAAAAAUGGGGUUUCCCAUGCCAGCUAUGCUUUUAACUGGUUGGUAUAUUCGUAUUGCAGUAGGAAAAGAGCAAAGGAUGCUUGUGAGAAUCAGUUAAAGCCAUGGCAUGAUACUUACAAGGAAUUGAUAAGGAAGUUAUUAGCUCAAGAUGGAUUUAAAGAUGCAUUGAGUCUCUUCGAUUUGAUUAAAAACGAUGGUUUUCCCCCCUUUAUCGAUCCUUUUAUCGAGUAUGUUUCAAGGAUCCGGUAGUAGUGAUGAUGCUAUUACUUUUCUCAAGUCUAUGACUUCGCAAAGGUUUCCAUCUAUGUCGGUUUUCUUCGUGUUUUUGAAGCUUUUUUCAAAGCUUCAAGGCUUUGUUACUCGAAUUUAAGUGUGAAUGUCAAAUAUAAUUUCAUGUUCGACAGAUUUUGUUUGUAUAUUUUGGGAAAGGAAUGACAAAAAGUCAGAUAUGGAAUUAGUGCACGCCAAGCAAAGGGACAAAAAGUCAGAUAUGGAAUUAGUGCACACCAAGCAAUGGCCAGUGCGACAGAAGGUGGCAGAAAUUAGGCAAGACUGCAAAGAAAUAGCUAAAAAAUAUGGUUUAAAAACACCUGGGGCGAAGCAAAGAUUGCUCAAAGUAGGAAGCAAGUUGGAGAUAACACUGAAAGCACGUGAGGUAUGUUAAAUUUUUACAAAUUUAAUUAAUUACUCAAUCUUAAUCUCCACAACUUUUUAAUUUGGUUUUUCAGGACUCUAGGAACCCUUUCACUAAUAUGGUAUGUAUAUAAUUUUAUUUAAUUUAAUAUUGUCAAUUUCAUGUUUUUAUUUAUUGAUGCUUCAUGAAAUUUAUGUAUUAAAGGGAGAAAUUAUUGUAUGGAUCCUUCUCAUCACAUCAUCUAUGAUCUUUUUUUUUAAUUAUUUAACGACAUUUCAGUAAUUUUUUCUAUGUCAUUAACACAUAUCAAAUAUAAAAAUGAUCUGAACUCAUUAUGACUAAAAAAAAGUAUAGUUGUGAAAUUAUAUGGAUGAAAUCAUUUUAACACAUCCAAUAGAAACCUUAAAAUCGAUUGAGCUAAUCAGAUUCUAAAUAAUGGCAUAAUAUUAAAUUUAACAUUCUACAUUUAUAUUUUUUGUCAAUUUAAUCAUUAAUUUUUAAAGGUCGGUCGUCAACCUUUAAGAAAAAUUAAAUAUUUUUUAACAAAAAUGCUAACUAAGACGUUAAUUUUUUAGUAGUGUUAGCAUGACAACCCACGUGGCAGUCCACGUAUGAUUCAAUGCUAACAUGGUACUGUUUGUUUUAUAUGUCAUCUCAACAAAUGAUUUAAAAUUUAUAAAAUUAAAAAAUUUUUAAAAUAUAUAUUGAAAAGUCAUAAAAAUUCAAAAAAAAACAGCAAAGUACAUGUGGGUUUCCAUUUAUCGUUUUAAUUCGUAUUUUGUUUAAAAAAUAACAAUUUAACUUGUUUUGAAAGGUUGAUAAUCAAAUUGGACUGUAUUUUAAAGGCUAUGGCCAAAUUUAGCUUAAAAAUAGAAUGAGGUGUAAAUUGAUAAAAAAUAUAAAUAUUGGGACUAAAUUUAACAUUACGCCAUAAAUAAAUAAAAAUAACUACCCGGUAGGAACCUAAAACCCUGGUAUUCCGCCGUCUUCCUUCGCUAUUUGUUCUCUGUUUGCAAAAACCCUAAUCUUGGACCCAAUAACACAAACAGAAAGAAUCCCAAAUCAGAAAAUGGUGAUGAAGGUGAGACAUCCAUGGAGAUUUCUUCUUUUCCGAAAUUACCCUCGUCGAUCUCCACUCCGUAUUUCCGCCAUAUCUCAGGUACUCAUUCCCUCACCUCCUAUUGUUCACUCCGUCAACAACAUUGCUUUUUUAAAUUUUUAGAGAGGUAGUUAAAAUCUAAAGCUUUCCGUGAUGGAAGUUGGCCUUAUUUAAAUUCCAUCUCAAUUCCUUCGUUUCUUCAGUUUUACUCUUCGACACCUGAGCCUUCUCUCUUUUUUCUUCACUGCAUUAGAAGUACGUAUGGUUGAAUUUACUGAUUCAGUAUCAUAUCGUGUUUUGAUUCUGCAUCAUUUCUUUACUUUGAGUUAAUAUCAUUCCAUAUGGUUUUGUUUUGCUGAUUUGUAAGAAGAUUUUGAUGCCUUUCACCUGCAAAUCGUUUGCGUUUUUCUGUUUUUUUGGUUUCAAUGAUUUGAUCUAAUCCAAAAUUUCUUAGAUCCGUGCCAAGAUGAGCUUCGUUAACUCGUUAACUCGCCAUCCUCCGAUGUUUUACAUGACAUUGACAACCUCCUGAAUGAUAGUAUGCCACCAGCAAUCAAUCGCAUCUAUCAAGAGUAAGAGAUCCCAAGUGAGAACUAAUUUUUUUAUUUAAUUUAAUGAUGAUGUAUUUAUAAUUUACUGAUAGUACAUUAAAAUUAUAUAUGGACAGUACAUAAAAAAAAUUAUUACUUGUAAUAAUUCUCUUUUCUUUUCUGAUGCAGUAGAUUUAUUUUUAGAGGUUUAACUAUUUUACUUGAAUAUCAAAUAUAAAAAAUUAUGCCUAACAUAUACAUGUUCAAUUUUUCUGAAUUUUUUAAUGCAUUUAGAAGAAUUUGGAAGGCCAUAUUUGAUAUUGCUACAUUAUUUUUAAGUCACAUUAUAAUCAUAAUUUCUUUUUCACUAUAGUUGUGUUUUUAGACUUAGCAAUAUGGGUUCAUGUAUCUUUAAAGUUUUCUUUUCUUUUUCUUAAACUUAAUGUCUCAUGUCAUUCUUGAACUUAAUAUCAUAUCUUGCUUAAUACAUUGCAUUAUAUGCUCUCUCUUUUCUUCACUGCAAUGGAAGAAUGUACAGUUGAAUUUACUAAUUCAAUACCAUAUCUUGCUUUGAUUUUGCAUAAUUUCUUUACUUGAGCUGAUAUGGUUUUGUUUUGCUGAUUUCCCGUUGAUCUCCAACUUGCUUGCUACUUCGAGCAAUCUUUGCUUCGGCCCAGGUGUUUUUAAACCAUAUUUUUUUAGCUAUUUCUUUGCAGUCUUGCCUAAUUUCUUCCACAUCCUGUCGCGCUGGCCAUUGCUUGGCAUGCACUAAUUCCAUAUCUGAUUUUGCAUAAUGUCUCAUGUCAUUCUUAAACUUAAUAUCAUAUCUUGCUUAAUAUAUUGCAAUACAUGCUCUCUUUUCUUCACUGCAAUGGAAGAAUGUACAGUUGACUUCACCAAUUCAAUAUCAUAUCUUGCUUUGAUUUUGCAUAAUUUCUUUACUUGAGCCGAUAUGGUUUUGUUUUGUUGAUUUCCCGUUAAUCUGCAAACUGUUUGUAUUUUUUUGUGAUCUAAUCUAAAUUUCACAGACCCAUGCCUCGAUGAUGAACACUGCUAACAUUCUAUUGACACAACAUGGAGUGACACCAACAACCAAUUCGAUGAAUUUUCAAGAUGGAGGGUUCUCAAUUGGAAACCUUGAAUUAUUCGAUGAUGAACAUUGCAUUACAGUAAAUUCAAGGUUUCCAACUGAGAACCUUCCCUCUUGAAAAUUCAUCGAAUUGGUUGCUGGUGUCACUCCAUAUUGUAUGGAGUUAUAACACAUUUAAAAUCUUAAAUAUAUAUUGCUCAUUAUUAAGUUUGAUUUCAUGAUCUAAAUCUUCAAUUUAACUUUUAAGCUUGGCUUUUCAGGACUUCAACAAAGCAAGGAGCUUUGAAGCAAUCUUCACUGCUAAUAAUAUAUAUGGUAUGCAUAUUUCUUAUCAUUCGUAUUAACCAACGUAACAACAUUUUUUAUUAUUAAGUCUGUCUUUUAAUUAUUUAACUUUAAAAUGUUAUAAAAUGAUCAUUGAACUAUUUGAAAGUUUUCAUUUAAGUCACUAGAUUAUUAAAAUCGUCACUAUAUCGCUUUCUCUUUACACCGCCGACACCAAUCAAAAGCUUUCCUUCCUAUUUUCUUCUAAAAUGUAUACUUAUUAAUAGUUCAAUGAUCGUAGGUGUAAUUUAUCCUAAAUCAAAUUAUAAUUAUUUCAUUUUUCCCCAUACAAUAGGCUUAGUUUUUUCUUUACCUAGUAAUCAUUUUCAACUAUAUUAUUUGAAUUUGAGUUUGAAUAUCAUAUACACAUUCAUGCUCGAUACACUCUGACACAUAUUGAAUGAUCAUAUCUGAUACUUUUAUUUGAAUAUGUGUUGAUAUAUUAUUCAUUUAUAAAUCACUUUAUAAUUACAAUUUCUUUCCUCAAUCACAAUACUUGACCUAGCAAAAAGUCAUUUACAUUUAUGUUAUAUGAUUUUAGAUCUAAGUAUCGGAUACGAAUCCGGAACACAAGCAUGGUUCUGAAUGUUAUUUCUGCCAUUUGUUUUACUAGAGACAAGUUUUUUUGUCCAACUUGAUUAUAUUAUGAGCAUCAAAACUUUAUAUGCUAUUCAAUGAUCAGGUAUACAAUAAUGUCUUCUCAUAUUGAAGUAAACAACUUGUAUUGUUCUCAAGGGCGAAAUCAGUAAAAAAAAUUCGAUGAUUAUUUAUUAGAUCCAUUAAUUUGUCGAAGACGUGUUGGUAAUGAAUUUGUCUUUUUAAGUACAUCACAUUAAAUCUCAACAAAUACAUAUGUAUAAUCAUAUACAUACCAUUCUCAUAAUUUAUGAUUUUCUAUGUUUAUUGUUUCAGUUUUCUCCAGAUCUUGGUAAUGGUCGUUCUGCAAGGUCCCCACCUCUAUCUCUGCUUUUAAUGAUUUGAAAAACCAAAUUUAUGUACAAGGCAACAAGCAAGUGGAGCCAGAAGAUUUCUAAGGUUUACCAGAAGAGUUGAAGAAACUUUGUUGGGGGGAAAUUCCAAGCUACUUUCAACCUAUUGCGAGCUGAAUCGUAAAAGAUUUUGCAAAAGUUGGGUUUCGCCAUAGUCUGGCUCUAGUUCUGUUUUGUGCUGCAGUAAAAGAGAUGGAAGAUUUUCUUCCUUAACAAAUCAUCCGCAAAUCCCACCUGAAAACCAACUUCCUUGGCCUUUUUAAGUGUUGCCCCCCACUUCUUCAACGUAUCCAAGUCUAAUUUCUUAGCUGGAAAAUCUUCCAUCUCUUUUACGAUUUGGACUUGGAUACGUUGAAGAAGUGGGGAGCAACACUUAAAAAGGCCAAGGAAGUUGGUUUUAAGGUGGGAUUUGCGGAUGAUUUGUUAAGGAAGAAAAUCUUCCAUCUCUUUUACUGCAGCAACUAUAUGAUUUUAUAUUUACUUUUCUCUUAGACUAUAUGGUUUUUUGGUAUGAAAUCGUGAGUUCGUAUUGUGUUUUGCAUCGUGUUAUAAUUGCAUUUAGAAUAUUUCAUAUUUUUAUAAUUUUAUUUAAGUCACUAAAUUGUUAAAAUCGUCACUAUAUCGCUUUUUCUGUUUACACCGUCGACACCAAUUAAAAGUUUUCUUUCUCAUUUUUUUCUAAAACGUAUACUUAUUAAUAGUUCAAUGACCGUAGGUGUAUUUUAUCAUAAAUCAAAUUAUAAUUAUUUUCUUUCCCCAUGCAAUUGGCUUAGUUUUGUCUUUACUGAGUAAUCAUUAUCAACUAUAUUAUUUGAAUUUGAGUUUGAACAUCAUAUACACAUUCAUGCUCGAUGUCAGAGAUGUGUUGAUAUAUUAUUCAUUUAUAAAUCACUUUAUAAUUACAUUUUCUUUCCUCAAUCACAAUACUUGACCUAGCAAAAAGUCAUUCACAAUUAUGUUAUAUGAUUUUAUAUCUAAGCAUCGGAUACGAAUCCGUAGCAUAGGCAUGGUUCUGGAUGUUAUUUCUGCCCUUUGUUUUACUAGAGACAAGUUUCUUUGUCCAACUCGAUUAUAUUAUGAGCAUCCAAACUUUAUAUCCUAUUCAAUGAUCAAGUAUACAAUAAUGUCUUCUCAUAUUGAAGUAAACAACUUGUAUUGUUCUCGAGGGCAAAAUUAGAAAACAAAUUUAGGGGACGAAAUUAAAUUAUAAUUUUUACGAUAGCAAAAAUGUAAUUUUAUUAUUUUAAUAGUUUAUAUAUUUAUAAUUUUUAAAAGAUUAAAUCAAAUCUUUAUAUUUUUAGGAAAACCAAAAUAUAAUUUUACAUUUACUAAUUUUAAAUUUUAGAGUAUCUAGCCCCUGUCAGCCUUAAUUGUUCUUAACAAAAUGUUCCGCCCUUACAUGACUUAAAAGGCAGAUUAAAUCCCACUAAAUUUUUAGAAAAAUGUUUGUUUUCAUAUGUUGCAAGAACCUAAGGUACAAUAAUAUUAAUGUACUGAUCAUGAAAUAUAAUGUGGUGAUUGUUCAUCUAUUCUUUUAGCUAUGUUAUCAGAGGUUCACUCUGAACGAGUGAAUUAGCUACUACUACCUAUAAUAGAUAUCUUGGUUUUGAACAGAAAAUAAUAACAAUGGACCUGAGACGGUUAGGUCAGUUCAAGUGCAGCUAUUCGCUUUUAUUCAUAUUGUAUCGAAGAAAACUGUACUGUAAGAAACUUGUAUAUAUCUUAUACUAUAUUUAAGUUUUUAAUUGAGAUGAUGCCAUUGAUCAAUUAGCCAUCAAUUUAAUUGGGAAAUGCAAAAAUCUAUAUAAAUCAAUGUAAAUCCAUUCAUGGUAGGACUUCAAUAUAGGGUACCAUGAUCUUCGAAAUAUUAAUUUUACCAUUUCAAUUAAAAAUUUAUUUAUUUUUAUAUAUUUUUUAUAAAUAUGCAUUCACAUAAUAUUUUAAAUAAAAAUGAUGAUUUCAAGUUUAGUAGUGAAAAAUAAGGCGAACACUAUAAAAUAUUUACUUUUUAGUUGCUUACAUUAUAAAUUCAAUCUUUGUUUUCAUUUGACAUGAGUCUCAAAUUCCAUUUUUAGACGACACCUUACUAUUUUUGCCCCUUAUAUAAAAGGUUUAUUUGUUAAUCGAAAAAAGUAACCAUUCCAAAAAAACGAAAAUAAAGUACUCAAUUCUCAUUAAACUCGUCUAGUUUGAAUUUUAGUAGAAAUGAAAUCGAAUUUACUCAAAUUCGAUAAAAGAAAAAAAAUCAAACGGUAACUUGAAAUCAUCCAACUUCAUAUAUCUAAAAAUUAAAAUGUUUUUUUGAUUCUUAAAAAGAUAAAAAUGAUCUAAAGUCAUCGUGACUCUAAACAAGCAUAGUUGUGAAAUUAUAUGGACGAAAUCAUUUUAACAAAUCCAAUAGAAACCUUUACAUUUUUUUAUCAAUUUAAUCAUUAUUUUUUUAAGUUAAAUUCGGUCUUCAACAUUUAAGAAAAAUUAUAUCAUUUUUUUAACAAAAAUGCUAACUAAGUCCACGUACUGAUUGUUUUAUAUGUCAUCUCAAUAAAUGAUUUAAAAAUUAUAAAAUUAAAAUUUUUCCAAAAUUUUAAAAUAUAUAUUGAAAAAAUCAUAAAAAUUCAAAAAAAAAUGUACAUGUGGAUAGCCAUGCAAGCUGUAAUAUUUAAAAAAUUAUCGUUUUAAUCUGAAUUAUUUUAAAAAAAUAACAAUUUAAUUCUUUCUAAAAUGUUGAUAAUCAAAUUCGAUUAUAUUUUAUAGGCUGUGGCCAAAUUUAGCUUAAAAGUAGAAUGAGGUUCAAAUUGAUAAAAAAUAUAAAUAUUGGGGCUAAAUUUAAAGUUACGCCAUAAAUUAAAAAAUAACCACCCGGUAGAAAGUAGAAACCUAAAACCCUGGUAUUCCGCCGUCUUCCUUCGCUAUUUGUUCUCAGUUUGCAAAAACCCUAAUCUUGGACACAAUAACACCAACAGAAAGAAUCCCAAGUCAGAAAAUGGUGAUGAAGGUGAGACAUCCAUGGAGAUUUCUUCUUUUCCGAAAUUACCCUCGUCGAUCUCCACUCCGUAUUUCCGCCAUAUCUCAGGUACUCAUUCCCUCACCUCCUAUUGUUCACUCCUUCAACAACAUUGCUUCUCGUUCCCAUUUCACAAGCCCCUUCAAUCUUAUGAAAGGAUUAUCCAUUUUAAAUUACAACAAUCAAUCUAAUAGUUUCUCAUCCGAGGCACAAAAAGACCCAGAUCAUGUUUUGGUAAGUAGUGUCACUGAUAUUUUUACUAAGUUCAGUGGUAAGGAUGAUAUAAAGAGAGAAUUGGAGUUGAAUAGUGUUGUUUUUAGCCAUGAAAUGGUUUUGAAAGUGUUGAAGAAUGUUGAGUCUAGCCCUGAUGUAGCAAUUAGGUUUUUUGAUUGGGUUUUGGAGACAAAUGGGGAAAAGCUUAGUUCCAAAUCGUAUAACCGGAUGUUAGGUAUUUUGGGUGUGAAUGGGUUGAUUGAGGAAUUUUGGGGUUUGGUUGAUGUUAUGAAGAAGAAAGGUUAUGGUAUCUCUGGUGCCGUUCGUGAUAGAGUUGCUUUGAAGUUUGAGAAAGAGGGACUGGAGAGUGAUUUGGAGAGAUUAAAAGGGGUUUUUGCUUCGGGAUCUGUCGAUAAUUCGAUCGAGAAGGUUUGUUCCAGGGUGUGUAAGAUUAUUAAGAGCGAGUUAUGGGGUGAUGAUGUUGAAAACCGGUUACUCAAUCUGAAUGUUACGUUUUCAAAUGAUUUGGUGAAAAUGGUAUUGGAAUAUCUUGCUUCUGAGCCAGCAAAAUCAUUGAUAUUUUUCCGAUGGAUCGAGGAACGUGGUUUGGUGAAGCACGACGGACAGAGUUAUAAUGCUAUGGCUAGAACUUUAGGGAGGGAAGAUUGCAUUGAUCGAUUUUGGAAAGUUGUUGAUGAAAUGAGAAGCCUUGGGUAUGAAAUGGAAAUGGAGACUUAUACAAAGGUUUUCGAGCACUUUUGUAAGAAGAAAAUGAUUAAAGAAGCUGUAGACUUGUACGAGUUCGCAAUGGCCGGUUCCAAUAAGCCUUCUAUGAGCUCUUGUACCUUUUUGCUGAAGAAAUUAGCGGUGUCUAAACAAUUAGACAUGCGUCUAUUUUCAAGAGUCGUGAAGACUUUUGUUGAGAAUGGGAAUGUCUUGACAGAUUCCAUGGUUGAUUCGGUUCUUAAAUCUUUGACGAGUGUUGGUAGACUCAGGGAAUACAACAAGGUUCUAAAAGUAAUGCAGGAGAAUGGGUUUAUAACCAGUGGUGAUUUACAGUCGAAAAUUACUUUUAGACUUGCUAGUGCUGGUAAAAAAGACGAAGCUUCUGAGUUUAUAGCAUCAAAUACUGAUUUAGAUCACAAAGCAUGGGCGUCUUUAAUCGAAGGAUGUUGUGCUGCCGGUGAUCUUGAAACAGCAUCAACUUAUUUCGAAAACGUGGUUGAAAAAAAUGGGGUUUCCCAUGCCAGCUAUGCUUUUAACUGGUUGGUAUAUUCGUAUUGCAGUAGGAAAAGAGCAAAGGAUGCUUGUAAGCUUUUACACAAGUAUGUUAGUGAGAAUCAGUUAAAACCAUGGCAUGAUACUUACAAGGAAUUGAUAAGGAAGUUAUUAGCUCAAGAUGGAUUUAAAGAUGCAUUGAGUCUCUUCGAUUUGAUGAAAAACGACGGUUUUCCCCCCUUUAUCGAUCCUUUUAUCGAGUAUGUUUCAAGGAGGUCCGGUAGUAGUGAUGAUGCUAUUGCUUUUCUCAAGUCUAUGACUUCACAAAGGUUUCCAUCUAUGUCGGUUGUUCUUCGUGUUUUUGAAGCUUUUUUCAAAGCUUCGAGGCAAAAUGAAGCACAGGAUUUAUUAUCGAAGUGCCCAAGUUUCGUUCGCAACAAUCCCGAUGUUUUGAAUCUCUUUUGCUCGAUGAAAUCAGGUAAAGUUGUUGCUGCACCUUCCAUGGUUGCUUAGACUUCAUUAGCUAUAAUUUAUUGCAUUUGUUACAAAAUUUUCGGCACGAAAUCAUUAAAGCUCUGCUGUCAUAAUAAAAAAGAAGAUAUUUGAGGAUUUUGAUGAUUCUUCCUGUUAGUGCUUUUGAAUUAUGAUGUGUAUUUAAGAAUUUUAGACUUAAUUGGUGUAUGUGGUGGAUACAUGGUGAAUUUUGCCUUUCCGACAACAUAUUUUGUACUUGUUAUAAGCUUAUUAUGUCCGGGUCAAGCUCGGAUUGAUUAUAACAUGCUUGCUACGAGGAACUGUAAGAUCAAUCCAGAUAUGUGCAGGUUAUGACCAUGAUAGAACUUGGGAAGAAUAUAUAGAAUCAUCAUUUUGGUGAAAUUUCCUUUUUAGUCCUCAUCGUUUCUUAUAUAUUUUUUAUGUUCCUAAAGAUGGUGUCUAAAUUGAUCAUAAGUGUUGUAAUGUGAAUGCUUCAAUGCUAUUUUGUUAGUCCAUGUGUCACAAUGUCUUAUUCGUGCUAAAUUAAUAUGAUCCAUGAUUCAUUCUCCUUGCAAAAAAAAAGUUUCAUCCAUUAUAAAAAUGGAAUGUCCUCAAAAUCGAGUGAAAUAAAAUUUAAAAUAUAAAGAUUUAUGUUUUUUUUAUUUAAAAAAUUGACUAAAAAUUAUUUUCCAUUCAUGUAAAUACAAUUGGGAUCAUAAUUAAAUACUAAAUUUUGAAUCUUAAAUUUUCGAGACUUUGGACAACACAGAUAAUAUGUACUAAUUUUGGACAUGGUGGAAGUGCUAUAAUCUUCUCUAUGCAUAAUUGAAUUUCGAACUUAAAUUUGUUUUUUUUUUACAAAUAUAAUUUAAAAUUAUCUUUUAAAAUGUGAUUUUUAAGUGAUUGAUCACACCUAGACCUGGCCAUGGGCCGGGCUGGGCCCACAAAAAAUUUCAGCCCAUUUACUAGGCCCGGGCCCGGCCCGGCCCGAAAUUUAGGCCUGAGAUUUUGCCCAGGCCCGGCCUGAAGAAAAAAUAUGGGACCCGAGCUUGGCUCGGCCCGGCCCGUUUUUAAUUAAAAUUAAAUUUAAAAUUAUUUUUUAAUAAAAUUAAAACUAAUUGUUAUUAAAAUUAAUUGUUAGUAAAAUUAUUAAAUUAUUAAUUGUUAAUUGUAUUAAUUAUUAAUUGUAUUAAUUGUUGUAAUAAAAUCUAACAUUUGAUUAGUAAAUUUAUCA
RNAcentral lists this long non-coding RNA (104815 nucleotides) under Gossypium raimondii (Peruvian cotton). RNAcentral's name for it is "long non-coding RNA (GRAI_LNC006021)". The stretch from base 55416 to 55560 matches the Rfam family "MIR7502 microRNA precursor family". The record is from RNAcentral. Lineage: Eukaryota; Viridiplantae; Streptophyta; Magnoliopsida; Malvales; Malvaceae.